This 177302-nucleotide long non-coding RNA is filed under the name Triticum aestivum (bread wheat). RNAcentral describes it as "long non-coding RNA (TAES_LNC028373)". The stretch from base 34689 to 34823 matches the Rfam family "MIR1120/MIR1122 microRNA precursor family". The record is from RNAcentral. Lineage: Eukaryota; Viridiplantae; Streptophyta; Magnoliopsida; Poales; Poaceae.
AACAACCACAACAACCUUUUCCCCAGCCCCAACAACAAUUUCCGCAGCCCCAACAACCACAACAAUCAUUCCCCCAACAACAACAACCGGCGAUUCAGUCAUUUCUACAACAACAGAUGAACCCCUGCAAGAAUUUCCUCUUGCAGCAAUGCAACCAUGUGUCAUUGGUGUCAUCUCUCGUGUCAAUAAUUUUGCCACGAAGUGAUUGCCAGGUGAUGCAGCAACAAUGUUGCCAACAACUAGCACAAAUUCCUCAACAGCUCCAGUGCGCAGCCAUCCACAGCGUCGCGCAUUCCAUCAUCAUGCAACAAGAACAACAACAAGGCGUGCCGAUCCUGCGGCCACUAUUUCAGCUCGCCCAGGGUCUGGGUAUCAUCCAACCUCAACAACCAGCUCAAUUGGAGGGGAUCAGGUCAUUGGUAUUGAAAACUCUUCCAACCAUGUGCAACGUGUAUGUGCCACCUGACUGCUCCACCAUCAACGUACCAUAUGCCAACAUAGACGAUGGCAUUGGUGGCCAAUGAAAAAUGCAAGAUCAUCGUUGCUUAGCUGAUGCACCAAUCGUUGUAGCGAUGACAAAUAAAGUGGUGUGCACCAUCAUGUGUGACCCCGACCAGUGCUAGUUCAAGCUUGGGAAUAAAAGACAAACAAAGUUCUUGUUUGCUAGCAUUGCUUGUCACUGUUACAUUCACUUUUUAUUUCGAUGUUCAUCCCUAACCGCAAUCCUAGCCUUACACGUCAAUAGCUAGCUGCUUGUGCUGGCAGGUUACUAUAUAAUCUAUCAAUUAAUGGUCGACCUAUUAAUCCAAGUAAUAGGCUAUUGAUAGACUGCUCCCAAGCCGACCGAGCAGCUAUCAGUUACGGAUUUCUUGAACAUUGCACACUAUAAUAAUUCAACGUAUUUCAAUCUCUAGAAGUAAAAGGGCAUUUUAGUAGCAAAACAAGCGCCUGAUUAGAAACCAUUCAUCACUCUAAAUGUUAAUCUGGAUAUUUUUGCGUUGGUACAAUUUUGAGUUUGGUGGCACCAAAGCAUUUUUCAAAAGCAAUUCUUUAGGGGACUCCAAAGAGGUGAAAAUCAAACUAAAGUUGCCAUUGCACAAUUUUAUCUAUAUUUUCUUUCCAUUUUGCAAGGUUGCACCGGAGUGAGCACCGGAAAGCAACCGGAGCCGGAAAAUGAAGGUUUCACAAGAGAGCAACACUUUUAUAGAGCGAGGAAAAAAAUAAAGCAAACAUAUAUCAAAGGUUUUUAGAGCAAAAUAGCCCCAACUACCAAAAACUGGCCCUAGGGGUGGCCUAUAUAUAUGGCCCACAUGCCUGACCACCUGCCUUGGGUCCCGGGCAUGGCCUAGGAUGCGUAGGGCUCACAGAAGCCCCAUGCCUCCAUCCUUUUUAUAUACUAAUAUCAUAUGCGCGAAAAACACCCUUGAUUUUCACUUAUUUUUCUGUUACCCAGGUACAGAGAACGUUAUUAUCUUCCUCGCGCUAGUAGGGAAACCCCUUAUAGGAUUUUACUAUUAGGAGCAUCCACAACUAUAUGGACGCUCCUGCUAACUCGCCUAACAGCGAGCAGCGUGCGGGAAAAACCAGAACGCGGCAGUAGUGAGGGACUUAGUGGCGUUCAUGCAUUCGAAACACUGCUAGUUACAUACAUGAAGGUAGACGGUUUGCCAUAGUCCCUGGCAGCUUGCGGAUGGAGGGAAUGCCACCGGUGUCACCUCCUAUAGCAGGGUGUGGCUCUGCUCCACAUGCUGCUACUGUGAUGUCUAACACUCUGUGCACUGACGGGCAUGUGGGUCUUAAAAACUAGCGGCGUUUAUAUACCCGCACGCUGCUAAAUUGUAAACUUUAGUAGCUUUGAGCGGAUGGCAGAAACUGCUAAUUGUUUCGCCCAAUAAUUGAGUACCCCCUUCUUCUCCUUCCACCCCUCUCUCUACUUUUUGUCAGGCAUAAUUUCAUCAGUAGAUCUUUUUCUGCCUUUACUUUCGUGGAUGUUAGCAGCGUGUUCUCUCUAUGGCACACUACUAAGCCGUUUUCUAUAUUCAAUCCCCUUGAAAUUGAAAACAAUAGUGAAUAAAUCCAUAAGUGUACAUGUAAAUGUAAAAUGGUGCAUAUGAUUAGCCAACAAAAUUUUGCAGGCACACUUUUCAGCACUAUUCAGAUUACCGGUGGUGAUAUACCUACCUUCGGUUUGGGAGGAAUCUAUACUAAACUUUGGUUUAACACUUUGUAAUUUUAAGCGCUAGUUCAAGUGGUCAUAUAAUGACAAUACACCAAGUUUCAAGAAUUUUAAAAUGCAUUUUUUUAAAAUUCAAAUGAAAAACUGUUUGUAGCGUUCGCCUGUGUAUGCCAGGCUGCCAGUCCUCAACAUCAUUAGCCAUGUGUCAUUCUUGCACAUAUGGCUUGUGUUUGGUAUACAAACCGUCGUGUAAGCUAGCAGUGUCCCGCGGGCGCACACGCUGCUAGCUUGUAUGCAUACAAACUAUCCUGCCCGGGUUUUAUUAACUUGUUCCUCUCCCCAUCUUUUUGCGCCCUCUCCUUGCCACACCCGGAAUUCUCAUCUUGAAAUCUAUGGCCGACAAUUAUUGGUGGCAUUUAUGCCGCCGGCCGUCAUGCACAUGUCUAAUUAGUGGUUAGUUCAAUCUGGCCACCCUCCUCCUGUUGAUCUGCUCCACAGGUGUGGUGAAUUCAUCUGACCACCCUCAAUCCUACGAAUGUGUAUACCUUAGAUCAUUUAAGUACCAAGUUAAAUUUAGUUUAUUUCUCCACUGUACCUAGUUUAUUAGAUUAGUUAGAUUGAUUAAUUAGUGUCAUAUAUAGUGUAUUGAUUAAUUAGUAUGUAUAACUUGAUUUUAAUUAUCACAACUUGAGUUUAAAGUAGUUUACCAGAACUUGAGUUUAGUAAUUAUUUUACAUAUGCAUUAGCGAGGAAGGUAACAAGUUCAUGGCCGUUUUCCAAAUGGAGCAGGAUGCUAACCUAGUCCUCUUCAUGCGUGCCAUCUUAUACUAGGAGGUUGACGAGUAAGCUUCAUAUAGUCCUCUUAAUGCGUGUUGUUAUUUAGUCUACUUUGUUGUGAACAUAUUUCAUAUCAUGAACGUUUUUCAAAUUCAUGAACACUUUUAUACCUUUUCAAACAUUUUCUUAAAUUGAGAACAUAUUUUAAAUUCAUGAACACUUUAUACUAUUUUCAAAAAAAAUUAGAAAAUUGUGAAUAUUGUUGAAACAAUUUUGUUGAAUCUGUGAACAUUUCUAGAAUCGACGAAGAAUUUGUUUUCACAUAGGUGGAACAUUUUUUGAAAUUCAAAAAACAUUUUUUGAUUUAGCGAACAUGUUUUAAAUUGCAUGAUCAGUUUUUGAAUCACCGAACAUUUUAUGAAUGAAAAAGCUAGUUUGUAAGUCGCAGACAGUUUUUGAAAUUUUAGGAUAUUUUUCCAUUCGGGAACAUUCUUUGUCUGGCGAAAUUUUGUCUUAAUUUACAUAUUUUUAAUAUACAAACUUUUUCAAAAUGAUAAAGAUUUUUUGAUUUCCCGAAUAUUUGUUUUCAAAAUUUCAUAAGUGCCCCACCAAUGGUACCUAUAAGUGAUAAAAAAAACAUUUUACACAGGGAAAUCCCCCGCCUGGGAGAAGAUGUAGCAUAACUCUUUGGGCCGGCCCAUAUCCGGGUGGACAGUUUUUUAUUUAUUGUUUUGAUUGUUCUUUUUAUUUUACGUUUUUGUUUUUUCGACUUAAAUAAUUUGGUACUUAAAAAAGUUCAGAAAUUUAAACAAAAUGAGAUUUUUUUUUAAAAAUCAUAUAAUGUUUGUGGAUUCCAAAAAUAUUUCAGAUUUUGUAAACAUUUUGUUUUGAAAUUUUGGAAAACCAAAUUUUGGACAAUUAAAAAAUGUUCAUUUUUUUUAAAACUUCUAGUAUUAGAAACUGUUAAUGAAAUUGCACAAAAUACAGCCAUUACAGAAAAUGUUAAUUAAUGGAAAAAUAUCCUAAAAGUUUACAAAAUAGUUUUUCAUUCAUUCAUAAAAUGUUCGCUGAUUCAAAAACUGAUCACGCAUUUCAAAACAUGUUCGUUAAAUCAAAAAAAUGUUCCACCUAUUUCAAAAAAAUUCUUCCACGAUUACUAUCAGUAUCGUGUGGUGGUUGCUGGGGACUACACCUGUGGUAGUCUUUAGUUCCGACGAUGCUAAGCCACACCAAUGAGACUUCCAGGCAAAACAAGCAAAAAGCACAAGCAGGCUGAGAGACUCCUUUUUUUUUGCCAGAAACAGAAACACACGGCUCUACAUAGAUGGCCGGAACGCACAACCGACCAAUGGAGGUCACCGUAGGGUUUCGUCUACCCUCCCUCUACUUUGUGCCGGCCACCUUCAUCCAGAUCGCAGGCUCCGUGCUGCGGGUUUGGGCGGGUGGGUUUCGGUGUAGAGGCUGCUAGGGUUUUACCAGGGCACCCGAUUGAAUCUUAUCUCGGGUCAGAGAAAACAAGGAUGGAUACAAGAGCUUCGAGUUCCAGAACAGAGCAGGACUUGGAGGCGAUGAUGAGUGAGUUGGGCCUCCAGGAGGAGGACAUGGAUGAUGUGGUGGUUGAAAAGGAAGAUCCGCUGUAGCCGGCGGCGAGUCGGUGGAUGGCCAUAGCACGUGUCCACACAGAGAAAAGCUAUAGUCAGUACGGUUUCUUCAAGACCAUGCGAGCUGCGUGGGAUCUAGCCAAGCCAGUACAAAUUCGUCCGCUUGAGAAUAAUCUUUAUACUUUGCAAUUCGAGUGUCUAGGAGACUGGGAGCGUGCCAUGGAUGAAGGCCCAUGGAAUUACAAGGGCAACACAGUGGUCCUGGCAGAAUACGAUGGUUUCACAAAACCAUCGCUGAUCAAGCUUGACACAAUGGAGAUUUGGAUGCAGAUCCACGAUCUCCCGGAGGGUUUUUAUCCACUGAUCAAACCCCUAGCAAGGAAAGUGGGCGAAUUCAUAUAUGCAAAACCCAAAUCCCAGGACUUUGAGGGGAAUUUUUUUAGAGUUAGGGUUGGCAUUAAUGUGUUUAAGCCUCUCAGAAACGCUGUCAGCCUGGUGUACGAAGGGAAGAGGCAGAUUUACAAGGUUAAAUACGAGAGGCUUCCAGAUUAGUGUGCUGUGUGUGGACAUCUGGGGCAUCAGUACAAGGAACAUGGAGAUGGAAUUCAUGCGAAAUCAGCGCUCGUUUUCAGAGAUCUACGUGCAGAGUGGUUUAGAGGUGCAGGGCCGGGUCCCGGGCAGAACCGCUACGGCGGGAGAGGCAAUUGUGGAGGCCGUGGAAGAGGUGCUGGGAGAUCUGGACAGGGGGGAAGAAACACUGAACAGGAAGAAUACUCUGAACCGGCGGCAGAGCGAGAGGAGCCCAUGAUGGAUGCUGAAGGUAACCGGAAAAGAACCCAGGCGGACAGUGUUGGAAAAUGUUGGGGAACAUAGUAAUUUCAAAAAAUUUCCUACGUACACGCAAGAUCAUGGUGAUGCAUAGCAACGAGAGGGGAGAGUGUUGUCCACGUAUCCUCAUAGACCGUAAGCGGAAGCGUUAGCACAACGCGGUUGAUGUAGUCGUACGUCUUCGUGAUCCGACCGAUCCAAGUACCGAACGUACGGCACCUCCGAGUUCAGCACACGUUCAGCUCGAUGAUGAUCCCCGGGCUCCGAUCCAGCAAAGCUUCGGGGAUGAGUUCCUUCAGCACGACGGCGUGGUGAUGAUGAUGAUGUUCUACCGGCGCAGGGCUUCGCCUAACUCCGCGACGAUAUGACCGAGGUGGAAUAUGGUGGAGGGGGCACCGCACACGGCUAAGGAACGAUCCGUAGAUCAACUUGUGUGUCUUAGGGUGCCCCCUGCACCCGUAUAUAAAGGAGCAAGGGGGGGGGAGGCCGGCCGGCCCUAGAGGGCGCACCAGGAGGAGGAGUCCUCCUCCUAGUAGGAGUAGGACUCCCCCUUUCCUACUCCUACUAGGAGGGGAAAGGAAGGGGGAGAGGGGGAAGGAAAGAGGGGGGGCGCCGCCCCCCCUCCUAGUCCAAUUCGGACCAGAGAAAGAGGGGGCGCGCGGCCCACCCUGGCCGCCCCUCUCUCUUUCCACCAAGGCCCAUGUUGCCCAUUGUCUCUCCCCGGGGGGUUCCGGUAACCCUCCGGCACUCCGGUUUUCUCCGAAAACGUCCGGAACACUUCCGGUGUUUGAAUAUAAUCGUCCAAUAUAUCAAUCUUUAUGUCUCGACCAUUUCGAGACUCCUCGUCAUGUCCGUGAUCAUACCCGGGACUCCGAACAAACUUCGGUACAUCAAAACUUAUAAACUCAUAAUAAAACUGUCAUCGUAACGUUAAGCGUGCGGACCCUACGGGUUCGAGAGCUAUGUAGACAUGACCUAGAACUAUUCUCGGUCAAUAACCAAUAGCGGAACCUGGAUGCCCAUAUUGGUUCCUACAUAUUCUACGAAGAUCUUAUCGGUCAAACCGCAUAACAACAUACGUUGUUCCCUUUGUCAUCGGUAUGUUACUUGCCCGAGAUUCGAUCGUCGGUAUCCAAUACCUAGUUCAAUCUCGUUACCAGCAAGUCUCUUUACUCGUUACGUAGUGCAUCAUUCCGUAACUAACUCAUUAGCUGCAUUGCUUGCAAGGCUUAUAGUGAUGUGCAUUACCGAGAGGGCCCAGAGAUACCUCUUCGACAAUCGGAGUGACAAAACCUAAUCUCGAAAUACGCCAACCCAACAUGUACCUUCGGAGACACCUGUAGUAAUCCUUUAUAAUCACCCAGUUACGUUGUGACGUUUGGUAGUACCCAAAGUGUUCCUCCGGUAAAUGGGAGUUGCGUAAUCUCAUAGUUACAGGAACAUGUAUAAGUCAUGAAGAAAGCAAUAGCAAUAUACUAAACGAUCAAGUGCUAGGCUAACGGAAUGGGUCAUGUCAAUCACAUCAUUCUCCUAAUGAUGUGAUCCCGUUAAUCAAAUGACAACACAUGUCUAUGGUUAGGAAACAUAACCAUCUUUGAUUAAUGAGCUAGUCAAGUAGAGCCAUACUAGUGACUAUAUGUUUGUCUAUGUAUUCACACAUGUAUCAUGUUUCCGGUUAAUACAAUUCUAGCAUGAAUAAUAAACAUUUAUCAUGAUAUGAGGAAAUAAAUAAUAACUUUAUUAUUGCCUCUAGGGCAUAUUUCCUUCAGUCUCCCACUUGCACUAGAGUCAAUAAUCUAGAUUACAUAGUAAUGAUUCUAACACCCAUGGAGUCUUGGUGCUGAUCAUGUUUUGCUCGUGAGAGAGGCUUAGUCAACGGGUCUGCAACAUUCAGAUCCGUAUGUAUCUUGCAAAUCUCUAUUUCUCCCACUUGGACUUGGUCCCGGAUGGAAUUGAAGCGUCUCUUGAUGUGCUUAGUCCUCUUGUGAAAUCUGGAUUCCUUUGCCAAGGCAAUUGCACUAGUAUUGUCACAGAAGAUCUUCAUUGGUCCCGAUGCACUAGGUAUGACACCUAGAUCGGUAAUGAACUCCUUCAUCCAGACUCCUUCAUUUGUUGCUUCUGAAGCAGCUAUGUACUCCGCUUCACAUGUAGAUCCCGCCACGACGCUUUGUUUAGAACUACACCAACUUACAGCUCCACCGUUUAAUAAAAAUACGUAUCCGGUUUGCGAUUUAGAAUCGUCCAGAUCAGUGUCAAAGCUUGCAUCGACGUAACCAUUUACGACUAGCUCUUUGUCACCUCCAUAUAUGAGAAACAUAUCCUUAGUCCUUUUCAGGUAUUUCAGGAUGUUCUUGACCGCUGUCCAGUGAUCCACUCCUGGAUUACUUUGGUACCUUCCUGCUAAUCUUAUUCCUAAGCAUACAUCAGGUCUGGUACACAGCAUUGCAUACAUGAUAGAGCCUAUGGCUGAAGCAUAGGGAACAUCUUUCAUUUUCUCUCUAUCUUCUGCAGUGGUCGGGCAUUGAGUCUGACUUAAUUUCACACCUUGUAACACGGGCAAGAACCCUUUCUUUGCCUGAUCCAUUUUGAACUUUUUCAAAAUUUUAUCAAGGUAUGUGCUUUGUGAAAGUCCUAUUAAGCGUCUUGAUCUAUCUCUAUAAAUCUUGAUGCCCAAUAUGUAAGCAGCUUCACCGAGGUCUUUCAUUGAAAAACUUUUAUUCAAGUAUCCUUUUAUGCUAUCCAGAAAUUCUAUAUCAUUUCCAAUUAAUAAUAUGUCAUCUACAUAUAAUAUUAGAAAUGCUACAGAGCUCCCACUCACUUUCUUGUAAAUACAGGUUUCUCCAAAAGUCUGUAUAAAACCAUAUGCUUUGAUCACACUAUCGAAGCGUUUAUUCCAACUCCGAGAUGCUUGCACCAGUCCAUAAAUGGAUCGCUGGAGUUUGCACACUUUGUUAGCUCCUUUUGGAUCAACAAAACCUUCUGGCUGCAUCAUAUACAACUCUUCUUCCAGAUAUCCAUUCAAGAAUGCAGUUUUGACAUCCAUUUGCCAAAUUUCAUAAUCAUGAAAUGCAGCAAUAGCUAACAUGAUUCGGACAGACUUAAGCAUCGCUACAGGUGAGAAAGUCUUAUCGUAGUCAACCCCUUGAACUUGUCGAAAACCUUUUGCAACAAGUCGAGCUUUAUAGACAGUUACAUUACCAUCAGCGUCAGUCUUCUUCUUAAAGAUCCAUUUAUUCUCAAUGGCUUGCCGAUCAUCGGGCAAGUCAACCAAAGUCCAUACUUUGUUUUCAUACAUGGAUCCCAUCUCAGAUUUCAUGGCUUCUAGCCAUUUUGCGGAAUCUGGGCUCAUCAUCGCUUCCUCAUAGUUCGUAGGUUCGUCAUGGUCAAGUAACAUGACUUCCAGAAUAGGAUUACCGUACCACUCUAGUGCGGAUCUUACUCUGGUAGACCUUCGAAGUUCAGUAGAAACUUGAUCUGAAGUUUCAUGAUCAAUAUCAUUAGCUUCCUCAUUAAUUGGUGUAGGUGUCACAGGAACCGGUUUCUGUGAUGAACUACUUUCCAAUAAGGGAGCAGGUAUAGUUACCUCAUCAAGUUCUACUUUCCUCCCACUCACUUCUUUCGAGAGAAACUCCAUCUCUAGAAAGGAUCCAUUCUUAGCAACGAAUGUCUUGCCUUCGGAUCUGUGAUAGAAGGUAUACCCAACUGUCUCUUUUGGGUAUCCUAUGAAGACACAUUUCUCCAAUUUAGGUUCGAGCUUAUCUGGUUGAAGUUUCUUCACAUAAGCAUCAUAGCCCCAAACUUUAAGAAACGACAACUUCGGUUUCUUGCCAAACCACAGUUCAUAAGGCGUCGUCUCAACGGAUUUUGAUGGUACCCUAUUUAACGUGAAUGCGGCCGUCUCUAAAGCAUAACCCCAGAAUGAUAGCGGUAAAUCAGUAAGAGACAUCAUAGAUCACACCAUAUCUAGUAAAGUACGAUUACGACGUUCGGACACACCAUUUCGUUGUGGUGUUCCGGGUGGCGUGAGUUGCGAAACUAUUCCGCAUUGUUUCAAAUGUAAACCAAACUCGUAACUCAAAUAUUCUCCUCCAUGAUCAGAUCGUAGGAAUUUUAUUUUCUUGUUACGAUGAUUUUCCACUUCCCUCUGUAAUUCUUUGAACUUUUCAAAUGUUUCAGACUUGUGUUUCAUUAAGUAGAUAUACCCAUAUCUGCUUAAAUCAUCUGUGAAGGUGAGAAAAUAACGAUAUCCACCACGAGCUUCAACUUUCAUCGGACCACAUACAUCUGUAUGUAUGAUUUCCAACAAAUCUGUUGCUCUCUCCAUAGUACCGGAGAACGGUGUUUUAGUCAUCUUGCCCAUGAGGCACGGUUCGCAAGUACCAAGUGAUUCAUAAUCAAGUGAUUCCAAAAGUCCAUCAGUAUGGAGUUUCUUCAUGCGUUUUACACCGAUAUGACCUAAACGGCAGUGCCACAAAUAAGUUGCACUAUCAUUAUUAACUCUGCAACUUUUGGCUUCGAUAUUAUGAAUAUGUGUAUCACUACUAUCGAGAUUCAACAAAAAUAGACCACUCUUCAAGGGUGCAUGACCAUAAAAGAUAUUACUCAUAUAAAUAGAACAACCAUUAUUCUCUGAUUUAAAUGAAUAACCGUCUCACAUCAAACAAGAUCCAUAUAUAAUGUUCAUGCUUAACGCUGGCACCAAAUAACAAUUAUUCAGGUCUAAAACUAUUCCCGAAGGUAGAUGUAGAGGUAGCGUGCCGACCGCGAUCACAUCGACUUUGGAACCGUUUCCCACGCGCAUCGUCACCUCAUCCUUGGCCAGUGCUCGCUUAUUCCGUAGUCCCCGUUUCGAGUUGCAAAUGUUAGCAACAGAACCAGUAUCAAAUACCCAGGUGCUACUGCGAGCUCUAGUAAGGUACACAUCAAUAACAUGUAUAUCACAUAUACCUUUGUUCACCUUGCCAUCCUUCUUAUCCGCCAAAUACUUGGAGCAGUUCCGCUUCCAGUGUCCAAUCUGCUUGCAGUAGAAGCACUCAGUUUCAGGCUUAGGUCCAGACUUGGGUUUCUUCUCUUGAGCAGCAACUUGCUUGUUGUUCUUCUUGAAGUUCCCCUUCUUCUUCCCUUUGCCCUUUUUCUUGAAACUAGUGGUCUUGUUAACCAUCAACACUUGAUGCUCCUUCUUGAUUUCUACUUCCGCAGCUUUUAGCAUUGCGAAGAGCUCGGGAAUUGUCUUGUUCAUCCCUUGCAUAUUAUAGUUCAUCACAAAGCUCUUGUAGCUUGGUGGCAGUGAUUGGAGAAUUCUGUCAAUGACACUAUCAUCAGGAAGAUUAACUCCCAGUUGAAUCAAGUGAUUAUUAUACCCAGACAUUUUGAGUAUGUGUUCACUGACAGAACUAUUCUCCUCCAUCUUGCAGCUAUAGAACUUAUUGGAGACUUCAUAUCUCUCAAUCCGGGCAUUUGCUUGAAAUAUUAACUUCAACUCCUGGAACAUCUCAUAUGCUCCAUGACGUUCAAAACAACGUUGAAGACCCGGUUCUAAGCCGUAAAGCAUGGCACACUGAACUAUCGAGUAGUCAUCAGCUUUGCUCUGCCAGACGUUCUUAACGUCGUCAGUUGCAUCAGCAGCAGGCCUGGCACCUAGCGGUGCUUUCAGGACGUAAUUCUUCUGUGCAGCAAUGAGGAUAAUCCUCAAGUUACGGACCCAGUCCGUGUAAUUGCUACCAUCAUCUUUCAACUUUGCUUUCUCAAGGAAUGCAUUAAAAUUCAACGGAAGAAUAGCACGAGCCAUCUAUCUACAACAAACAUAGAUGAGCAAAAUACUAUCAGCUACUAAGUUCCUGAUAAAUUUAAGUUCAAUUAAUCAUAUUACUUAAGAACUCCCACUUAGACAGACAUCUCUCUAGUCAUCUAAGUGACCACGUGAUCCAAAUCAACUAAACCAUAACCGAUCAUCACGUGAGAUGGAGUAGUUUUCAAUGGUGAACAUCACUAUGUUGAUCAUAUCUACUAUAUGAUUCAUGCUCGACCUUUCGAUCUCCGUGUUCCGAGGCCAUAUCUGCAUAUGCUAGGCUCGUCAAGUUUAACCUGAGUAUUCUGCGUGUGCAAAACUGGCUUGCACCCGUUGUAGAUGGACGUAAAGCUUAUCACACCCGAUCAUCACGUGGUGUCUGGGCACGACAAACUUUGGCAACAGUGCAUACUCAGGGAGAACACUUCUUGAUAAUUUAAGUGAGAGAUCAUCUUAAAAUGCUACCGUCAAUCAAAGCAAGAUAAGAUGCAUAAAGGAUAAACAUCACAUGCAAUCAAUAUAAGUGAUAUGAUAUGGCCAUCAUCAUCUUGUGCUUGUGAUCUCCAUCUUCGAAGCACCGUCGUGAUCACCAUCGUCACCGGCGCGACACCUUGAUCUCCAUCAUAGCAUCGUUGUCGUUACGCCAUCUAUUGCUUCUACGACUAUCGCUACCGCUUAGUGAUAAAGUAAAGCAAUUACAGGGCGUUUGCAUUUCAUACAAUAAAGUGACAAUCAUAUGGCUCCUGCCAGUUGCCGAUAACUUCGGUUACAAAACAUGAUCAUCUCAUACAAUAAAAUAUAGCAUCACGUCUUGACCAUAUCACAUCACAACAUGCCCUGCAAAAACAAGUUAGACGUCCUCUACUUUGUUGUUGCAAGUUUUACGUGGCUGCUACGGGCUUAGCAAGAACCGUUCUUACCUACGCAUCAAAACCACAACGAUAGUUCGUCAAGUUAGUGAUGUUUUAACCUUCGCGAGGACCGGGCGUAGCCAUACUCGAUUCAGCUAAAGUGAGAGAGACAGACACCCGCCAGCCACCUUUAAGCACGAGUGCUCGUAACAGUGAAACCAGUCUCGCGUAAGCGUACGCGUAAUGUCGGUCCGGGCCGCUUCAUCUCACAAUACCGCCGAACCAAAGUAUGACAUGCUGGUAAGCAGUAUGACUUGUAUCGCCCACAACUCACUUGUGUUCUACUCGUGCAUAUGACAUCUACGCAUAAAACUAGGCUCGGAUGCCACUGUUGGGGAACGUAGUAAUUUCAAAAAAAUUCCAACGUACACGCAAGAUCAUGGUGAUGACAUAGCAACGAGAGGGGAGAGUGUUGUCCACGUACCCUCGUAGACCGUAAGAGGAAGCGUUAGCACAACGCGGUUGAUGUAGUCAUACGUCUUCACGAUCCGACCGAUCCAAGUACUGAACGUACGGCACCUCCGAGUUUAGCACACGUUCAGCUCGAUGACGAUCCCCGGGCUCCAAUCCAGCAAAGCUUCGGGGAUGAGUUUCGUCAGCACGAUGGCGUGGUGACGAUGAUGAUGUUCUACCGGCGCAGGGCUUCGCCAAAACUCCGCGACGAUAUGACCGAGGUGGAAUAUGGUGGAGGGGGGCACCGCACACGGCUAAGGAACGAUCCGUAGAUCAACUUGUGUGUCUUAGGGUGCCCCCCUGCCCCCGUAUAUAAAGGAGCAAGGGGGGAGGCCGGCCGGCCCUAGAGGGCGCGCCAGGAGGAGGAGUCCUCCUACUAGUAGGAGUAGGACUCCCCCUUUCCUACUCCUACUAGGAGGGGAAAGGAAGGGGGAGAGGGGGAAGGAAAGAGGGGGGGGGGCGCUCCCUCUCCUAGUCCAAUUCGGACUAGAGGGAGACGGGGCGCGCGGCCCACCCUGGCCGCCCCUCUCUCUUUCCACCAAGGCCCAUGUUGCCCAUUGUCUCUCCCCGGGGGGUUCCGGUAACCCUCCGGCACUCCGGUUUUCUCCGAAAACGUCCGGAACACUUCCGGUGUCUGAAUAUAAUCGUCCAAUAUAUCAAUCUUUAUGUCUCGACCAUUUCGAGACUCCUCGUCAUGUCCGUGAUCAUACCCGGGACUCCGAACAAACUUCGGUACAUCAAAACUUAUAAACUCAUAAUAAAACUGUCAUCGUAACGUUAAGCAUGCGGACCCUACGGGUUCGAGAGCUAUGUAGACAUGACCUAGAACUAUUCUCGGUCAAUAACCAAUAGCGGAACCUGGAUGCCCAUAUUGGUUCCUACAUAUUCUACAAAGAUCUUAUCGGUCAAACCGCAUAACAACAUAUGUUGUUCCCUUUGUCAUCGGUAUGUUACUUGCCCGAGAUUCGAUCGUCGGUAUCCAAUACCUAGUUCAAUCUCGUUACCAGCAAGUCUCUUUACUCGUUACGUAGUGCAUCAUUCCGUAACUAACUCAUUAGCUGCAUUGCUUGCAAGGCUUAUAGUGAUGUGCAUUACCGAGAGGGCCCAGAGAUACCUCUUCGACAAUCGGAGUGACAAAACCUAAUCUCGAAAUACGCCAACCCAACAUGUACCUUCGGAGACACCUGUAGUAAUCCUUUAUAAUCACCCAGUUACGUUGUGACGUUUGGUAGUACCCAAAGUGUUCCUCCGGUAAAUGGGAGUUGCGUAAUCUCAUAGUUACAGGAACAUGUAUAAGUCAUGAAGAAAGCAAUAGCAAUAUACUAAACGAUCAAGUGCUAGGCUAACGGAAUGGGUCAUGUCAAUCACAUCAUUCUCCUAAUGAUGUGAUCCCGUUAAUCAAAUGACAACACAUGUCUAUGGUUAGGAAACAUAACCAUCUUUGAUUAAUGAGCUAGUCAAGUAGAGGCAUACUAGUCACUAUAUGUUUGUCUAUGUAUUCACACAUGUAUCAUGUUUCCGGUUAAUACAAUUCUAGCAUGAAUAAUAAACAUUUAUCAUGAUACGAGGAAAUAAAUAAUAACUUUAUUAUUGCCUCUAGGGCAUAUUUCCUUCAGAAAACUCCAGGAGGUACACUCCCAGGCACAGAUGGUGCCUGCUGGAGCGAACCAUUCGCCGGCGACGACCCAACUCCUGUUAACUGCACCCCCACCCCCAUCAGCCCGUCCUCAAAGCAAGAUCUGAAGCGAACAAAGACUAGAACUGUGUCGGAAAAGGUGACGAAGAAUGUGAUCGAGCGCAAGAACCAAGACCCAAGAACGGCUUCCUCCACCUCGGAGGGUCGCCGGACGCAAUGAAUACCAUAUGUUGGAACUGUCGUGGCGCGGGCAACGCUGCGACAGUCAACGAGCUUCGCGAGCUAGCGAAGAAAUUUGCCCACCCUAUUCUCUAUAUUGUAGAAACUCAAAUAGAAAGAGGUAGGGUAGAAGCACUUGCAGGAACUUUGGGUUAUGACAAUUGUUUUGCUAUAGACAGCCAGGGUAGAAGUGGAGGAAUAUGAAUCUUUUGGAACAAUCUAAUAAACAUUGAUAUUUUGGGUUACUCGGUUUGCCACAUUGACUGCUCAGUUCUUGAUCCUGGUACGGACCCUUGGAGGCUAACGUGUGUAUAUGGAGAGGCUCAAACACAUCUCCGGCACCAGACGUGGACGGUGUUAAAAAACAUAAGCUUCUUGAGCACUUCACCUUGGCUAUGCCUAGGGGAUUUCAACGAAGUAUUGCGUCCGGAUGAACAUGAAGGUAUAGGACAACGCAACAAUGCACAAAUACAGGGAUUCAGGGAUACAAUUGAUGUGUGCAUGCUGAUGGACAUGGGAUACAAGGGGCGCUUUUGGACCUUUGAGAAAAAAGUUGUGGGAGGAACCUUUACAAGAGUCAGGCUGGAUAGGGCUUUGGGAUCAGCGGAGUGGAGUGCACAAUUCCCACGGGCUAGUCUGUCUCAUCUUACAGCAGCAAAUUCAGAUCAUUGCCCCAUUUUAUUAGAAAUCAAUGAUCAAGAAAGACAGCCCUGCAAUCGUGUUUUCAGGUAUGAAACCAUGUGGGAAAAGCAUGAAACGUGGCGUGAUACUAUCCUGGAGAGGUGGUCAGCCAAGCACACCGGAAAUACAGUUGAGCAUAUGAGGCAGAAGCUAUCAGAUUUGGCUACCGAUCUAUCUAGAUGGAAUAAUGACACUUUUGGCAGUGUUAGAAAGGAGAUUAAAUCACUCAAGCUUGAAUUAGAGAGGUUGAGGGGAGCGCCAGGAAGGGCAGGUCCGUCAUAUGCAAAGAUCAAGAUCAAUGAUAAACUGGUUGAACUAUACCAUAGAGAAGAACUAAUGUGGCGACAAAGAUCGAGAAUUGAAUGGUUAGCGGCCGGUGACAAGAACACAAUUUUUUUCACCUGAGAGCUAGUAUACGGAGGAAGAAGAAUAUGGUGAAGGCGUUGGCCAGCUCCCUUGGUGUCCUCAUUGAUGACCCGACUGACCUCAGGGAGAUGGUCAAUGACUUUUAUCAGAGUCUAUACACGUCAGAGGGGGUACAUGGAGUCAGAGACGUUCUGGUGCAUGUACCACAGAAAGUCACUGCGGGGAUGAAUGACAUUUUAUGUGCUCCAUAUACAAACGAGGAGGUAAAAGUUGCUCUCUUCCAAAUGUUCCCAACAAAGGCACCCGGCCCGGAUGGCUUCCUGGCACAUUUUUAUCAACGUCAUUGGUCGUUAUGUGGAGAGGAGAUUUCUAGAGCUGUUCUCAGAAUAGUCAGAGGAGAGGAGAGUGCGGAGUGCCUAAACGACACAGUUCUGGUUUUAAUACCGAAGGUAAUGAACCCAACCCAACUCUCUCAAUUCAGACCUAUAAGCUUAUGCAACUUUCUAUACAAGAUUGCUUCCAAGGUGGUUGCAAACAGGCUUAAGCAGAUCCUGCCAGACAUAAUCUCUGAGGAACAGUCAGCCUUUGUCCCGGGAAGGCUCAUAACUGACAAUAUUAUAUGUGCGUAUGAGUGCUUGCAUUUUAUGAAGAGGUCAAAGGCAAAAGCAAACAGCUCCUAUGCGCUUAAACUUGAUAUGAUGAAAGCUUACGACCGUUUGGAGUGGUCGUACCUGAAGGCUAUCAUGGAAAAGCUUGGCUUUGCUCUGGCGUGGAUUGAUAUUGUGAUGAACAUGGUUUCUUCCAUAUCCUUCUCAGUCCUUUUUAAUGGAGAGAAGCUCGACCAGUUCAAACCGUCAAGAGGUAUUCGACAGGGAGAUCCUAUUUCCCCUUACUUGUUUUUGAUUGCAGCGGAGGGCCUUUCGUGCCUAUUAAAAUCCAGUUCUCAGUCAUCGGUGCUUGGAGGAAUCAAGGUGGCAACCACAGCUCCGGCUGUUAACCAUCUUCUAUUUGCAGAUGACAGCCUGCUGUUUUUCAAGGCAAGUGUUGAGGGUGCGAAUGCGGUAUCAAACCUGCUGAGUACAUAUUGUGGAGCCUCAGGUCAGAGAGUAAACAAAGAGAAAUCUUCUAUCUUUUUUAGUAGAGGGUGCCCUCAGGUGGUUCGAGACAGUGUAAAACAGGCUGUCAAUGUGCACAAGGAGUCUUUGAGUCAUAAAUAUCUGGGCAUGCCAACUGAUGUGGGACACUCCAAGAAUGGAACGUUCAAGUACCUACGUGAUCGUGUGUGGGAGAAGGUCAAGGGGUGGAUGGAAAAACUACUUUCAGAAGCGGGAAAGGAAGUAUUGAUCAAGUCGGUUGCCCAAUCAAUCCCCGUCUACUCAAUGGCUUGUUUCAGACUGCCUAGAGGUCUUUGUGAGAGUGUCACUUCCAUUAUCAGGCAAUUCUGGUGGGGCAGCAAACAGGGACGGCGGAAACCAGCUUGGGUCUCAUGGGAAAUAAUGACUCGACCAAAGCAUAUGGGAGGACUAGAUUCCGAGACCUCGAAAUCUUUAACCUAGCACUUUUAGCCAGACAAGCGUGGAGGCUUUUGAACAAUCCUGAUACACUUAGCUCUGCGAUCUUGAAGGCUGCAUAUUUUCCGGAUUGUGAUAUUAUCCAGGCUGAGCUGGGAACGCAUCCAUCACAGAUUUGGCGUGCUAUCUUGGAUGGGAGGGACAUAAUGAAACAAGGAGUGAUACGGAGGAUAGGGACCGGAGAAGAUACUCUCAUAUGGGAGCAUAAUUGGAUACCGAGGCAUGAUAUACUUCGGCCGAUUACAUCCCUCGUUACUGAUCCACCAACGAGGGCUCAUGAACUGAUAGAUCAAACCACUUCGUCUUGGAAGGAGGAUCUAGUUCGAACAGUUUUCAUACCACUAAACGCUGAAGAGAUUCUCAAAAUACCCUUGUGUACAAAGAAAGUUGAUGACUUCUGGGCCUGGAGUAAGGAGAGCAGAGGCAACUUCACUGUUGGGUCUGCUUAUAGAAUGAUACAGAACACCAAAAUGAUGAGAGAAAGCUGGUUGUAUCAAACAGAAGGCCCAUCGAGCGUUGCUGAGAGCAAUGGAUGGACUUCGCUAUGGCGCACACAAGUCCCAAGCAAAAUUCGAGUGUUCCUCUGGCGGCUAGCAAGGGAAUCAAUGCCCACUAACGAUCUCCUUCACCAUCGCAAUAUGGCGGACUCGCCGGCAUGCCGUUUGUGUGGAGCGGCCAACUCAUGGAGGCAUCUACUGUUGGACUGCAAUAUGGCAAGAAGUACCUGGGCCUUAGCACCUGAAGCGCUGGUGGAAGUUAUGAGUACUAAUUCUGAUCCAAAUGGAAGAAGUUGGUUGUUUAAUAUGCAAAGCCUGUUGAACCAUGCAGAUUUCACCGUCUGGGAGUCACUCUCUGGGCAAUUUGGAGUUCUAGAAGAAAAGUGAUAUAUGAGGACAUACGCCAGACCCCAUAUUCGACCAAUGCAUUUGUUAACUCUUUCAUCAGUGAUAUGGAUGUGUUGGUACAGCCUCGAGGUGCGCAAGUGGCAGCCCAGCCGAGACCCACACGCUGGAUAGCUCCCCCUGAGAACUUGGUGAAAAUCAAUGUAGAUGCGGCAACUGGGAGGAGCAGGAACGGCGGCACUGUCGCAGCAAUAUGCAGAGACCAUGAUGGCCUUUUCUUGGGCGCUUCCACUGUCACUUUUACCGGAACCGCUGACCCUACGACGCUGGAAGCUCUUGCGGUCCGUGAAGGACAAGCAUUGGCGGAUGACUUAUACGAACGCAGCAUCUUCGUUGCUUCUGACUGCAAGACGGUUAUUGAUGAUAUCCAGAAGGGAAGUGCGGCUAGUUAUGGAGCUAUAAUCAGAGAGAUGGUUGAUCGAUCUAGUUCUUUUUUAAGUUGCCCUUUUGGUCAUGAGUUUAGGACCUCGAAUACCGAGGCUCACAAUUUAGCAAAGCAUGCAAUAUCACUUGGGGUUGGCCGCCGUGUGUGGUUAGGCAAUCCGGGUGAUCUCUCGUUCGUCCCUAUAAACGUUGUGACGAGUUAAAUAAAAGCUUUGCGAGGUUGUCUCAAAAAAAAAAGACCAAUAGAGGUCAGACCUCGCACACAAAAAUGACACGAUAGCUUGCUCCACUUCCCCACUUCCGCGGCAUGGACGGCCUCCUUCUAGCGAGCAACCUAGGUGUCCUGUAUAUUUUACGUAUAUCUUUCCCUACUAAUAAAGCACGGAGUGCUUCUGGUCGUACGUCGUCACCAAUUUACAAAAACGUCCCUCUAUUUCUGCAAAAUCAACCCGCAAUCCCUAUUAAGUGGAUUUGGGAAACUAUUCGUUUUAAAAAGCGUCGCGGCGGUGGCCUUGGCCGGCAUGGAGGUGAGCUUGCGGGCGCGCUUGCGGUAGGCGAGCCUAGCCCGCAAGCCCUCCCGUUGCUUGGUGAGGGCCUUGGCCUUCCUGCGCGCCUUGUCGGCCUCGGCGCUGGCCUUGGCGGGCCGAGGCGUCGCGUAACGGGCGGCGGAUCUCGGCUGCUCCGCCGUGGAUCCGGCGGCAAACGGAUCGAGACAGGAGAGGCGGCAACCUCCAUGGCGGGCCCCUGGAGGAGACCAUCGUGGAUUGAGAUGGAGAGGCGACGACCUCCAUGGCGAGCUACGGGGCAGAGGAGGCAGGGUCUUGUGGCGGCGCUCGCCUGAGCUCCUGGCACCGGGAAGAUAUCGGGAACGGACGAAGGACGGCGAGGCAGGCCGGAGAGGGGCCGGAUCCGGCGAUUCCCGACAACGGAUGGGCGGUGGCGGUCUCCAUGCUGCGGGGUCGGCUCGAAGUUCCUGCAGUGGGCAUGGUGGUCUUCCUGUUGAAGAAAAUAGAGAGGGUUCAGAGAGAGAAGAGAGAGACAGGGGAGAGAUAGAGAGGGAGAUAGGAGGCGGGGCAACGUCGCAGUGCAGCUACUGCUCACCUAGGCGACGACGUCGGCAGGGCCGCCGGGGCAUGGGUCGGAGCGGAGGAUCUCGGGCGUCCAUGGCGGCCUCGUGCAACAGAGAGCAAGAGAGAUAGAGGGAGAUGAGAGUAAACUGGGAAAAGAGAAUAAGGGAAGAGGGAGAUGGCGGGGAAAGGAAUGCAGGGGGACGACGGGGGCCCGCUCGGUGGCUUCGGUCAUCGGCGGAAGAAGGAGCUCAGGGACUAGGUGGUUGUGCUCGGGAGCAGCAGAUCGAGCAGGAGAAAGGAGGGGAUAGAAUGAGGUGAUGGAAUAAGAAGGAACUCAGAGAAAGGAGGGGAUAGAAUGGGAUAAGCUUCAACGGCAGAGGAAGGGCUCAGCAAAUUUGACGCCUUAAGACGAGACAUACACGUGACGGUGUACGUGACCUCCACUUUUUUUUAAUUGGGUACGUGGCCUCCACCCGCAUGACAGUGAUGGGCAACAAAGAAAAUUUUGCUUUUUUAUGGUGAUGAUGGGAUGGGGGUGCGUGGUCUUUGGGCCAAGUUUAAAUAGAGCAAAAGAAAAAGAACCAAACAUAAUUUGUAAACCCAACAACCAGCAUUUUCUGAAAAAAUAAUCAACAUAGUAAAAACAUGUUUGAUUUUGAAUAUUAACAACAAAUAAUUCUUUAUAAAUAAUCCCACUUGAAUGCACCACUACUCUUCCAUCCAAAAGAAAUCCUUCUGCAUUUAAAUCCUCUGAAAAUCCGAAGAAUUAAUUUUGAACUAUUUAUUAAACCUCGAAUGGUAUACUAUUAUUUUGUCUGUAUAUCCCGCUAAAAACACUUACACCAUUCCUUUUCCACCUGAUGAUAGUGGUAAGCUGAAGGAGGAGCCAUCAAAGGACAUCCCUAUGACUUUCUCAACUUUAUACUACAUGGUCUAGACACCAACAAUCAUGUUUUAUAUUGCGGACAUUGAGCGUGUAUGUGUUUUUUAAGAUAAAGGGUGUUUCAAAAUCUUCUUGCUUUAAAAAAUCAUGCUUUUAAGUAUGUUCACGUUUUUUAACGAAUGCACAAAAUCCCAAAAGAUCCAGCUUAAACAAAUAUUUAAAAUUUAUCACAAAAUUUUAAAAUUUCAUAUUUAAAAAGACAUGCGGUCAAAACAUGUUCAUCUUCAAAACAUGUUUCAAUUCUAAUAAAAAGAUAAAAAUUUCAAAAUUGUUCAUUUAUUUCAAAAUAAAUAAAUAUUAGUGUUUCCCCGAAGAGUAAAUAAAUAAAACCGAUUACUAGACUACUCCAUGCACCACUACCAUCAUAUUACUCCGAAAAACAAUAGCAGUAUAAACUUAUUACCGAUGUUUAUGAGAACUGCGUAUAAGAAAUGGCGUGUACUGUCACACGGAGUAGGCUUUACGAUAUUUUUCGCCCGUUGCAACGCACGGGCAUUUGUACUAGUAUUAAAAAUAUGUACUGAGAACCAACCAGUGGUCGGAUGGUUUAAAAAAUUGUUUACAUAUAUUGCCUCUGUCUAGAAUUACUUGACGCGAGGGAAAUAAAUUGAGUGAAUAACUACAUUUUACAUUAAACCCCUUCAAUUCAAAAAGUAACACAAAAAUCCGCAGUCCCUAUUAGAUACGAACCCCUUCAAUUUAAAGAAUCGAGGUGGGACUAUUAGAUACGAACCCUGUUUUGUAGCAAAACUGAACGUUAGCUCAUGUGGUUGUUGCCUUCCCUACGGGAGUGGAUGUCCUGAGGUGAGGUCCUGAGUGAAAACCCACUAUACAUAGUCAGACCCCUCACAGAUGCCCCACGGGAAGGUUGUAAGAUGAAAAUCAUCUAAACUUGAAGCAAAACCGCAUCGACAUCACGGACUGAGCAUCAUUCCGCACCCAUCAAGGACGGGGAUGGCGUGCCUUGUGUAGUUCAUGGGACCCUCGGACCAAUGUCUAGAUUCCAAGAAACCCCACAGGUAAGACGACACGCCCUACUAGUGAACAGUGUAUGCGAGAUUAUCUUUAAUCACGUAUGUUGAAAAAUGUCUUCCGCCAUUGGUACCAACAGAUUAUGGUUAAUCAUGUACCUGAAAUAUGUCUUCUUCCAUUGCUAUCAGUAUCUUCUUGUGGUUGCUGGGGAUUAGGCCCACUACUGUGUGGAAGUCUUCAGUUCGACGAUGCUAAAGCACAGAAAUGAGACAUGCAAUCACAUGCACUCUAAUCACAUGGGGUAAACAAGCAAAAAGCACAAGCAGGCAGAGAGACUCCCAGCUCCCCAGAAACACAAACAUACAGCUCCACUUCCCCGCUUCCGCGGCGUGGACGGCCUCCUUUGAAGUUGACUCGAGGGGAUGAUUGACAAAACUUCCGCCAUCAAGUUUGGAACCUAGCGAGCAACCUUGACCACACCCAAAAAUAAUAGAAGUCCUACCGACUUCCAGACCACAAGUCACAACUCACAACAAAGCCUUCUAUCCGGUUCGCACAAUCAGACAUGUAGAUACCUAGUGACUCCAAAGUCUACAGGAGAGCACCCGAGGUGGCAACGAUAUGUAUGGGGGCGAUGCUCGCGACAUACACGAGACUAAAGAGCAGGGCCCUAUUUAGCCCUUGGUUAAGAGUUCCAAUAGUUGAACGUUGUCGGUGUCAAAACCGGCAGAUCUCGAGUAGGGGGUCCCGAACUGUAGGUAUGAGGAUCGAUGGUAACAAGGGACGUUGGGACACAAAGUUUACCCAGGUUUGGGCCCUCUUAAAGGAGGUAAAACUCUACGUCCUGCUUGAUUGUAUUCAAUGAGUAAAGGGAUUACAAGAGUUGAUCUACCAUAAAAUCGUAAUGGCUAAACCUUAGCUAUCUAGCCUAUGGGAAUUCUGAUACCCUACGUCAUGCUUGAUUGUAUUCAAUGAGUAGAGGUAUUAUAAGAGUUGAUCUACCAUGAGAUCGUAAUGACUAAACCUUAGCUGUCUAGCCUAUGAGAAUUCUGAUAGCCUAUACAGACUAAAUCCUCCAGUUUAUAUACACAUAGGAGGGACCUAGGGUUGUACAGAGUCAGUUUGUGAGGGAAGGAAAUAACUUAUCCGGACACUAAUCUUGCCGUCCACGCAUAAAGGAGUCCAACCCGAACGCGGGGGGAAGUCUUCUAUUUGUACCUUCACGGCCCAUCAGUCCGGCCCAUAUCGAAUAGCCCGGACACUCGAGGGCCACCUAAUCCAGGACUCCCUCAAACAUCCACACGUUUUUAUUAAAAGAUAUAUUUCAAAAAUAUGUUCUUACAAAAAUUGUUAAAUCAAGUUUAUAUGCCCAAGCACCUAGGUGUCUCAUAUAUUUUACCUAUAUAUUGAGAAGUGUGUACCAAGAACCAACCAAUGGUCGAAUGGUUUUAAAAAAAUGUUUGACAUAUAUUCCCUCUGUCUAGAAUUACUUGACACGAGGGAAAGAAAUUAAUUGAAUAAGUACAUUUUACAUUAAUUCCCUCCAAAAUUCAAAAAGUAACAUAAAAAUCUCCGAUACCCUCCGUGCGAUCCCCUCCGCGUGGCCCGCCGCGAUCGCCUGGACCUCAAGCUCCUGCCCUGACACUCAGCACCUCCAGCUCCGGUCGUGCCUCCGACAGGUGGUCCCGCCGCCAGACUGCACCUCGAGCUCCCUUCGCGAUCCCCAACACCUCCAGCUCAGGCAAUGUCUCCGGUAGCUGGUGCCGUUGCCGACCAACACCUCGAGCUCCCUCCGGCUAGCACCUCAAGCUCCCACCGGCGACAGCCAACACCUCGAGCUUGUUCUCCAACACCAGGCUCCCGCCGCCGCCGCCACCGCCUAUGCGGGCUCAAGGAAUCCCUCCUGUGGUUAGAUCUUCACCUAGCUUCAUUGUCUCCGAGACGGGUCUGCUGCCGGGCUCCCCACCGAGUGACACCCCUGGUGUAUUACACCGUCACCAUCCACCUCUCCUACUCUCAGGCCCGGGCAGAGGGGUGUGCAACUGGUGCGGCCAAACAGGGCCCCUAGCUCGGAGGGGCCCCGAAUUUCGUCCUUAAGUAUAGGCCCAUCGAUCCAACUGUUGAGUUGGACCUGGACAAGGUGUUCAUUCCUCAGACGGGCCUGCUCUGUUGGGUGUAAGUGGCUGCGUCCAAGCCCAUGUUGGUGCCGCGUCCUGCGAGUGGACGGCAAAUGAACUCAGCGCCCCAACGCCUCUUCGUCUGUUCCCCAAUCAACACAUGAUCUUCUUCAUCCGCACAAAAAUAGGCUAUGGCGGCCGCCGAUCGACCUUGCCCUGCCGAAGCCACCGUUUCAUAGUCGCCUGUUCCGUCCAAUUCGUCAAAGCUCGGUUCGGGCAGACUUCCAACCCGCAUGGACCACCGGUGAGAGUAUGUCAUGGGGGCACCACCGACGCAACCGAGCCACCUUCUCGUUUGCUGUAGACUUGGAACUGUUUUUCUUUUAUAAAAUCAAACUGAACUGUUUUUCUAUAAAAUCAAAUUGUGCUCGGUUCAGCUCUCAUAAAGAUGAUGCUAUGUUUUGUUAAGCGACAUCUUAUAUAAAGAUUUAUAUACAUUAAGCGACAAAGAAAACUAUAUUUUUGCAAUGAGAUAGACCCUAUUUUAGAGUUUGGCACAGGGCCCUGAUUUUGCCGGCCAGGCCCUGCCUACUCUGUUGCCUGCCAAACACUUAGAGUUAAGUACAAGACAAAUACAAACACAAUAUGAACAUAAUCAUUUGCAUGUAACUCAGGGAAACAAGGAAUUUAUAAAGAGAGGGUUGAUUGAGGUUGAAAGAAAUAGUAAGAAGAAUCGGGAAAACAUUUUCAAAUACUUCACCAACCUUCUUGGUUGCAUUUCGUUUUUGCCCCUUCCGCCGUGUUGUCCGUCCAAAGCCGACGAAUGGCUGGGGUGCCAAACAAUAUUCGGCUGACUCGAACGGUAACAACAGGCUUGUUGUGUACAUUGCCUUCUAAUCGCGCAUGGUUCAUGUUUUUUUUAGUCUAAACACACGCUUUAUUGCUCAAGAAUGUUCUGAGGAAUACAUCUCAAGUCUGGAGGAUGUAGCAGCCAGACAUGGCGGCCAAUAGGGAGAUUAAGCGCGUAUCUAGCGAGGCUAUGUGCCUCAACAUUCGAAGCUCUAUUUUCGUAAAUAAAAGAGCAAGACUGUUUUUCUAACUCCAUUAACUUGAUCUCUCGAAUGAUAUGAGCAUCUUUUUUCCUCCGUUGCCUUCAGAGAUAUUGGAUACAACUUCCUUGCAAUUCGACGCAACGACCACAUGUGUCUCCAUGAGAUCCGAUGCCAAAGCCAGAGCUUCUCUGCAAGUUAGAGCUUCAAGAGUCGCCGGGUCUGAAACUCCUUCAAAAAAUAUAGCUGACGCUCCCAAAUAAGAACCAUCAACGGCCUGGCAAAUGUCACCCACUGAGCCGCGUCUAGCUGAUUUGGUUGUGGCCCCAUCCACUUUGAUCUUGCAAUGGCCUAUCGGUGGAGGGAUCCAACGCGCGAGGCCGACGCACAUUCGCGAACAAAGAAGCGUCGCCCUUGGUGACGAGCACGAAGCUGACGACUGGAUGCUUCGAUGGUGGUAGGUAACCAUCCUGAGAAAGUUGAUUCAGCUGGUCUUGGCUCACUAUGGAGGGCCUCCACUUCCCUUUCGUCUUAGACGAGGCCUUGGUUUUCGCUGCAGGCCUCUUGGUGGCACUUGUCUCCUUCACCUCAUGGCUCUGCCUCCCCUCUCCGGACAUGUCAGAAGCAUCGGCAGGGUGAAAUGCAUGACCUCUUUGGGACUAGGCAUGAGAAAAACGCUUGGGUGCUAGAGCUUGAGGAGGAAGAUGAAGGCAGAAGGAGGAUGAUAGCGUAAAGCCCUCCUCCUCGUACCUUCCACGGACGAGCGAUGGCUUACCCCUCGUGCCCACACAUGAAUGUGCAUGAUGAUGUCAAAAGUAGCAGUAGGGCAUUCCAGAAAAAGCGCUACUGCUACGUUGAAUUAUUAUUAUGUGCAAUGUUCAAGAAAUCGGUAACUAAUAGCUGCUCGGUCGGCUUGGGAGAAAUAACUAAUAUCAAUCGGCCUAUUAAUUGGAUUAAUAGGUCAACCACUAAUCGGUAGAUUAAAUAGUAACCUACCAGCACAAGCAGGUAGCUAUUGAUGUGUAAGGCAAGUAUUGCAGUUAGGGACGAACAUGGAAAUAAAAAGUGAAUGGAACAGUGGCAAGCAAUGCUAGCAAACUAGAACUUUAUUUGUCUUUUAUUCCCAAGCUUGAACUAGCACAGGUCGGGGUCACACAUGAUGGUGCACGCCACUUUAUUUGUCAUCGUUACAACGAUUGGUGCAUAAGCUAAGCAACGAUGAUUCAUCUACCUAUUAGCAUAACUCUUGCAUUUUUCAUUGGCCACCAAUGCCGGCGUCUAUGCUGGCAUAUGGUACGUUGAUGGUGGAGCAGUCAGGUGGGACAUACACGUUGCACAUGGUUGGAAGAGUUUUCAAUACCAAUGACCUGAUCCCCUCCAAUUGAGCUGGUUGUUGAGGUUGGAUGAUACCCAGACCCUGGGCGAGCUGAAAUAGUGGUCGCAGGAUCUGCACGCCUUGUUGUUGUUCUUGCUGCAUGAUGAUGGAAUGCGCGACGCUGUGGAUGGCUGCGCACUGGAGCUGUUGAGGAAUUUGUGCUAGUUGUUGGCAACAUUGUUGCUGCAUCACCUGGCAAUCACUUCGUGGCAAGAUUAUUGACACGAGAGAUGACACCAAUGACAUAGGGUUGCAUUGCUGCAAGAGAAAAUUCUUGCAGGGGUUCAUCUGUUGUUGUAGAAAUGACUGAAUCAUCAGUUGUUGUUGUUGGGGGAAUGAUUGUUGUGGUUGUUGGGGCUGCGGAAAUUGUUGUUGGGGUUGGGGAAAAGGUUGUUGUGGUUGCUGUGACUGGGGAAAUGGUUGUUGGGGUUGUUGAGGCUGGGGGAAUGGUUGUUGUGGUUGUCGGGGAAAUGGUAGUUGGGGUUGUUGGGGCUGGGGAAAUGGUUGUUGUGGUUGCUGGGGCUGGGGAAAUUGUUGUUGUGGUCGAUGGGGGAAUGUUUGUUGAGGUUGGGGAAAUGCUUGUUGUGGUUGAUGGGGGAAUGUUUGUUGGGGUUGGGGAAAUAUUUGUUGUGGUUGCUGGGAGAAUGGUUGUUGGGACUGGGGGAAAGGUCGUUCUUGUGGCCAUUGUACUCGGCUGCUAGGGUCGACCUGCAUAUUGGCAGUGGCGAUUGUUGUUGCCAUCGCAAGGAUUGUUAGGAUGAGUAAGGUCUUCAUGGUGGAUUUGCGUUAAAUACUACUUACUUGGAUUUGAUGCUUGUGCUCUAGUUGUGUGAAGGAUGGAUGAUGGUAUGGAGUCUACAUAUUGUAGGCUUUUUAUAGCUACCAUGGUUAGGUUUCUUUUUAUUAUUGCUUUCCUUUUUUAAAUGAUUCGAUGCUUAUCAAACCGGUUAUUUGGUGUGUUGUGUUUGGUGGCACUACAUACAAAAGUAGUUUGGGAGUGGUCAUCAAAGAUGCCUUUUUAUUGUACAUAUCAUCUAAGAGUGACGAAAACCUGAUAAUUGGCACUGACUCAUCUUAUCGACUUUACAUGUCAAACAAUUAUCUGGAUUGCAUUCCUUUUGGAUCUAAGUUUAUCAUGUUGUACAAGUUGUUAGACAUAACCAAAUCUUUAUAGCUUGCGGGGGACUAAAUUUGUAUCCUUGUGCAUGUUGUUAAAGACAGGUCAGGGAAUUCUAAUGUUCAUUUUGGACUCUUAUUCUUUUUCAAAACUAGCUUGCAGUAUUGUAUAGUAUGAUGGCAAGAUGACAAGCUGACACGACUCAUCAAAUUCUCCUUUUAUGUCAAGGGUAGUAAUGUUGUACACGUUAUCAAUACAUGACUUAUCAUAUUCCGUUUUUAUGUUAAUGGUUGUAAUUCUGUGCAAGUUAUUAAUUAAUAUUGGACUAGUACUAGCUUUACUUGUCUUAAUUGAUUCACUCUUUAGUACAUUUGAAGGUUUGUUCUCGCUUUAAUUAAUUAAUUUAUUGAACUAAGUUUGUAUGUAUUAUGUGUAACAUUUGAUGCAUUUAGUCGAAGUUGUUCAUGACAACCAUUGUUACUAAGAUUUCUGAGAAUGAUUUAAAGCAUUUAAAAAAUAAAUAAUUGCAUAUUUGUAUCCUUAGGGCAUUUUCAACCGAUCCUUUAAAAAUAGGGACAAUUAGAUUUAUGCCCCUAGUUGUGUCACACUCGUCUGUUUUACCCCUAAUUCCCAAAAGUCACCGGUUCUGUCCAAGUCACUUUGCUCCUCUUAUGCUUUUGCCCUUUGACCGUUUGACCGUCAUUUUGAAAACUUCGUAACUAAUUCAUAUUAAAUCAGAAAAAUGUAAAUAAGAUACCAACAUGUUUAGAAAAACAUCACCUAUAUGUCACUGUCAUUUGCAUUCAUGAAAAAAGUGUUGAAAGUGCCCAUCCGAGUUUUAACUCUUAUGCUACCACCAUGAAUAGUAAAAUCUAAAACAAUUCAAAAAAAAUUGGUGGCAAAGAAUGACAAAUGUUUUAAGUGCCUGCCAAGUUUCAUCAGGGAAUAACAUUCGUGGGUGUCGCGACAAAAAAAACAAUCAACACUCCAAAAUAGAUUAUUUUUUUGCCACGACUUCCACGAAUGUCGUUCCCUAAUGAAACUUGACAAGCACUUAGAACAUUUGUCAUACUUUGCCACCAUAUUUUUUUGAUUUUUUUAUUUUUUUUAGAGUUUACUAUUCAUGGUGGUAUCAAAAGAGCUAAAACUUGGAUGUGCACUUUCUAACAGUUUUUUCAUGAGUGCAAAUGACACUGACAUAUAGGUGAUGUUUUUCUGAACAUUUUGGUAUCUUAUUUGCAUUUUUCUGAUUUAGUAUGAAUUAGUUAUCAAGUUUUCAAACUAACGGUCAAACGGUCAAAGGGCAAGAGCAUAAGAGGAGCAAAGUGACUUGGACAGAACUGGUGACUUUUGGGAAUUAGGGGUAAAACAGACGAGUGGGACACAACUAGGGGCAUAAAUCUAAUUAUCCCUUAAAAAUAACGCAGGAUCCGACUGACUAAACCUAUAAUGGAGUAUUUUUACUCCAUUAACUUUUGGUCGGAUCUAACCAAACUCUGAAAUUUAACAAAGUAAAUACAAAAUUUGCAUAAGUUAAAACUAGAUUCAAUUGAAACAACCGAAAUUCGACACAUUUGUCUUGACAUCCCGCGGGAGAACCGAAAUUGAUUUAAACAACCUAAACCUAAACCUAAACUUGAAAUUAAUCUAAACUACUCAUCAUCAUCAUUAUCAUCGCCAUGGUAGAGGUCGAGCCAAUCUUGCCUUAAAAUUCAACACCCAUUGGGUCCGGGCCGGUGUCAUCAUCGUCAGAGUUGGGUAAGGUGCCCUGCCAGUCCUUGGCGUUGAACUCCUUCUCGUCAUUUCCGCUUUCAUCGCUGCCUUGCACCUCGUCGUCGGAGGUGACGAUGACCUCCCCAUUGACUGCCCACGCCGCCUCCACGAGCUUGGGGUAUGGGCGGCGGAGGUCUACCAUGUACUCCUCGCCAGCGGCCUCUAUCACUAUGUGCUCCCUCGCCACCCGGUCCUCCUGAGCCAUCGCCGCAUCCACCACCCCCGGUGGCAGCGGGUUGAGGUGGGAGAGCGUCGUCCCCCAUGGAAAGUUGAGACGCGUGUCCGUGCCAUGGAACCGGGCCUGCCACCGGUCAUAUUCCAGGGCGGCGAGCUCUGUCAUGUGGAACAACCCGAUCCACUUAUUCUUGUGGGUUUCCUGGUCGGUGAUCUCCGCCACCCACGUCCCCCAUGCUCGUUGGUGAAGGCCAAGGUAUUUCCUCUCCGGCUAUUGCGGUAGAGGAAGGUCCAGGAAGUCGGAGAUGCAGGUGGGGGCCGCAUCGGCCGGGCGGCGACGGCUCGAAGACACGCGGCGGGCAUGGCGGCGUGGAUCCGCUCUACGGAUUGGCUGUGAGGAGUACCAGUCAUGCGGUAAGGCCAUUGGGAAGAGGGGGAGGAAGAGAGGCAGAGGAGGCGCCUAGAGAGGUGAGGAAGUUUUACUUGGCCGUCGAAUGGUGGAGUAAAAAUAGACAUGUGAGAUGCGGCUAAGGAUAUUUUUUUACUCCACUAGCCCCGAUCGGGGAUCGGCCAGGUCCCGGUUAGAGGAGUAAAACUUGGUUUUUACUUCUCCGACCGGUUAUAGUGGAUUGGCUAGAAAUGCCCUUAGAUCACUAAAAGCAUAUACUAAUUACACCAUCUUCUAACAUACCUUUAAUCUACACAGACUUGUCAAGAAGUCCUUCAUUCGUGUGUUUAUCCACCUGAACAAAAGCCCGUCAAGUUCUAGUGUUGUAAAAGGAAGCAAGAAGAGGUGGUAAAAUUGCUCAACAAGUCAAUCUUCUUGUUUGUUCAUUAAUACCCUAGAACCGACGGUUGACUCCUGAUCUCUUGUGAGCAUAUAUAUUUUUCUAAAAUAAAAACUGCACUCAACUUUUAAUAUGUUUCAAAUGGUUCACAUUUUUCUCCGAGGGUGGGGGUGAAAUAUGAACCUAUAUGUUGCCUGGUCUUGGUGUGUCUUCAGCGGUUUCUCUUGCGACGGGAGCACGCGGUUGCAGCACUUAUCUGCUAGCAUCAGCAUGGCCCUUGCUGCUGGAUUCCGCGCCAGCGCUCAGUCUGCUAUGGCUUAUGGCGUCGACAUCACCCCUUGCCUCAGCGUGCUUCCUAGCUAAUCCGUCGCCCUUCUGUUACCUUGCUGGCAUUUCUGUUGACGACCAAUGUAUGUAUUUUCUGUUUCUACUAGUAAGAUGCCCGUGCGUUGCACGGAACAUCUAAAUGCAUUCAUCCAGGUGUAGUUUCAUGUUGGGGUCACUCGUGUAUAACAAAUAUUGAUAGGCUUCAAUUCUUCAGAUAUUCAUUCUGCUCACAAGUACCCUUGUGAAUAGUAAAUGCAGACAAAUAGCAAACAAAAAUAACUAUCUUUUGCACACAAACAUGUUUGAGUGUUCAACCUGCAUGCAAAACUUCAUGAAAAAAUAACACUCGUGGUGCUUUGAAAAGAAAAUGCACAAAAAGUUUUUUAAAAAGCUUUUUCAGUAUCAAUUUUGUUUAUUUUCUAGUAGAACACAGUGAGGGUCCCUACCUCGACGGCGUUUUCUCCUGACCUUCUUUGCCUCCCCUGCAGGUGGUGGUGUCCCAUCCCACUAAACAUAGAUACUGCUCCGAGAGGCUACUAUGUGAAUUAGUACACAUUAUUGUUUCAGAAACAGAUGAUUAAUAUGUAUCCAAAAUUCCAAAUACAGAUGAGAUUCUCUGCAGCGGCACAAUAGACGCAGAGUCCCUGAAAUUCCUGUUUAUGAACCCAUUCCUCUAUUCCAAAAGGCUCCAAAAAUAGUUCCUCAACAGAUUACAAAUAUAGCAUUACAGUGACAUGCGUGAAUUUACACUUUUGCAUAAGAAUGUAAUUAAAAUAGAUUAAUCUGUAGGAUGUAAAUAUACAAGAAUCUGGGCAUAAAACAUUAAAUAGAUGGAGAGCACGUGUUGAAAUCAUGAGAAAGCAACCGUGCACUGGCUAUCAUUAUUCAUCCUUCUUAGACCACAUAUCAGAUGGUGAGAUGGAUAUUAUACUGUUGCACCCAUUUCUACAUGUCAUUCUCAAUUAGAACUUCUAGAGAAGAAACCUUCUGCAAGUGGAUACUAUAGAGACAAUUUUGCCGCAUGCCCUCCUUGCUCCAUUGUUCUCACAAAACUGUACAAAGAUAUUUUUUUAAAAAGGAGAUUAUUUCAGUUUGCAUUCAAUCUAGUGACAACAUACGACUACAUACUUGAGUUGCAGUUUUCAUGUAUCUGUACAGUUUUUAUCAUGUAUCCAGUGACAACUUCCAACUGGUAAUUCACACUAAAAUUGAAUUGUACAGCUAAUGGACUUAUUCUCUACACACAUCACAUUUUCAUGUAUCCGUGCAAAUUUAGACUCAAGUUGUAGCCUGAAAAAAUAAUCUUUGCUGGGAUCUAGGCGGCUCCUGACCAUUGACAAGGCGGAAGAUUGAAACUACUUCUCUAUAUAUAUUUACAAAAUGGCAUGGUGUAUAUUAUCUCUGUUAAUGUCGAUGUCAAGAUCAAGGUCUGUGUUAGCAAUAAAGAUCCUUGAGAUAAGGUCACGUCACUCUAGAGAUAUGUGAACAUAGUCCGGAAUCGAGUACUGAACACCCAUUAUUUUUCAGCAAUUUGAGCUCAGUACUUAGUUGUUUGGCUAGAACUACACCUUAUGGAAUUACUAAGCUGAACGACUGACAACAUACCUGCAUUGUCAUUUGAAGUUCUUGGGAUCUUCUGGAUCCUCGAAAGGGUAGGCACCAACCAACAUCACCGAAAGGGUUACCACACAUCCACACAUUGGGUAUGCCCAUUCAAAUAAAAAUUAUUAGUGCUUGAGCAGAAAACAUAAGGUAUUGAAAUAGUUACUCCUCAAGAUCAUGCAUCACUUAUGGCAACAAAUGUGGAUGGAAGAUUCAGAAAGCAAGUAAAGCUUCUAUGGCCGAGCAAAAUGAAUUAAGUUAGGAGUAGUAACCUCCAUAGUCAACCCUGCAGCAGUAACCGCAAAGCAACACCUUGCCGAUUCCUACAUUCCUUGCGAUCGCCCAUCUUUGUGUGACGCUCAUGCACCUCGCCCUUGUUGUCGCAACCCCAUAAUUUAGAAAUAGUUGAACCCUACAAUGCAGAUUUCUUUGAGAAAAUUCAGAAGUACAAUUGCCCUACACACAUCAAAAUUGAUGGGACGCUCUUAUGCAGUAGUUUGCAAUUACCAUCUGACACAUCAAGCUGCUCAAAGAUUACCAUUAAUCCUAACCAAAAUUCUAGCUUUGCAUAAGUAAACCACCCAGCAAAAAUUUGUAGCCAAAUAAUUUCCACUACUCUUAAAAGGUGGCAAAUUCCAUUUGGUCAGUUUGAUAUCAUACAGGGAACUAAGUACUUGGUCGGUUUCUUUCUGGCAUGAAACAUCAAGCCUCCUGACCAUCACAGCAUGCGCAUAAAGGAAGGAAUAAUUAAUAGUUUUACCUUGUACCAGAAUACACAAUUUUUAUGCACGUGUAAAUGUUUGAAGUAUGAAGCAACCUUAAUAUGCAUUGACAACCACAUUGCAAAGAUAAUACUUUCUCGCAAAUUAAACUAUCCUGCAAACCAGCCACUAAAUCACUUCAGUAUGAACACAAAAAUGACCAAACAACACACUUAUCAAGUGAAAGCAAUGAUCCACUCACAUUCAGGGCUGUAACAUUUUGGCGUAAGACAUGCAUGCUUUCGCCCAAAAACAAAAGGGAAGGUUAACGAAAAAAGAAUCAAAAUCUUAAAAUACAAAAGCAUUUCGGAGUAUUUGCCAAGAGCCUGUCACAACAAGCAGGCCUAAUAAUAAGGUUCAAAACUUGUAGUAGCUAGUAGUGGGAAAAUAAUAUACACCGACAACAUGUCAAACACCAUGAAGUAUGAAGCAUGCUGCAGUUAUGCAGUAGAUGACGCCACCAACACCAAGGAUGAGCACCGCGCAGCCGGCGGCAUACUUGUAGAGGUCGCUGUCGGCUCCUGCUGUAAGAAAGGGUAGAAGCAGGGGAGGCGUUGGGGCACGGACGACGCCCACAGCGUACGUACGUGCGGUGGCUGGUAAUACAGGGGGCGGUGGAGGGGGUGGAGGGGAUGAAGACGAGGACGGGGAGAUGGAGGUGGGAGCGCUGGAACGGAGGCAUCAGUAGAGGAUGCAGGAGAGGCAUCGGCAGGCGGACGACAUCGGCGCAUGCUUGCCGAGGUCAGCGCCGAAGGAGACAUGCAAGGGAUGGAGAGGAUGUCGAGCUGGAGGGCCAUCAUGGUGGUGGGCGGUGGAGUUGAGGGGCAUGAGAGGCACUGGGGAAGGACAUCGGCGGCAGCGACCACCCAGCCAGAUCGAUUCCAGCGCUGUCGAUUUGUUUCCAGAUGGUUGGAGGACUUGGGAGAGAGAGGGCCGAACGGGAAAGAUGGGGCUGAGAGGGGGUUAUCUGCAAAUGAGCGGCGGGCAUCUUUUUGCAAAAUUGCACAGAUUGUUUCCUGUGCGUUCGAUGGAGAUCCGACGGUCGUAAGCGACGGAUGGCAGGCACGCCAUCACCACCAACUCGUAUUUUUAUAGGAGUAGAGAGUAGAGAUAUCCAGCGAUUCUACAGCAUCCCACAACUUUGUCUUAGAGACCAAAGCGCAGGGCAAGUUUCAGGAUUCUGCACUCCAGGUUUGUUCCAGUGUACAAAACAUCAAACAGUUACACUGUACCAAACAUCCCACAAUCGGUUACACUGUACCAAACAUCAAUCAGAAUUCUGAUUCUUAUAAAUGUUGCUAGAACAUGUGACUGGUGAUUGGUAGUCAGCAUUCGAGGAGCUUUACUCGUUGUUUGGUUACGAACACUCGGAUGUGAUUCACUAUUCCACGGAUCUCUAGUGAGAAGCUGAAUAUCUUCAGCUUAUAACUAAUUAGUACUCCCUCUGUAAACUAAUAUAGGGAAUGCUUAUCAUGCUAAAUCUCAUUAUGUGUUGUGCUAUUUUCUAAUAUUCUGUUCCCUGAACUUAAUAGCUUCUUUUUCUUUUCUGAAGGAGACAUAUUCUACGCCCAUCCUUCUGUUGGAUAUUCUCACUGAGAAACCUCCGCAGCAGAAGUUUGAAUUGGUUAGUUAUCAUAUCACUGCAUUCAGUCCAAAACGAUGAUUCUAAUGUUUGGAUGCUAUAUCUUUGGUGCUGACACUUCACAUCUGGGUAUCCACCUUAAUUUGGCACAUGGAACUUUUCAGGCUAAGGUAGUUUCACUAUACUCUGUUCUUGGACCAACUUAUCUAGUAUUACAUCCAAAUAGGAAGCCUGAGUCAACCAUCAUUUAGCAACUGAUGGAUCGACCUUUCCUCUGCAGAGCAUUGUUGGGAAAUAUGGGCUGCUGGCAUCUGUUGUUUCCUUUGUUGGCGUGUUUAUCUACCUGGUGGCAAGCCCAUCGAAAUCUGGUGCUGCAAAAAGCAGGCAAGAAGAGGCGCUGAAACUGUCUAGUUAUACUCAAUGUACCCUAAAAGCUAAUGUAACCAGGAUCGUACCAGCAACGCAAUUUUGGCUGUUCUACUUAUACUCAAAAUUUUGGCUAAAUUUAGACAGAGUUAUGUUCUGUAGAACAUAGAUUUUUUUUUAAUGGACAGUUGCACAAUAUCCUUUCAGUAGUGAACAGUUGCACAAGAUAUGUGACAUGCCGGGGAUAUUUUCUGUCCACUUAAGUUUUUUUUUUGUGGAGAAAUUUUUAUUGAACACAUUUUCAGAAAGGAAGAUGGUGGAGGAUAAAGAUAGACGCAGCUCAUCUUUACCAAUGUAAAUAUUCAAUAAAAUCUAACAUAUACUACUCCCUCCGUCCCAAAAUUCUUGUCUUAGAUUUGUCUAAAUACGGAUGUAUCAAGUUACGUUUUAGUAUUAGAUACAUCCGUAUCUAGGCAAAUCUAAGACAAGAAUUUUGGGACGGAGGGAGUAUUUGUUUAGAAUCAGAUACAAGAUGCAGAUCAGUCAAGAUGGUCACACAACUCGUUAGCAUUGCCAUCAAAGAGUUGAAUAGCAAGUAGUCUUAUACUUUAAUAGUACAAUAUUUAUAUAUAAAAAAGAUUGCUACAGACUUACCUAUAUGCACUACAUUCCUUCCUAUUGCGUGCAAUAAAAUCAACUAGUAUAUACAGGCUGAUUAGUGUAGAGUAAAAUUAACUAGUACAAUCAUCAAGAGGGAAAUUAGAUGGGGAAGAUGUGCAAAAGAAAAAUGAUGGAUUGUAGUUUCUAUUAGAGAAUACCACUAGACACUAGGUUGAUUUUUUUUGUAAACGUAGGUUAACCUCUGCGUCAUUGCGAUGCACACAACCAUAUUAUUAAUUAUUCAAAAGAGUACAAAACAAAGGCAACCAUGGUUCAACCGUUACAAGAUAUGAAAUAAAACAAAGUCGACUUCCUCGGCGGUAGCGCCUUCAAGAAGGGAUAUAUGUCCUCCCUAUCGUCGCCAUGUCCGACCGGAGAGGACCUAGACAAGAAUUUUCAUCAGGGUUGGCAAUACUAGCCAAUGAGGACCAGCACAUUAGCAAGUAGAGAAAGUCUUCAACAAGGUAACGACGCAAGUUCAUCACCACGGAGCCUGACCAAUAAAGGUCACUUGACGAGUUUUCACCACCGACAUAAAGCAGGGUUCGGGUCAGCAUCCUGAACGCAGAUCAUUCCAUAGCCUCCUCCGGCAGUACUCCACGGCAGGGUUAAAAGGCACUAGCAGAUUGGUGAGAUUGCUUCCCACUUUAGACCGCUGUCAUCACCGUAAACCGGACAGGACACCCAUGUCUCUGUGGGGGUUAGUCCACUGCCACUCAACACAGAUACGAGUCACACUGCAGCAUCCACCAUAACGCAAGAGCUGCUGCUAUGGAGCUAGAAGUUGAAGGAGAACCAUGAGUACAUCCCUUGCUCGUCAGUGCGAGACUCUGUCGCUGGCACCUCAAGCAUCCUCGUGCGAUGGCCACUGCCCUCACACCGGAAAAAAAAUCGCUCUUUGCGCCGCCAGCAAGUGCCGCACGCGACCAUCACCUAUGCCGACGCUCCUGCAGGAUAUGUACUGUUGCAACGCUUGAUCUCCUUACCGCAGUCCUCAAGGGCCUCCACCUCCACAGCAAUGAGUAAUGGUGGCCACCGCAGCCACCUCCAUGACUACCAACGCAUCCGUUGUUGUCACCACCAGCUUCACCUCUGUCGCACUACAAGAUGACGUCCACACUGAAGCGGCAUUGUCCAGAUCUUCACUGUCCCUGGGCGCCCUCGAUACAACGAUCAUAGAUGUCUGUGCACUAUUCUAUUCCCUGGUCACCUCACCCGAGUGGCCGAGUCCAACGAACGCACCCUUCACCAUAGGUGCCCGUCAGCAGCACCGGCGUAGUCGCAUGUCGGCGAUGGCUUCAGAUCUAAAACGAAAGCCGCAUCCAAGACGACGGCAUCAUGGUUUGUCCAUGUGACCUCCACAGCCACGUAUGACAAAGUGUCAAGACGCGGUGUUGGGAUCUUCAUGGCUGCACACACACGCUUUGACACACUGGUGACGAUAUCCUUCAUCAAGGAACUCGCCUCCCAUCGUUCACGGGUCGCGGUAAUGUUGGCGCCGCCCUCCUCACAGCGCCGCUUCUUCUUCCUCCUCCUCUCGACAACUCUCUUGUUUUCUCUCACAAGCACACAUAUGAAAAACUCAAAAGAAACACACACGCACACAUGCAUUCAACAUCUGAUGGAUGCCCGUGCACCCUCUUUAUUUUAACCAAGACUAUCUCAACUAACUAAACUUAGCACUAAUAACAAGAUUAAUUCCAACAGGCAAUGUAUUGGAGGCGGCCAGCACGGUGGUUCAAUCAGGAGACGCCCUACGACAUGACCCCCACUCCCGGCCACAGCAGUUACGGGCGGCCAUGCCAAUGGCUGCAUGGGUGAGGAUGGGUUGGGGAGGAGGAGGUGCCUAGGCUAGCGUAGCAGCCAGUACUGACGAGGGACGGCUCAGUACUAGACGUACACGAUGACGCACACGAGGAUGGGUUAUGGACGCACACGAUGACGCCGUAGCCAUGACCACGCUCUCCACCACAAAUCCGCGAUUGAGCCAUUGUGAGCCCCUAGACGUCUCCCUCCGCUCCAUCGCUGAGUGUCACGAUCGACCCGGUAAUUGGAUGGAUCGAGGUCGCACAAAUGAGCUCAGUAUUGGGAUAGAUUUGGGAUAUUUUGGGACAUUUGGGGUGAGGAAUCAGAGGNNNNNNNNNNNNNNNNNNNNNNNNNNNNNNNNNNNNNNNNNNNNNNNNNNNNNNNNNNNNNNNNNNNNNNNNNNNNNNNNNNNNNNNNNNNNNNNNNNNNNNNNNNNNNNNNNNNNNNNNNNNNNNNNNNNNNNNNNNNNNNNNNNNNNNNNNNNNNNNNNNNNNNNNNNNNNNNNNNNNNNNNNNNNNNNNNNNNNNNNNNNNNNNNNNNNNNNNNNNNNNNNNNNNNNNNNNNNNNNNNNNNNNNNNNNNNNNNNNNNNNNNNNNNNNNNNNNNNNCAGAAGAACACGACAUGGGAUUCAAAAUCUGAAGAAGCACAUGGUCCUGGACUUUAAAGCCGUUUGCGCACGCACUGCCCUCUGGGCCCCAUUCCUAUGCACUGAAUCCACACACGGACAUUUUUUUUCAAUGGCUAGGGGCGAUUAUGGGCACGAGAUCUCCGAACUAAAUUUUCCGGACUAGGAGGUUCCUUUUUUCACAUUGCAUGAUAUACUUGUGAAAAAUUGAUAUAGAAUCGAUGGAUUCCUAUCGAAUUAGAUGGGCAUGACGUGCAACAUUUUAUUUGCCUUUAUUCCCAAGUUUGAACUUGUAUUGGUUGGAGUCACACAUAUGAUGGUGCAUGACAUUUUAUAUUUUUUUCAUUGCUACAUCGAUCGUCCAAUCGAGUAAACAAUGAAGGUCCAUCUAUCUAGUAGUACAACUGUUUUCAUUUCACUGUCCACCGUUCAUGGCAGUCAUGCUACCAAAUGGUGCACUAGUGGUGUAGCAGUCAGAUGGGACAUGCACGUUGCAUAACAUAGGCAGGGUCUGAAUCACAAGUAACCUAACCAACUUGAACUGGGCUAGUUGUUGAGGUAGGAUAAAGCCCUGGCCCAAUUGAUAUUGAGGCUGCAUGGGCAUUCCCUGGCCCAACUGUUGUGGUUGAGGCUGGCCGAAACCUCUAUCCACAUGUUGUUGUUGCAUGACGAUGGCAUGCACAAUGUUGUGGAUGGCCGGGCAUCGGGACGGUUCAUUGAUACGUGCAAGUUGUCGACAACAUUGUAGACGCUUCAACUGGCAGCUAUUCUGUUGCGAGGUCUUUGGUCGGAGGAACGGGAUCACUGACUGGAUUAAUGACAGUUUCUCCUCCGGGUUGCACUGUUGCAGGAGGAACUCCUUGCACAAGUUCAAUUGUUGUUUUUCCUCCACAGAAGGUUGUUGUUGUGGCAAUGGUUGCUCUUGCGGGUAUGGUUGUUGUGUUAAUGGUUGUUGAUAUUGGGGAAAUGGUUGUUGUUGCGGGAAUUGUGGUUGCUGUUGCUGUUGUUGCGGGAAUGUUUGUUGUUCAUAUGGAAGUGGCAUCUGCUGCGGAAAUUGUUGUUGUGGUGGCUGCUGCGGGAAUAGAUGUUGCUGGGGAAGUUGUUGUUGGAGAAGUGGCUGUUGUGGAUAUGGUUGUUGUUCCUGGGGUUGUGGUUGCUGCAGCGAAAAUGGUUGUUGUGGCUCUUUUUGCGGGAAUAGUGGUUGUUGUGGUUCUUGCAGCGGCAAUGGUUGUUGCUGGGUAAGUGGUUGCUGCUGCAGAAAUGAUUGUUGUGGCCUUUCUUGGACAUGGACACUAGGGUCGAGCUGCACGAUCGCGGUGGUGAUGGUCGUUGAUACAACGAGGAGGGCAAAGACCAAGAGGAUCUUCAUGAUGGAUUUGUGGUUACUCUGUAUUGUUUAGUUUGAAUGUUUGUGCUCUAAAUGUGUGAAAGAUGGAUCAUGGAAGGGGGUCUUCACGGUGUAUGGCUAUUUAUAGAUGCCAUGAAAUGAUUUCUUUUCGUCUUCAUAUUUUCUUUCUUGUAAAGUUCUGAUACUCUUAUCAAACUAUCUUCGCAGGGCUACUUGCAAGUGUAAUUUGGAUUAAUCGCCAAAGUUGCUUUCUUGUAGCACACAUCCAUGGAGUGUCAGGAAAGCUUGAUAAUCGUAAUGACUCAUCAUAUUCAUUUUACAUCGGAAACACUUAUCUAGAUUACACCCCUUUCAAAAACUAAGUUUGUAAUUUUCUACACAUUGUUAGGCACAUCCAGGUUGGCAUAACUUGUGGGGAACUAAGUUUGUAGUCUUGCUUGCGUUGUUAAGAUAGAUCAUACUAGUAAUGUGAAGAUUGUUCUGGACUCCUUCUUCCUAAACUAACUUCGUAGUUUUGUGUAAUAUGAUGGUAAGAUGAACAAGCAUACAUGACUCAUCAAUUCUUUCUUUAUGUCAAUGUUAUUAAUGUCAUAUGAGUUGUUAAUACACACUAGGUGAUUCUCACGCAUUUAUGCAGGACCACCAUGCACAUGAUAUUAAACCCUUUGAAGAAACUUUAUACUUGGUUCGAUAGUACAUAUAUAGUCACCAGAAAAAAACAUAUUGCACACGGUGUAUCAAAUACAACGACACCUACAAUAGCAUGCUAUGUGAAUUAUAGAGUGCGUUGAGUAUACUAUGGAAUAGCAUACGGCCAACUCCAAUGUAGUGACCCAAGCAGACGCGGAUUUUAUCUGCAUUUUUCCAUUUGGGUUGCCAAAAUGGACAACGGACGCAGACGAAAAGCCGGACACCACCGAUGUACACAACAGACCCAACUGAAAUGGACACCGUUGUUGAAGGCUCGGUGUCACUCGUCGAGAGGAUCAACGCCACCGCGCCGGCCAAUGACCUCCAGUUCUACGGACACCUCCGUGUGCCCGCAUAAUAGCUCGAGCCACCCGGCACCGCCGCCUUGGCUCCUCCUGUGACCCGUAGCAGCACCAGGCUGUCGUCGCCUGCUCGCUUCUCCUCUGCUUCCUUCCAUCUCUCUCUUCCUACUCAUCUCACCUCCCUCUCACUUCUCUUCUCGAGCAGGAAGGGGCACGGCCGCUAACCAUAGGACGCCUCCACUGGUCGAAGCCGCCAUCGAUGCACUAGCAUCCUCAACCUCGCCGCCGCCAACCGUAGACGCAUAGUUCAUGCAUAUAACAAACAAUAAACAUAAUUGGCGAUUGUUUGUUGGGAGAGGGGUGUGGCAAACAAAACUCUUUUGAUGGCAAUUUUGGUUCUGAGGUGAAAUCAAACGAUGGCAAUUUAAAACGAAAACUUUCCCUCUCAAUCAGAAACUGCCAUUUCGCUCUGAAGAAAACUGUCAUCCCUCAAACUAAAACUGCCAGCGAAAUAAUUCGCAAAUGCCACCCGCUCCUGGGGACUAUUUGCUAGCUAAGGGGAUCCAUAACAAAAGUGUUCUGCCUGCAGGCAAGUAGAAGUACACUAUUUCGGAUAAUGGAAAGGCAGCUUGUGUAUAAAUAUUUGAUAAAUUACAACAUGAGAUCUAGCAGACGUGUAAGGGGGUAGGAAAAACUUUGUCCGUCAAAAUUGACAUUAUUACAUGUAGGAGAGUGGCACUAGUAGAAAAACCCCUAUUAGUCCCGGUUGGUGAGGGCCUUUUGUCCCGGUUCUUGAACCGGGACUAAAGGGUCGUUACUAAUGCCUCCCCCCUUUAGUCCCGGUUCUAACACGAACCAGGACAGAUGGGCCUCCAUGUGGCCGGUGCGCCAAGCCCAGGCAGGAGGGCCUUUGGUCCUGGUUGGUGGCACCAACCGGGACCAAAAGGCAUCCAUGCGUCAGCAUUUCAGUGGCUGAGGUUUUUUUNNNNNNNNNNNNNNNNNNNNNNNNNNNNNNNNNNNNNNNNNNNNNNNNNNNNNNNNNNNNNNNNNNNNNNNNNNNNNNNNNNNNNNNNNNNNNNNNNNNNNNNNNNNNNNNNNNNNNNNNNNNNNNNNNNNNNNNNNNNNNNNNNNNNNNNNNNNNNNNNNNNNNNNNNNNNNNNNNNNNNNNNNNNNNNNNNNNNNNNNNNNNNNNNNNNNNNNNNGGUUAAUUUAGGUGUUUCAUAUAUUGUGUUAGCUAGCUAAUUAAUAGAGAGAAGUGUCAUCUCUUAUGUCCGUGCUUGGUCGAUGCUACGUACUAUACAUAGAGAGGCCCUCGACACGCUAGCUAGUAAGAAAAUGAAGGGAACCAUUAAGUACAGAAGUUCGUCAUGCAUACCGAGAGAAGUGAUCGAUCGACCUCGCCUUCUCCGAGAGAUUGGUCGAACAACAAGUUUUCAUAUUAUCUAUCCGACGCUAUUGGCUACAUACAUAUACAAUAUGUAAGAUCUCUUAAUUACAAUCCCCUAGCAAUUGAAAUCAACUUCCACAUGGUAUUCUCUGGCUUUAUUGAUGACGUGGUCAAGAAAGAAUCCCGCCAAUUCCUCUUGAAUUGCUUUCAUGCGAUCUUGUUCUAGGAGUUCAUUCCGCAUCUGCCACGUCUAAUUUGAAGAAGGGGGUUAAUUAAUACAUAUAUAUGAAUGAAACUCAACAGAAAUGAUGGUGUAAUAAAAUGAAAUUGUGAAUAUUAUUGCUUACGCCCUUCAUAUUGUCUUUGAGAGUAGCCCCGCUUAUUUUUCAAAGUCACGUUGUAGAUAAACUCGCACACGUAGUAUCCACAGAAAUCAUUCCCUUGUUCCUGCCACAAGCACUUUACGAGAAAUAGAGGUCAAUCAAACUGAUAAUGAAGCAUUAUAAAUGGCAUUGAUAAAAGUAUAGCUAUAGAAUCAACGGAAGAUGCGCGCAACUAGCUAGCUAGCUAGUAGUACUUACUUUCGGGUAUGUAUAUCGCAGCUCCUUGGGCAGUCCCGGAGCUUCUGCUGUGAACUGUUUCCAAACCCUACAAGACAAAGAAAAUAAUUAUUAUUACUUGAGAUAUCAGGAAAUGAACAAAAAGUUACCGAUAUGGUGCGAAAAUGAUCGAUUGAACUUACUUGUUGAGCAAUUUAGUCAUGUCCGCAUAGGUUUCGGGAUCUUUUCGUCUCGAGUUUAAGAUGGUUACUAGUCCCCGCUCAAGCUUAAUCUCCAGAAGAACAUAGUGGAAGCUGCGCACGCAUGCAUAACUCAUCAAUUACAUUACUAUAACCUCGCUCGAGUAAUAAGGGAAACCGAAUAUGCACACAACAGUUACACUCACUCGAAGUUGUAAGGAAAGAGUAUUAAAUCUUUGUUUUUAUUUUUGAUCAACGAUUGUAGCAAGUUGGCCUCGGCCUCGUCGGCGUGCUUUUUAACCUAAAUUUCAUCUAUGAUAUUUAUGUUAAUGAACCCAAUAUCAUAUAUUUCUUGUUUUCUGCACUCGACGAUCUUCAAUCUGCAUAAUAUAGUAAGGAUAAUUAAUUAUAAAUACAUGCAAUGAAAGAGCUGAGCUAUAUAUAGAGACUUAAUGACAGCAAUAGUACUUACAGACAGUAGCAAAAGACCGUUAAUUUAUCGAGGGCCUCUUGAUUGAAGAACUCGAAGAACUCCUCAAAUGGAACAUGCAACAGAUCAGUUCCAACGAGGCCGUGCUCCUCUUUAAUGUACAGAUACAAAGUAUUCGUCCCCCAGACUCUCUGCAGGUUUUCAUGUACCAAUUAUGGAAUCUUCGCAUCAUCGUUGUUAGAGAUUUUUCAUCUUUGACAAGAGGCUUCCCGUACUCGUAUCUGUGUUCGUCCACCUCCAUGAAAUCAGGAAGUUGAUCGUCAGGCAGGUAAUCUGCAUGAUUGCCAUAACCGGCCACCGGCCCCGGAGCAUUAGCGACGAUGUCACCGCUAGACACAUUGAGCGGGGGGCACGAUUGAUUUGCUUGUUUGCCGAGCUGGACAAGUUUUUUCGCAGCUGCUCGUUCUCUUGACCUUUGAUGCCUGACAGUACUUCCCGACCGCUCCGCUUGGAGAUAUGUCUGUUCAGUAAUGUGCUCAUAGUUGCUUCUCGGCGGAGACUUUACUGGUUUCCUCAGGGCAUCGAGAGUGCGCUUUGCUUUCACCGGAUCUACCUUCUCCUCCGGAGGUGGAUGUCUCUUUUCUUUCAACCCUUCAAAGAAGUCGUCCACUUUGGCCCGCACGAUCUUCGUGUUUUCCUCCUCGGUCCUCUCGUACGGUAACUUCUCUAGAGGCUUGAGAGAAGGACCGUAUCUGUAUUGCCUCCCGCCUCUGGCUGUACUGCUAGAUGUCGGAGUAGACAGAGCGGCCGCGGUGUCUGUCUACUUUCAUGCUUGCUUACAAGGCGGAGGAGAAGGACUACGACGCACCGGAGCAGCCGGGGCGGCGGUGGGUCUCUUCCUGCCCCCUUGCUUGCGAGGCGGAGAAGGAGGAGGCUGCUGGCUGCUCGGGCGCACCGACGCAGGCGGAGAUGGAGGCGGAGUGCCGCUACGCGCUGGAGAAGUAGGCCCAGUGCCCUGAUCAUCACUUGCCGGAGGAGGAGGCGGUGGAGGAGGCAGAGUGCCCUGACUCGCCGGAGGAGGAGGAGGAGGCGGAGGCGUCCAGUUCGGAAGGUUGAUGAGCUCCUUCCGCCAUAGGCAUGGAGUCUUCAGAGCAGAACCCAGCCUAGUCUCCCCUUCACCGGUAGGGUAGUCAAGCUGGAGGUCCUCAAAUCCCUCCGUUAUUUCAUCCACCAUAACCCUAGCAUAUCCUUCUAGAAUCGGCCAGCAGUGAAAAGUUGUGCCGUGUUCAGUAGGAUAAACUGAGCCAACAGCGGCCUUGACCUUCAAAUUCAUCCAUCGCGUAAUAAUGUGGCAAUUUUGAGACUCCGUGAUAGCAUCCACGGGAUAGCUGGCAGGAGCCGUUAAGACAUGUUCCGGCUGAAGCAGCUCGGUGGAAGCCACGCUGCUUCUCCGCUGAGAUGGCGGGGUAGCUUCGGGGAAAGCUUCGGCCGAUCGUUUGCUGCGAUCUGCUUCUCAUUCCUCUAGCCCUUGUACCUUUUCGUGCAGCGCCUGCAGUUGGCUCUGCUCCAGUUUCUUCCUCCUCUCCUGAGUUUUAUAACCCCCUGCGUCUGGAAAACCAACCUUCCACGGAAUGGAGCCUGGCAUGCCUCUUGUCCGUCCAGGGUGCUCAGGAUUCCCGAGGGCCAUUGUGAGCUCGUCCUUCUCCCUGUCUGGAAUGAACGUCCCUUGCUGCGCUACAUCGAUAUACUGCCGAAGCCUUGUGACUGGUGUUUUCAGUUGCUCGUUCGUCCGAUGGCACUUCCCUGAUACAGGGUCCAAGGUUCCGCCAGCCCCGAAGAACCAAGUCCGGCAACGGUCUGUCCAUCUCAUUGUCUCUGGUUCGAUCCCUUUAUCAAGCGGAUCAUUCUCAGCCUUGGACCACUUAGGCCGGGCUUUGAGGUAGCCACCUGACCCCGUGCGAUGGUGAAACUUCUUCUUCGCAGCAUUUUGCUUGUUUGUCGCCGACAUCUUCUUACUCUUUUCUGAUGUCGUGUGGGCCACAAAUGCAGGCCAGUGAUCUCUGAUCUUCUCAUAUUUGCCGAUGAAUUCUGGUGUCUCUUCUUUGUCGACAAACUUUUUCAGCUCUUUCCUCCACCUCCUGAAUAGGCCUGCCAUCUUCUUAAGAGCACAAGACUUGAUUAAUUGCUCUUUGACUGGAUUCUCCGGAUCCUCCUCUGGCGGUAGGGUGAAAUUUGCCUUCAGCUCAGUCAAAAGAUCAUCUUUCUGCAUAUCAUUGACAUAAUACACCUGAGGUUCCUCCUCCUUAGGCUUAUACCAUUGGUGGAUGCUGAUCAGGAUCUUGUCCCUAACAAGAACCCCACACUGAGCAGCAAAUGCGUUCUUUGUCCGGAUGGGUUCAAUCGGUUCGUCGUCGCGCGCGAUUGCUGUGAUCUCAAACCUUUUCAUCAGAGCUCAACUUUUUCUUCGGGCCUCGUCUCCUUACCGAAGUUGUGCUCGAUCCGGAGGGCUAGAAAAAAGAAGAAAGACGAGAGUUAAUUAAUAUGUGUACAUAUACCAAAACAAUGAAUGCAUCAAUUAGCUAGUCAGCACAGGCUUAACUAAUAUAUAUACCUGGCCAGACUCGGUUCGGUCAUCGGAGCUGUCAUCACGGUCUCCUUGCACCGUCAUUGGGUCAUCGGAGCCGUCCUCAUGGUCUCCUUCUUGCACCGGCAUUGGGUCAAAGGAGCCAUCAUAAUUUCCUGCUUCUUCACUCUGUCCUUCCAGACCAUCGGUGUCGUUCAGAAACGAUAAGCCGGCACCACUUCCAUGUGCGAUUAUCUCCUCCAACAUCACUUUUGUUGCUUCGUCUCCGGGGGUGUCCAUAGUUUCUACAAAUAUGUACAACAUGGCAAUUAUUAUUCAAACAUGAAAGAUAUGGAUAUAUUAGUGGCAAACGUAGAACUAGCUAGCUAAUCACAGUAAGGAAUCAUAUUAAUUAGUGGCCUCGACGCUGCCUCGAGAGAGUUUGUCGGGUAGGGGCGCGGCGGGAGGGGGUAGUAGACCAACAUCGUUUUUUCUCUAGGGUUUGGGUGUCCUCGAGAGUUUUGGUCGAGCGAGAGGGCCGAGGGGGGUGUUGCCGUGGUAUAAGUUAUCACGGUCGAGAGGGGGUAUAUAUAUCGACCGCCCCUCAUGUCGAAGUUAUCCGGGAGGGGUUAUAUCGACAACGACGACAUACAUACAUAGGAAAAUAAAGUUAUCGGGGAGGGGGUAUAUCGACCCUCCCCCCUCAUGUUGAACUUAUCGGGAGGGGGUAUGGACAACGACAUACCCGAUAAAAAAUAAGAAGACAAAAGAAGAAAUAAAAAGAGGAGAAGAAGAAAGGAAUAGAAGAGAAGAUCGAAGAAAAAAACAAGAAAAAAAAGAGGAGAAGAAGAAAGGAAUAGGGGAGAACAAGAAAAAAUAGAAAAUAUUCUAUUUUCUCUUCUUCUCCUCUAUUCCUUUGUUCUUCUCCUCUUCUUUUUCUUCUUUUUUCCUCUUCUUAUUUAUUUCUCCUCUUCUCCUCCUUUCUUCCUCUUCUUAUUUUCCUUUUUCCUCUCAUUCUUUUAGUAUUGCUUGUUUUUAAAAAAAAUGUUCAAAUAGAAAAUUUCGAAAAAGUAAAGGUUUUGCCUAAUGCAUUGUUCAUAUGAAUAUACGAACAUUUGUAUAUUCUACAAUAAUUAAUAUCACCAAAAAAAAUCUAUGAACAGAAAAAAAUCCUAACUUUUCUAAAAAUCUAUCUUUUGCAUAUAUGAAAACAUUAAUACACAUAUGAACAAAAAAUACAUAUAUGAACAAAAACAUGCUCUGAACAAUUUAUUUAUAGAUUUUGAACAUCUACAUACAUACACAUGUACAUUAUAUAUAUAUGAACAAAAAAACUAAACUAAUAAAAAUGAAAAAAACAGAGCCGCAUAGCCACAUACAUAUACAUAUACAUUAUAUAUAUAUAUAUAUAUGAACAAAUAAUUAAACUAAUAAAAAUGAAAAAAAUAGAGCCGGGGCGGCGUGGCGGCUCACAGCGGAGGCGGCUAGCGAUUACGAUGGCGACAGCGGGGGCGGGACGGGGCAGGGGCUUGGGGCGGCACGCGGUGACGGGGACGGCGGUCUCGGGCGGCACGCGAUGACAGGGACGAGGAGGGUGGGCUCGGGGAGGCAGGCGGCGAUGGGGACGAGGACGGCGGGCUCGGGUAGGCCGGCGACGAGGACGGCGCGGUCUCGGGGAGGCCGUGACUUGGACGGCGCGGGCUCGGGGAGGCCGGCGACGAGGAUGGCGCGGGCUCGGGGUGGCUGGCGACUUGGACGGCGCGGGCUCGGGGAGGCGACGGCCUUGGCGGCAGCGACGGCGACAGCGAGGUGGAGCAGCUUGACGGCAUCGAUGAGCUCGGCGUCGUCGGGGGAUGGGGGCAACUGGCAAUGAAAACUGAGAAUUUUUCACAAGUGUUUCUUAUAUAGUCGAAGCAUUGGUCCCGGUUCGUGGCACCAACCGGGACCAAUGCCCCCUUUAGUCCCGGUUUGUGCCACCAACCGGGACCAAAUGCCAGUUUUCGGCAGCCCAAAGGGCGGGAAGCUGCGGCCUUUGGUCCCGGUUGAUGGCACCAACCGGGACUAAAGGGGGGGCAUUGGUCCCGGUUGGUGCCACGAACCGGUACCAAUGCCCCCUUUAGUCCCGGUUGGUGCCACCAACCGGGACCAAAGGCGCCUAUGCUGCCCGCGUCGCGGCCAAAGUUUAGUCCCACCUCGCUAGUUGAGAGGGCUCGAGAGUGGUUUAUAAGCGCUUCUGCGCCCAUCCUCUCGAGCUCCUCUCAACUGCAGGCUUUCGGGCCUAAUCUCACACUAUGCUGUUGUGGGCCUAUUGGGCCUUCUGCGGGCCUGAAUCCUGGCCCUGGUUAGGUUUCUAGUCGUAUUCAGGCCGUGGUGGCCCAAUAGGUGGCAGUUUUUUUUAGUUUUUUUCCAGUUUUUUUGUUUUGUUUUUUGCAUUAUUAAUUUUCUUUUGUUUUUUGCUUUAUUUUUUAAUUCUUUUUGCUUUUAGGUCAAAAAAAUUAUAAACUUUCUUUUAGUGCCAUUAGUUUUCAAAUUUGAAUAGUUAAAAUUUGAAUUCUUUGAAAUUUGUGUGAAUCACCAGUUUGUGAUUAACUUUACUAAAAAAUGAGCAUAGAUGUGCCGAUAGAGAGUGAUGGAGUUCCGGACUAGGGGGUGUCCGGACAGCCGAACUAUCAUGAUCGAUCGGACUCCAAGACUAUGAAGAUACAAGAUUGAAGACUUCGUCCCGUGUCCGGAUGGGACUUUCCUUGGCGUGGAAGGCAAGCUUGGCGAUAUGGAUAUGUAGAUCUCCUACCAUUGUAACCGACUUUGUGUAACCCUAGCCCUCUCCGGUGUCUAUAUAAACCGGAUGGCUUUAGUCCAUAGGACGAACAACAAUCAUACCAUAGGCUAGCUUCUAGGGUUUAGCCUCCUUGAUCUCGUGGUAGAUCCACUCUUGUAACACACAUCAUCAAUAUUAAUCAAGCCGGACGUAGGGUUUUACCUCCAUCAAGAGGGCCCGAACCUGGGUAAAACAUCGUGUCCCUUGUCUCCUGUUACCAUCCGCCUAGACGCCCAGUUCGGGACCCCCUACCCGAGAUCUGCCGGUUUUGACACCGACAUUGGUGCUUUCAUUGAGAGUUCCUCUGUGCCUUCACCGAUAGGCUCGAUCGCUUCUUCGAUCAUCAUCAACGACGCAGUCCAGGGUGAGACCUUCCUCCCCUGACAGAUCUUCCUAUUUGGCGGCUUCGCACUGUGGGCCAAUUCGCUUGGCCAACUGGAGCAGAUCGAAAACUACACCCCUGGCCGCCAGGUCAGAUUUGGAAGUUUGAACUUCACGGCUGACAUCCGCGGGGACUUGAUCCUCGAUGGAUUCGAGCCACAGCCGAGCGUGCCGCACUGUCACGACGAGCAUGAUUUAGCUCUGCAGCCGGACAGUACCCUGGAGGCCGCACUCGAACCCGCUCCGAUCUUCAAUUCGGAGCCGGCUGCGCAGAUCGAGGACGGAUGGCUAGACACCGCCUCGGGGGCUGCAACCUCUACGGCGAUAGAGCCGAACACUGACCUUGUCCCUCAUAAAGCUCGUGACUCCGAGGUGCCGGACUCCGAACCUCCCGCGCCCCCUCCGAUCGAAUCCGAUUGGGCGCCGAUCAUGGAGUUCACCGCGGCGGACAUCUUCCAACACUCACCUUUUGGCGACAUCCUGAGUUCGCUAAAGUAUCUCUCGUUAUCAGGAGAGCCCUGGCCGGACUGCGGCCAGGACGGUUGGGAUGCGGACGACGAAGAAAUUCAAAGCCCACCCACCACCCACUUGGUAGCCACUGUCGACGAUCUAACCGACAUGCUAGACUAUGACUCCGAAGACAUCGACGGUAUGGACGACGAUGCCGGAGACGACCAAGAACCAGUGCCUACCGGGCACUGGACAGCCACCUCAUCAUAUGACAUAUACAUGGUGGAUAUCCCAAAGGAUGGGAAUGGCGAAGGAGCAGCGGAGGAUGACCCCUCCAAAAAACAGCCCAAGCGCCGACGUCAGCGGCGCCGUUCUAAAUCCCGCCAUAGCAAGAAUGGCGAUUCCGGCACCGGAGAUAAUAAUACCCCGGACAGUGCCGAAGACAACCCCCUCCAGCAAGAUUCAGCGCAGGAGGACGGAGACGCCAGCCCUCAUGAGAGAGCGGCAGAAGCAGAGGUAGAGGAUUAUAUGCCUCCCUCCGGAGACGAGGCGAGCCUCGACGGCGACGAAUUCGUCGUGCCUGAGGAUCCCGUCGAACAAGAGCGUUUUAAACGCAGGCUUAUGGCCACGGCAAACAGCCUCAAGAAAAAGCAGCAACAGCUUAGAGCUGAUCAAGAUCUGCUAGCCGACAGAUGGACUGAAGUCCUCGCGGCCGAAGAGGAUGAGCUCGAACGCCCCUCCAAAGGCUACCCUAAACGCAAGCUGCUCCCCCGAUUAGAGGAGGAGGCAUAUGAACCUGCAUCACCAGCAGACAAUACGGCUGACCGACCACCCCGUGGUCGCGACAGAGAGGCCUCUAGGCCCUUCACUAGAACCGUACCCCGGCAUCGCUCGAAAAGCACAAGGCCACAGGGGAACGCUCCGGACUUGCGAGAUAUAUUGGAGGAUAAGGCAAGACAAUCAAGAUCGAUCUAUGGAUCGCGUGGGCACCCCAUGAUACGUGACGACAACCGUCGCGCCGGACACAGCAAGUCCGGCUGGGCCGAACAAAAUAGACAAAGCUCUCUUGAGCUCCGUCGUGACAUCGCCCAGUACAAAGGCGCUGCACACCCGCUAUGCUUCACAGAUGAAGUAAUGGAUCAUCAAAUCCCCGAAGGGUUUAAACCCGUCAAUAUCGAAUCUUAUGAUGGCACAACAGACCCCGCGAUUUGGAUCGAAGACUAUCUCUUUCACAUCCACAUGGCCCGCGGUGAUGAUCUUCACGCCAUCAAAUAUCUCCCCCUCAAGCUUAAAGGACCAGCCCGGCAUUGGCUUAACAACAUGCCAGCAGAGUCAAUUGGGAGUUGGGAAGACCUAGAAUCCGCAUUCCUCGAUAACUUCCAAGGCACGUAUGUGCGACCACCAGAAGCUGAUGACCUAAGCCACAUAAUUCAGCAGCCAGACAAAUCGGCCAGACAAUUCUGGACACGGUUCUUAACCAAGAAAAACAAAAUCGUCGAUUGUCCAGAUGCGGAGGCCCUCGCGGCCUUCAAGCAUAACAUCCGCGACGAGUGGCUCGCCCGGCACCUGGGACAGGAAAAGCCGAAAUCCAUGGCAGCCCUCACAUCACUCAUGACCCGCUUCUGCGCGGGUGAGGACUGCUGGCUAGCACACAGCAACAACCUCAGCAAAAAUUCUGGCAGUCCGGAUUUUAAGGACCGAAAUGGCAGGUCGCGUCAUAACAAAAACAAACGCCGCACUAACAGCGACAUUAGUGAGGAUACGACAGUCAAUGCCGGAUUCAGAGGCUCUAAACCCGGUCAGCGGAAAAAGCCAUUCAAAAGAACUACUCCGGGUCCGUCCAAUUUGGACAGAAUACUCGACCGCUUGUGCCAGAUACACGGCACCCCCGAAAAACCAGCCAAAAACACCAACAGGGACUGUUGGGUAUUCAAGCCGGCAGGCAAGUUAAUUGCCGAAAACGAUGACAAGGGGCUGCAUAGCGAUGACGAGGAAGAGACCCGACCGCCGAACAAUAGAGGACAGAAGGGUUUCCCCCCACAGGUGCGGACGGUGAACAUGAUAUACGCAACGCACAUACCCAAAAGGGAGCGGAAGCGUGCACUCAGGGAUAUAUACGCGAUGGAGCUAGUUGCCCUGAAGUUCAAUCCAUGGUCCUCCUGCCCGAUCACUUUUGACCGAAGGGACCACCCCACCAGCAUCCGCCACGGUGGAUUCACCGCAUUGGUUCUAGACCCAAUCAUCGACGGAUUUCACCUUACCAGAGUCCUGAUGGACGGCGGCAGCAGCCUGAACCUGCUUUACUAGGAUACAGUGCGUAAAAUGGGCAUAGACCCCUCAAGGAUUAAACCUACCAAGACGACCUUUAAAGGUGUCAUACCAGGUGUAGAAGCCAAUUGUACAGGCUCAGUUACACUGGAAGUGGUCUUCGAAUCCCUGGAUAACUUCCGAAGCGAGGAGUUAAUCUUCGACAUAGUUCUGUUCCGCAGCGGCUAUCAUGCCCUGCUCGGACGUACCGCGUUUGCAAAGUUCAACGCGGUGCCGCACUACGCAUACCUCAAGCUCAAGAUGCCAGGCCCUCGAGGAGUCAUCAUGGUCAACGGAAACACCGAACGUUCUCUCCGUACGGAGGAACAUACAACAGCUCUCGCGGCAGAAGUAUAAUGCAACCUCUUAAGGCAAUUCACUAGUCCGGCCAUUGAGCGGCCGGACACAGCUAAGCGCGCCCGGAGUAACCUACAACAAGACCACCUAGCACGUUUCGAGCACGUGUAGCAGUGCGGCCCCAACCCCAGCCCUCGCAAAACGUCAAGACUGGUCCUUCGCGUACAUCACUAUGCUCUGAAGAUACCAUGGGCAUGGGGAGAGGGGCACGACCACGAUAGGCCCAGACUGCGGCUCAACCACACCAGGGGCUCUCAAGUGUGUCGUUCUUUUUUUUCUUUUUUCUUCUUUUAUUUUUACCCACAGGACUCCGUUCGUCAGAGGCCCUGUCCGGCAACAGACCUGCCGAACUCACGAUGCAACAGCCAGGGAAGGAUAAAGGCUACAACGAAUAUCCAGGUGGUCUCCAUUACGAGCAUUAAAUAUGUUUUAUACACCACUUCGUAGCCUACCCCUGGAGGGGGACAUGCUUAAACAGUCCCUUCCCUUGCUUAUCGCACUAUUUGUAUCGUUCUGCGUUCAUAGCAGCACUUCUUGAAUAAAACAAUGCAACACCUUUUUGCUUAUAAUUGCAUUUCCUUUUUAUAUAUAUGUUCAUUUACGGCAUGUUGCAUCCGUACACUUUGGUACGGUUAAAAUACACCAGGGGCUUAUGUUUCCCGCGUCAUGGUGUGAUAAGUCCGAACACUUUCACAAGUGCGGCACCCCGAACUUAUAGCAUUAUAUGCAUCGGCUCCGAAUCAUGUCUUGGGUCAAUAGUUGGGUUUGCCCGGCUCCCAUGUUUUGGUACCUUACGUUUCGUUAUAUCGGCUAAGGUAGCACUGGGAGAACCACUGCGAUUGCGCCCCAGUUGAGCUGGGUUAACGCCUUAGUGGAGAAAGCUAAAACUGACCGUCAUGAUGAGGCGAGAGCGGUCGCUAUUCGAGAGGUUUUUUGCGAGUCCUUAAAGACUUAUGCCGCUUAGAGCGAGGAGCCGGUUUUUGUCCGGCCCAGGCGUGGAUAGCGCCCCAAAUUCGGCCUUCCGAAGACUAGGGGCUUCGCCGAAAUUUAAAAUUAUAGAAUUCUAUGGCUAAGUGAGAGUGUUCAAGCAUUAUAAGUCCGGUUGCCUUGUUCGUCGUGUUGAGCGCCUCCCUAGAUGGACCCAAAUAUGAGAACAAGAGUGCUCAAAUUUAUCCCGAACACCCCAGCACUCGUGGCAUGGGGGCUGAAGCUGACGACUUGUAAUCUCUCAAAUUUGAUAAACAGCCGAACAGAAGGUAAUAUUUUAAAUAAACAAGCGUUGCUUAGCGCAUAUGAACAAAGUUUUCUGCGCACAGGAUAACAAAAUACGAGUCUACUCAAAUAUUACAUUAUUGGAGCACUCACCCGCAAUAGUGCGGGCACCCUUCAGGACACUCUUAUAAUACAUCUCGGGCAUGCGAUACUCCUUGCCCGGCGGUGGUGCGUCCGUCACAAGCUUCUCAGCAUCCAUCUUGCCCCAGUGCACCUUAGCGCGGGCAAGGGCCCGACGGGCACCUUCAAUACAUGCGGAUCGCUUGAUGACCUACACCCAUGGACACGCAUCCACCAACAGCCGCACCAGGCCGAAGUAGCUCCCAGGCAUGACCUCAUUGGGCCACAGCCGAACUAUGAGGCCCUUCAUGGCCUGUUCGGCCACCUUGUGGAGCUCGACCAGCUGCUUCAGCUGGUCGCUAAGGGGCACCAGAUGUCCGGCCUCAGCAUACUGAGACCAGAAGACCUUCUCCGUCGAGCUCCCCUCCUUGGCCCGGUAGAAUGCGGCAACAUCGGAUACGCUGCGAACGCUCCUGGAGAGCUCCGAAUUCGGGUAAGUGAUAGGGUAAUUCACACUCACAUGCUUACUUUGCAUGAAAAAUGCCUUACCCGCCGCUAUCUUCUUCAACGCCUCGAUUUCCUGGAGGGCUUUAUAGGCUUCUGCCUUAGCGGCUUUGGCACUCUCAAGAGCCGUCGCAAGCUCGGACUCUCGAGUAUUCGAGUCACGCUCCAAACUCUCAUGUUUUUCCAUGAGAGCCUGGAGCUCUUGCUGUACCUCCGCCACCCGCGCCUCAUGCUUCUCUCGCUCGGUGCGUUCCGCGGCCGCACUAUGUUCGGCCACGAACACCGCCUCCUUCAGGGUCGCCACCUCAUUCGUGGCACCUGUUACAUCCAUGUUAUCCUUGUCAUUUUUCUUGCAACCAAAAUCCUUUUCUAUAAGGUACAAUUUUAAUAAGGUGUUACUCACCUUCCUUGUCCUCAAGCUGCUUUUUGGCAUGGCCGAGCUCGUUCUCGGACCGCUCGAGGCUUUCCUUCAAAGUAUUGACCUCCGCAGACAAUGCGGCAGAGGUCAGCAGCACAGCCUGCAAUCCCAUAUUGACAUAUUUUUUAUGACUCCUGCGUAUAUCUUUUUAGAUCCUCAGUCCGGCUUUUCUUUCCGAACACCAAACCGAGCAUCAGGGGCUACUGUCUAUGCGGUACCAUUUUAUAUAUAUCGAAGUUCUUACCUCAAAGCCUGUUAGAAGGCUGCUGCAGGCUUCGGUCAGCCCGCUCUUGGCGAGCUGAACCUUCUGAAUCACCGCACUCAUAACAGUGCGGUGUUCCUCUUCAAUGGAGGCGCUUGGCGCCUCCAGCAAGUUAUCCGGCGCCUCCAGUUGGACGGAGGCUGCUGGCGUCACGGUCUUCCCCUUCUUACGAAGGGGUCGCCCGCCGGACUCCGGAGCCACUGUAGGUUUCGAGGCCGAGUCCGGUGCAAAGUCCGGGAGGUUAUCCUGCGACACCUCCGGGUCCUCCUCGUCCUGGUGGGUCCCUUCCUGGGAUCCCACCUUGGCAUCGUCCGCAUCACGGAGGGUGGAGGCAGUCGGAAGGGAAUCCAUGUCCGACGCACCCAAGGACCCGCUCGACGAAGCAGGAAGAUCAUCCUUGGGUGGACUGCAGGGUUGUAUGCGGCAUUAGAAAGACAUUAUGUGGCGAAAAGAAAAACCAUGAAGUUAUUCGGGAGUCCGGAUACUUACGAUCUCGCCAGGGGCUUGGCCCUUGGAGGCCAGUCCUCGUCGUCGUCACUGGCGUUGGCAAAGCAGUCCGAGGAAAGAGUUUUUCCCUUCUUGGACCCUUCGGCCUCCCUUGUUGGGGAGGCCUUCCUUUUCUUUCCUCCCCCCGCUAGGGGAGAGGCUUUCUUCUUCUCCUCCUCGCCUUUGUGGGAGGAGUCGGCCUCGGAUUCAUCAUCCGAUAACACUUGAAAACGGGAACUCUUUCGAGUACCCGUGGCCUUCUUCUUGGCCUUCUUCUCUGGCACCACGUGGGGUGCCGGAGCCAGCAGCCUCAUUAGGCAGGCGUCCGCUGGGUCCUCUGGCAAUGGGGCCGGAUAGAUAGUCUGUUCGGCCUUCGCUAGCCAGUCCUGUCAAAGGUAAAGGGAGUUUAGAUCCCGCAUAGAGUCAAACUAUGGAAAACAAGUGACAAAAUCACUUACCUCGUCAACUGGACGCUGCGAGCUGAAUCCGCGAUCUUCAGUAGCGGAUGCGGGAGCCUCGGCGCCCUUGAACAACACCCUCCAGACAUCUUCAUACAUAGUGUCGAAGAGCCCUUUCAGAGUCUGGUGCUGCGCCGGAUCGAACUCCCACAUGUUGAAGCCCCGUCGUUGGCACGGGAGAGUCCGGCGGACGAGCAUGACCUGGACUACGUUGACAAGCUUGAGCUUCUUGUCCACCAGCUUUUGGAUACAGGCUUGGAGUCCGGUCAGCUCCUCCGAAUCACCCCAGAUCCGGCCGCUCUCUUUCCAGGAGGUGAGCCGUGUGGGGAUGCCGGAUCUGAAUUCGGGGGCCGCCGCCCAAUCAGGGUCACGCGGCUCGGUGAUGUAGAACCACCCCGAUUGCCACCCCUUAAUGGUUUCCACGAAGGUGCCCUCCAGCCAAGUAACGUGGGACAUCCUGCCCACCAUGGCGCCUCCGCACUCCGCUUGGCUGCCCUUCACAACCUUCGGCUUGACACUGAAGGUCUUGAGCCACAAGCCGAAGUGGGGCUGGAUGCAGAGGAAGGCCUCGCACACGACGAUAAACGCCGAGAUGUUGAGGAUGAAAUUCGGGGCCAGAUCAUGGAAAUCCAGGCCGUAGUAGAACAUGAGCCCCCGGACAAAGGGAUGAAGUGGGAAGCCCAGUCCGCGGAGGAAAUGGGGAAGAAAUACUACCCUCUCAUGGGGCCUGGGGGUGGUGAUGAGCUCCCCCUCGUCGGGGAGCCGGUGCGCGAUGUUGCUGGACAAAUAUCCGGCGUUGCGCAGCUUCUGGAUCUGCCCCUCCGUGACGGAGGAGGCCAUCCACUUGCCUCCCGCUCCGGACAUAGUUGGAGAAGGUUGAGGUGAGAAGUGCGGACUUGGGUGCUGGAGCUUGAGUUCGCGGAGAUGGAUAAGCCAACGAGGAAGAAGGCGCAGGUAAAAGGGUUGGAUCUUUAUCCCCUUAUAUGGGCGGACAAAAACAUGUGUCCCCACCGGCAUGGUAAAACUCGCUUAUCUCCCAAGCGCUGCAAUCAAUGGCGCGGUUGGGUUACCCACGUCCGUAUUAUUGGGAAUCCUGGAAUAAGGGGAACACGAUCUCUGCUUCGACAAGACGUGCCAAGGAAACCGCUUCACUAAACGCGCUGAGGUGGUACUAUAAAAACGAGUAAAGGCUUGGUAGUGGUGCGACGUCACGCCACAGAAUACGUCAGCAGAUUGAACUUGUGUAAUAUUAUUCUCUCUAUGGUGGUACGUGGAAUUUAUUUUUUGCAGAGCCGGACACUAUCCUAGUGUUCACAAUCUUCUAUAAAUUAUUCGGAGGAAGAACCCGCCUUGCAAUGUCGAAGACAACAUGCGCGCCGAACUCGUCGUCAUUGAAGCCUGGUUCAGGGGCUACUGAGGGAGUUCUGGACUAGGGGGUGUCCGAACAGCCGAACUAUCAUGAUCGGUCGGACUUCAAGACUAUGAAGAUACAAGAUUGAAGACUUCGUCCCGUGUCCGGAUGGGACUUUCCUUGGCGUGGAAGGCAAGCUUGGCGAUAUGGAUAUGUAGAUCUCCUACCAUUGUAACCGACUUUGUGUAACCCUAGCCCUCUCCGGUGUCUAUAUAAACCGGAUGGCUUUAGUCCAUAGGACGAACAACAAUCAUACCAUAGGCUAGCUUCUAGGGUUUAGCCUCCUUGAUCUCGUGGUAAAUCCACUCUUGUAACACACAUCAUCAAUAUUAAUCAAGCAGGACGUAGGGUUUCACCUCCAUGAAGAGGGCCCGAACCUGGGUAAAACAUCGUGUCCCUUGUCUCCUGUGACCAUCCGCCUGGACGCACAGUUUGGGACCCCCUACCCGAGAUCCGCCGGUUUUGACACCGACAGAGAGAAUUCAAUCUAAAUUCAUAAUAAAUUUCUAUGAAUUGCAGAGAAAUUUAGUAUUAAUUUAGGUCAAAUUCCCUGUAUAAGGGCAUCUAUUUUCACUUUGAGAGGAGCUCAACAAGGCAGAGAGGGAGGGGCUUAUAAACCGGUGUGAGCGCCCUUCGGUUGGCGAGGUGGGACUAAACUCUGACCGCAACGAGGACCAACCCUUUAGUCCCGGUUUGUGGCACAAACCGGGACUAAUGGUCAUGGGCUAGGGGUGAGGCACAUUGGUCCUAGUUCGUGCGUGGAGCAGGGACCAAAAGGUCCAGACGAACCGGGACCAAUGGCCCACGUGGCUGCCCUCUUGAGUGUUCUUUGUGAGAACAUAGUUGACAAGGAGCGAACCGGGAUUAAUGGUAUUACGAGGGCCGAACCAUAAGACAUUAAAGCAUUUCAAAUGAACUCUGAAAAAGUUGAAAAUUGGCAUGGUAUCAUAAUUUCACCCACAUAGCAUGUGCAUGUACAAAACGGACAAUGGUAUCAUACUCGUCUGUUACAAAGUUGGCAUGGUAUCAUCAUAAUAGUUGCGGGAGAAAGUCUACACUUUUUCUUCGCUUGUGUCAUUUGCUUAUUGCGCCGUAACCAUGGAUAAUCUUCAUCGUUUAUCAGGAUGCUUGGGUCAUCCUUGACUUUGAAGGGAGGAACUUCAUGAAACUUUUCAUAAUGUUCAGACAUGUCUGUCUUGCCCUCCACUCCCACGAUGUCCCUUUUUCCUAAAAGAACUAUGUGGCGCUUUGGCUCAUCGUAUGAUGUAUUCGCUUCCUUAUCUUCUCUUUUUCUCGGUUUGAUAGACAUGUCCUUCACAUAAAUAACCUGUGCCACAUCAUUGGCUAGGACGAACGGUUCGUCAGUGUACCCAAGAUUUUUCAGAUCCACUAUUGUCAUUCCAUACUGUGGGUCUACCUGUACCCCGCCUCCUGACAGAUUGGCCCAUUUGCACUUAAACAAAGGGACCUUAAAAUCAUGUCCAUAGUCAAGUUCCCAUAUGUCCACUAUGUAACCAUAAUAUGUGUCCUUUCCCCUCUCGGUGGCUGCAUCAAAGCGGACACCACUGUUUUGGUUGGUGCUCUUUUGAUCUUGGUCAAUCGUGUAAAAUGUAUUCCCAUUUAUCUCGUAUCCUUUCCAAAUCGUAACAGUCAAAGAUGGUCCCCUGGACAACAAGUACAGCUCAUCACAAACAGUGUUGUCACCUCUGAGACGUGUUUCCAACCAACUGCUGAAAGUCCUGAUGUGUUCACAUGUAAUCCAGUCGUCGCACUGCUCUGGGUGUUUGGAGCGCAGACUGUUCUUGUGUUCAUCGACAUAAGGGGUCACCAAGGUAGAGUUCUGUAGAACUGUGCAGUGUGCUUGAGACCAAGAAUACCGUCCCUGCAUAUUAUUGAGUCCCUUCCAAGCAUGCCUUUUCCAGCCAGUCUCCCCUCAUACCGCGAUUUAGGGAGACCUAUCUUCUUAAGGCCAGGAAUGAAGUCAACACAAAACCCGAUGACAUCCUCAGUUUGAUGGCCCAUGGAGAUGCUUCCUUCUGGCCUAGCGCGGUUAUGGACAUAUUUCUUUAGGACUCCCAUGAACCUCUCAAAGGGGAACAUAUUGUGUAGAAAUACGGACCCUAGAAUGACAAUCUCGUCGACUAGAUGAACUAGGACGUGCGUCAUGAUAUUGAAGAAGGAUGUGGGAACACCAGCUCGAAACUGACAAGACAUUGCGCCACAUCACUCCUUAGCCUUGGUACGAUUUCUAGAUCAAUCACCUUCUGAGAGAUUGCAUUGAGGAAUGCACAUAGCUUAACAAUGGCUAAUCGGACGUUUUCCGGUAGAAGCCCCCUCAAUGCAACCGAAAGCAGUUGCGUCAUAAUCACGUGGCCGUCAUGAGAUUUUAGGUUCUGAAACUUUUUCUCAGCCAUAUUUAUUAUUCCCUUUAUAUUCGACGAGAAGCCAGUCGGGACCUUCAUACUAAGAAGGCAUUCAAAGAAUAUUUCCUUCUCUUCUUUGGUAAGAGCGUAGCAGGCAGGACCUUCAUACUGCUUUGGAGGCAUGUCGUCUUUUCCGUGCAAACGUUGCAGGUCCUCCCGUGCCUCAGGUAUAUCUUUUGUCUUCCCAUACACGCCCAAGAAGCCUAGAAGGUUCAUGCAAAGGUUCUUCGUUACGUGCAUCACGUCGAUCAAAGAGCGGACCUCUAGGUCUUUCCAGUAGGGUAGGUCCCAAAAUAUAGAUUUCUUCUUCCACAUGGGUGCGUGUCCCCCAGCGUCACUCGGAAUAGCUAGUCCGCCGGGACCCUUUCCAAAGAUUACGUGUAAAUCAUUGACCAUAGCAAGUACGUGAUCACCGGUAUGCAUGGCGGGCUUCUUCCGGUGAUCUGCCUCGCCUUUGAAAUGAUUGCCUUUCUUUCGACAUUGAUGGUUGGUCAGAAGAAAUCCACGAUGGCCCAGGUACACAUUCUUCCUGCAGCUUCCCAGGUAUAUACUUUCGGUGUCAAGUAAACAGUGCGUGCAUGCGUGGUAUCCCUUGUUUGUCUAUCCUGAAAGGUUACUGAGAGCGGCUGAAAGGUUACUGAGAGCGGGCCAAUCGUUGAUGGUCAUGAAUAACAACGCCUUUAGGUCAAAUUCCUCCUGCUUGUGCUCAUCCAAUGUACGUACACCGUUUCCAUUCCGCAACUGUAAAAGUUCUUCAACUAAUGGCCUUAGGUACACAUCAAUGUCGUUGCCGGGUUGCUUAGGGCCUUGGAUGAGAACUGGCAUCAUAAUGAACUUCCGCUUCAUGCACAUCCAAGGAGGAAGGUUAUACAUACAUAGAGUCACGGGCCAGGUGCUGUGAUUGCUUCUCUGCUCCCCGAAAGGAUUAAUGCCAUCCGCGCUUAAAGCAAACCAUACGUUCCUUGGGUCACGUGCAAACUCAGCUGAGUACUUUCUCUUGAUUUUUCUCCACUGCGACCCGUCAGUGGGUGCUCUCAACUUCCCAUCUUUCUUACGGUCCUCAAUGUGCCAUCGCAUCAACUUGGCAUGCUCUCCAUUUCUGAACAGACAUUUCAACCAUGGUAUUAUAGGAGCAUACCACAUCACCUUUGCAGGAACCCUCUUCCACGGGGCUCGCCGUCAACAUCACCAGGGUCAUCUCGUCUGAUCUUAUACCGUAAUGCACCGCAUACCGGGCAUGCGUUCAGAUCCUUGUACGCACCGCGGUAGAGGAUGCAGUCAUUAGGGCAUGCAUGUAUCUUCUGCACCUCCAAUCCUAGAGGGCAUACGACCUUCUUUGUUGCGUAUGUACUGUCGGGCAAUUCGUUAUCCUUUGGAAGCUUCUUCUUCAAUAUUUUUAGUAGCUUCUCAAAUCCUUUGUCUGGCAUAGCAUUCUCUGCCUUCCACUGCAGCAAUUCCAGUACGGUACCGAGCUUUGUGUUGCCAUCUUCUCCAUUGGGGUACAACCCUUUUUUGUGAUCCUCUAACAUGCGAUCGAACUUCAGCUUCUCCUUUUGACUUUCGCAUUGUGUCCUUGCAUCGACAAUGACCCGGUGGAGAUCAUCAUCAUCGGGCACAUCAUAUGGUUCCUCUUGAUCUUUAGUAGCUUCGCCCGUUGCAGCAUCAUCGUGCACAUCGUAUGGUUCCUAUUGAUGUUUAGUAGCAUCACCGUAUUCAGGGGGCACAUAGUUGUCAUCGUACUCUUCUUCUUUGUCGUCUUCCAUCAUAACCCUUAUUUCUCCGUGCCUCGUCCAAACAUUAUAGUGUGGCAUGAAACCCUUGUAAAGCAGGUGGGUGUGAAGGAUUUUCCGGUCAAAGUAAGACUUCGUAUUCCCACAUAUAGGGCAUGGACAACACAUAAAACCAUUCUGCUUGUUUGCCUCAGCCACUUCGAGAAAAUCAUGCACGCCCUUAAUGUACUCGGAGGUGUGUUUGUUACCGUACAUCCAUUGCCGGUUCAUCUGCGUGCAUUAUAUAUAAUUAAGUGUGUCAAAAAUCAUUACAGAACAUCAUGAAUAGAUAAUUAAGUGACCAAAUUAAUAGAAGUUCAUCAUCACAUUAAAACCAAAGUACAUACAUAGUUCUCAUCUUCAAGCGAAAAUCAUUACAGAACAACAUAAAGCUCUGCAGAGCAUCUAAAUUAAUUAAACCAUACAUUGAAACUAUGUAAAACAUUUCAAUGUGAAAACAAAUGCGAUCAUAAUCGCAACCAAGGUAACAACUGAUCCAACGGCAUAAUGAUACCAAGCCUCGGUAUGAAUGGCAUAUUUUCUAAUCUUUGUAAUCUUCAAGCGCAUUGCAUCCAUCUUGAUCUUGUGAUCAUCGACGACAUCCGCAACAUGCAACUCCAAUAUCAUCUUCUCCUCAAUUUUUCUUAUUUUUUCCUUCAAGAAAUUGUUUUCUUCUUCAACUAAAUUUAACCUCUCGACAAUAGGUCGGUUGGAAUUUCUGGUUCAACAACCUCCUAGAUAAAUAAAAUCUAUGUCACGUUGGUCGGCAUAAUUUUCAUAAACAAUAAAUGAACCAAAGGUUAUGAAAAGAUAAUAUAUAUAUACCACAUCCGAAUCAUAGACAGGACGAGGGCCGACGGGGGCGGAUACCAAAACCAUCGCACUGUAUAAGAUGCAAUAAUAAAAGUAAGAAAAUAAUACAAGUAUCUAUCUAAACAUACAAGUAAGAAUAUUUUUCCUUUCAGAAAGAAGAUAAGAACAAGAGGCUCACCAUGGUGGUGCCGGCGAUGAGAUCGGCGCGGGCGAUCGACGGCGAUGAAGACGGGGACGGGGCGUGACGGACCGCUAAACCUAGACAAAUAUUGAGGAAAAUGGAGCUUGGAGGUCGAGCUUGGAGAGGAGAAAGCUUAAGUAGUGUGGCUCGGGCAUUCCAUCGAACACCUUGUGUGCAUAGGAGGUGAGCUAGAGCACCACCAAGCCCUCUCCCCCUUGGCUGCCAGAAAAAACAGAGCGGUGUGCUCUGCUCUUACGCGAGGGGGUAUAUAUAGGCACCUCAUUGGUCCCGGUUGGUGGCAUGAACCGGGACUAAAGGGCAGCCUUUGGUCCCGGUUCAAUCCACCAACCGAGACCAAUAGUGGUGGGCCAGGAGCGAGGCCCAUUGGUCCCGGUUCGUCCCACCAACCGGGACCAAAAGGUCCAGACGAACCAGGACCAAUGGCACACGUGGCCCGGCUGGCCCCCGGGGCUCACGAACCGGGUCCAAUGCCACCAUUGGUCCUAGUUCUGGACUGAACUGGGACUAAUGGGCUGACCCGGCCUGGACCAUUGCCCCCUUUUCUACUAGUCUGGGUCUUCAGCUCCCGGAUGCCUAGGAACAACAACAAAGCCUUUAGUGCCAGACAAGUUAGGGUAGGCUAGAGGUGAAACCCAUAAGAUCUUGCGAACAACUCGUGGCUCUUGCACAUGGAUAGCAAGCUUCCACGCACCCCUGUCCAUAGCUAGUUCUUUGGUUAUACUCCAAUCCUUUAGAUCUUUCUUAACGUACUCCUGCCGUAUCAAAUUCGGUCUACCCGACCUCUCUUGACAUUCUCCGCACGCUUUAGCCGUCCGCUAUGCAUUGGAGCUCCUGGAGGUCUGUGCUGAAUAUGCCCAAACCAUAUCAGACGAUGUUGGACAAGCUUCUCCUCAAUUGGUGCUACCCCAACUCUAUCUUGUAUAUCAUUCCAGACAUGAUCCUUCCUCGUGUGGCCACACAUCCAUGUCAACAUAUGCAUCUCCGCCACACCUAACUAUUGAACAUGUCUCCUUUUAGUCGGCGAACGCUUAGCGCCAUACAACAUUGCGGGUCGAACGGCCGUCCUGUAGAAAUUGCCUCUAAGCUUUUGUGGCACUCUCUUAUUGUAGAGAAUGCCAGAAGCUUGGCGCCACUUCAUCCACCCCGCUUUGGUUCGAUGGUUCACAUCUUCAUCAUAACCCCAUCCUCCUGCAGCAUUAGACCCAAAUAUCAAAAGGUGUCCUUCUUAGGCACCACCUGCCCAUCAAGGCUAACCUCCUCCUCCUCAAACCUAGUAGUUCUGAAACCGCACAUUCUGUGCUCGGUUUUAGUUCUAGUAAACCUAAACCCUUUUGAUUCCAAGGUUUGUCUCCAAUACUCCAACUUCCUAUUCACCCCCGUCUGACUAUCGUCAACUAGCACCACAUCAUCCGCAAAUAGCACAAACCAUGGGAUAUCUCCUUGUACAUCCCUUAUGACCUCACCCAUCACCAAGGAAAAAUGAUAAGGGCUCAAAGCUGGCCCCUGAUCCAGUCCUAUCUUAAUCGGGAAGUCAUCAUUGUCAACAUCACUUGUUCGAACACCUGUCAAAACAUUAUCAUACAUGUCCUUCAUAAGGGUAAUGUACUUUGAUGUGACUUUGUAUUUCUCCAAGGCCCACCAAAUGACAUUCCGCGUCAUCUUAUUAUAGGCCUUCUCCAGGUCAAUGAACACCAUAUGAAAGUCCUUUUUUGCUCCAUGCAUCUCUCCAUAAGUUGCCGUACCAAGAAAAUGGCUUCCAUGGUCGACUCCCUAGGCAUGAAACCAGACUAAUUUUUUGUCAUGCUUGUCAUUCUUCUUAAGCGGUGCUCAAUGAUUCUCUCCCAUAGCUUCAUUGUAUGGCUCAUCAGCUUAAUUCCACGGUAAUUAGUACAACUCUAAACAUCCCACUUGUUCUUAAAGAUUGGUACUAAUAUACUCCAUCUCCAUUCUUCUGGCAUCUUGUUUGCCCGAAAAAUGAGGUCGAAAAGCUUGGUUAGCCAUACUAUCGCUAUGUCCCCGAGGCCUUUCCAAUACAAUCAGGGCCCAUCGUGUUGCCUCCUUUCAUCUUUUUUAAAGCCUCAUUGACCUCAUACUCCUGGAUUCGCCACACAAAACGUGUGCUGGUCUCAUCAAUGGAGUCAUCCAGUUCAACGGUCGAACUCCCAUUCUCCCCAUUGAAUAGCUUGUCGAAGUACACCCACCAUCUAUGCUUAAUCUCCUCGUCCUUCACCAAGAGUUGGUCUUCUCCGUCCUUGAUGCGUUUGACUUGGCCAAUAUCCCUCAUCUUCCUCCCUCUGAUCUUGGCCAUCUUAUAGAUGUCGCUUUCGCGUUCCUACGUACCUAACCGUUGGCAGAGGUCCUCAUACAACCGACCCCUUGCUUUACUGAUAGCUUGCUUUGCGGCCUUCUUCGCCAUCUUGUACUUCUCUAUUUUGUCGGCACUCCUAUCCAGGUAUAGGCAUCUAAAACAAUCUUUCAUAUCUUUAAUCCCUUGUGGACAUCAUCAUUCCACCACCAGGUAUCCUUAUCCCCGCUUCUCCUUCGCCUGCACACUCCAAACUCCUUCGAGGCCACCUUAAAAAUAUAAGUCGCCAUCUUCAUCCACACAUUUCCGCAUCCCCUCCUUCGUCCCAAGGGCCCUCCUUAAUGACCUUCUCCUACCUCCCCCUUGAGCUUCCACCACUUCGUUCUAGCGAUUUUGACACGCUUAUCCCGCUGGACACGAAUGCGAAAACGGAAGUCAGCAGCCACCAGCUUAUGCUGAGGUACAACACUCUCUCCAGGUAUCACCUUACAAUCUAGGGAUGCACGUGUAUCUAUGAACAGUAAAAUAAAAAAAAUGUGAAACUACGCAACAUCAAAGGUGAUCAAACUUUGUAGGUGAUUGCAAGUUUUCAUGCCAAAAUACCAUUCGAGGAGCUCUAUACACGAAAAAUAUUUCAGUGCUUGAAGUUUUGAGCACUUUUAGCACUGAAAUCUGAAACUUGUUUGUACACCUUUCUCUACAUGAUAUUCUGGCAUGAAAACUUGCAAGAACCUACAAAGUUUGACCAUCUUUCAUGUUGCAAAGUUUCAGAUUUUUUAAUUUAAUGUUCAUAAAGGGUGCCUAGGCACCCGGGAGCUAUCAUGUCUUUUUGUUACAUGUAGCUAGUCAAUGACAAUAUUGGUCGUGUCAGAAGGUUUCAGCAAACCUACAACAAAAUUGAGAGGAUUCUUGCAAGAGAACAACAGACAACAAAUAAAAGCCAUGAAACAAUGGUAAACCUUCAAUUCAAGAAUAUUUAGUGGAGGCAUACAAAGUAUCAAAUUGAUUGAUAGACAGAUCAACUUGAGAGAUAUUUUCGCAGCAACAUUUAGUAAAAUCACUAAUCAAUAUGUUGCUAAGCAUCAAACUGAUAUGCAUAGGCAAAAAUGAAUCGACAAAUAGAAAGGAUAACCAAAUAUUUCAUCACAUGCUCAGUGUGGAGGAGAGAAAAUGAGAAAUACCGAAUACAUAUAUGAAGGUGUUGUGGCCUUAGCAGCACCAUUGACACGGCAGGGGAAGCGCAUGCGGUUUUUGUACCAUAUAUUGAAAUAGAAUUCCAGAACAUGUGCUCAAUCAAGCAAAAUAAGAUUCAGGUCUGGAUCAAGCGAACGAAAUCCAUAAUAGGUGAAGAUAUGCAAUCCUGUGUAUUCGAUCAAGCAAGAUUAAAUUUAAAUAUUAAGCCAGCACAGAAAAUUCAAAAUUAGCAAUGGAUGGGAACAAUAUGUACAUAUAGGAGCCGUAAAUCCGUGGCAUAUGUAUGUAGCAAGGGGAGAAUAACCAAGAUGACGGCCUUGGCGUUCAAGUCAUCGAGCACCUGAGGAAAUCCAAUUUGUUUGUUCAACCAGCAAUAUGUCAUCGGGAAUGUCGAGGAAUGGGGAUGGAGUUGCUCACCAAAGGCAGAAGUAUGAGCGUCCUAUGGCAGAUGUCCACCCAUAAUGGAGGACGAUGGGAACAAAGUGAACUGAAGUGUGUGGGUGCGACUCUAAAUGGCAACCUGUUAGUUACUUGUAGAGAUUGUGGGAAGAGGAAGUGGAGCGUCAAGCAUCACUUGCCUGUAGCAGAUGAUAAACAGUGUGAGGCAUUUUGAGAAUUGGGCUGCAUAGGGGUUGAAGCAGUGGGUUAUGUACAUUUGGUGUGAGCAAAGCAAGAAAUACCGAAAAACAACAGGGGCACGGGAGCUUCAACUGUAGAAGCGUUGUUGCCCUAGUCCAUAGUCCAUAGGUCGCCAUUCUCGCCCAGUUGAAGCUAAAGCACCUUGGAGCGAUCAUCAAGUGCCAAGAAACAUACGUAUAAAUACUUGCCUGGUUUGACAAGUUUCUUUCCCCUCUUGCUAGGCGAGUAGGGAAAGCCUUCCCCUCGAUCUCCGCCGACCAGCCCGUGGAUUCACCUCCCCUCCACCUGCCGCUCUGGUGGCCGAUGGCGGGGAGAGGAGUUCUGGUGCUCGCCUCCAACUAGUAGAUAGGCAGGGUUUUAGUUCUGGAUGGCGUUUGGAUGGAUGACGACGCUUCUUCUUCAAGUCACUCCUCCGGGCUCCGAUCCUCCUCAAGUUCGUCUGCUGGGACGGACUAAACUGAGCUCUAGCGUAGAUUGCUGCCAGCUCCUUGGGGCGGCGAGGUUAGGGUUUCUUGCCGUGCGUAUGCAACAGUGAUAUUUGGUGUCAAAUUCUUCAGAUCGAUUAAAUGAUUCAACCGCGACGAUGGCGGCUCUGGAUAGAGGCACGUGCAUGAAGACUUCCCGGCUGUCACCGACAAGGUCAAACCAGACAGGGCAACCCAACAGCCAAACUGAAUGAAAGGCCAACCACACACCGAUGACAAAUGACCUCAACCAUCAGAAGGCCAAGCAAGACAGAGGUCGGAAACGCUCCUUGGCGUUGCUCGUUGGAGCGAUUGAUUCGAUCCAAAGCAUGAUGUGGUGAAAAGGACGGACCGUCGGGACCGCACAUAUCAGGCGAUCACUCACAUGGGUCGUACCUGAACCAUGCCCAACCAAACUCCGCAGAGAAGCUUGGCUUGAAGGACAGAGUGAUUCAUCUAAUGCUGAAAGGGAGGAACAGUCCUGGAGUCAACUAUGAAAAAUCCAGGUCCCUUCAAAGAUCAGAAUCUUUCUUUGGAGAUUGGCGCAACAGUCUAUACCUUCUGCAGAUCUCCUUCAUCAACAGAACAUGGCAACAUCAAGCCGGUGUGCUCUUUGCGGCAACGGGGAUUCAUGGCGCCACUCUUUGAUGGAGUGCACUAUGUCAAAAUGCGUGUGGGCUUUGGAAGAGGAAGAACUGACUUUGGCCUUAACCGCUGUCACAGAUCCGAAUGCACGUAGAUGGAUUUUUACCAUCAUGGAGAAAUUGUCUGCUACAGAUCUCACUAGAGCACUUGUUACACUUUGGGCCAUUUAGCAUGCUCGUCGGAAGGCCAUACACGAGCAUAUUUUUCAAAGUCCUUCUAGCACGCAUGGCUUUGUGGACCGAUUCAUAUCAGAAAUCUCAGCAACCAGGCCUACUUAUCAACAUAGUGUGCAAGCUGUGAGAGCAGAUACGCGCAACCGAAUGGGUGUGUUUUGUAACUUAUCUUGUUCACGGUCUUGGCUUCCCGAUUCACCCCUCCCUGUGAGGCCUCCUUCACUUUUACGGCCUUCAGCUUUACCACCUUGCUCCUAACUCCAUUCUACAUAUCGCCUGCUUCGUCACUUUCUGCGAGGCAACAUUGCUGCUCAAAUUAACCUCUCUGACUGUAGGUCAAAGCGAUGGACGAUGACCUUGCGGGCCCACAGAGAGCGUCACACGCGAGUGAGUGUCCUAGGACAACCACCUAUUGCAUGUGGCCCAAACAUGUAUAUAUAAAAGGGUUGUCUAAUGUUUUAAAUAACGAAUUUACGACUUUGAUGUGGCACCUGCCUCACAAAACGGUCAAAACGGUCAAUCCCACACGGUGACUCAUGACUCGUAGUGUACUGCCAGACCUUCUGUGCUGCGAGCCGUACUUCCGGCUCUAGUGCGAGUACUUCAACGUGAAGCUUCACAGCAAUGGCCUAGAGCCAUUCGAGUGCGGCGGCGCUUGAUCAUCGGUUCCGCCUAUCUAGACCGAACUUUAUUGAACCCAACAAAAACUGAAAUGAGAAGUGAUUUUAUAUCUCCGAUCCACCGCUGCAAAACCCUACUCGGCUGGGACAGUCACCCCCUCUUCUGCAACCACACCGGCUAAGAUCAAUUCUUGCACACCAAGGAGCCGCACAUCAGAAGAUACAGAGGAGGUGAUCAAUUGAAGCGAGAAGGUGACUCGCUAGAUUCAAAGGGAAAGCCGCUAACUUUCCAAAUCACAAGGAGCUGGCGUAUUCUUUUGCCAUUGGUCAACCCGAAUUGUCUAAUCCAAUCGAGUUUUCUCUAAUGUUAAUGUCAGAAUGGUGUGGCCCUUACUGCUGGAUUGUGCACCAGCGCUCAGUACGCAGCGAACACAAUGGCUUGCACAACACAAGAGCGAGGGGCCUUUUUUCGUGAGAACCAAGAUUUGAACCCUGGUUAAUAGCCCCACUCCAGGUUGUCUCUACCACCGUGCUAGACGCACAUUCUCAGACCCGGCAACAUGUAUGUAGGUUCAUAUUUUACCCCCACCCUUGGAUAAAAAUGUGAAUAAUUUGAAACAUAUUAAAACUUGACUGCAAUUUUUUAAUUUUGGAAAAAUAUGCUCACAAAAGUAGUCAACCCACGGUUCUAGGUAAAGCAAGGUGCGUUUCUCUGAUUUUUUCAUCCAUUCACCGCUGAAAUGUUUUUUUCCAAAUUUCUGUGCGUCUGUUUGCUAGAAAAGACAUAAUAAUUUUCAUACAUGGGGCGUGCAUGUUGUGGCCUGUCGAAACCAGCCCACUUAUUUCCCUGCACACACAGUUGGGAAAACCCUAUUUACCGUACAUGGCUACAAAUACUCUGACCUUCACAUAAGGCGCAAGGCAGUGCCUGCCCAAUCUCUUUUUUUCCUGAGUUUUAUUGCGAUUUUUAUUUUUUUUCCUUUUUCUAUUUCUUGUUUUCCUUUUUCCCUAUAAACUUUAGAAAAAAUAUCUGAAUAUCGAUUUGUGUUUUUCAAUUUUUAGAAAAUAAGUCCGAAUUCCAAAAUUUUCUUUCUGUUUUAUAAACUGUUCAAAACUUGAAAUUUUUGUUCUCAUUCCAAAUUUGUUCUCAAUUACAAAAACAAUCCAAAACUUAUAAAAAAUGUUUAUGUUUUCCAAAAAGAUCGAGAUAUUAAAAAUUAAAUUGUAUUUUAGAAAAUGUUCCAUUUUUUCUAAAAAAAUUAUGCUCUCCAAAAAAAAUUGGGAUUUCAAAAUAUGUUCCAGAUUCUAUAAAUAUGCGUGAUUAGUGAAAUGUUCACAAAUUAAAAAUAAUGGUCGUAGUUAAAAUAAACACAUUUUCAGAAAUUGUUAUAAAUGUUCAAAACGUGUUCUUGUUUUAAGCAAAUGUGCCAAAAUUCGAGAAAAGUUAGUGUUUUUCAAAGGUUCAUGUUUUCCAUAAAUGUGUGAAUUUUAAAAAAUAUUCUCCCUAUUUCAAAUGUUGUUCAUCUUUUAACAAAAUGAACGAAAUUUUCGAAAAACUUUUCGUGAUUUCAAAAAUUGUUCAUGUUUUAAAAAUAUUUUGUAAUUUAUAAAUAUUAAUUUAUUUUUGGAAAAUUAAAAAAAGGAUUUGAAUAUUGUGAUGCAGUAUGUUCUUAAACGUUCGCGCUAGUCAUUGGUUAGCAGGACCCAUUUAUUCGAUUGGACAGCACCGAGUGAUCGAGUUUUUAGGUCGUUAGUUCGAUCCUUUAACUUGUCUUUUUUUGGAUUUAUACUCGUGCCUUACAAACACAUGUUCUUUUGGUGCCUGCCAGUGGGCUGGCCAAGAUGCAAACUAUUGUGCGUCCCAUGCGCUAUUUGAUGAUAAAAGAAUAUGCUUUUUGGCUAUAAUUGAAAGAAAUUGUGGGCACCAUCCAAUAAAAGAGAAUAUGCUGAAUUGGCUCUAAUGAAAAGAACUGUAGGCACGUGACCGCUAAAAUAAUCAAAGAGAAUAAACGCCGGUAAAGAAGGGACUGCCUGGUUAUGCGUGGAUUAUGCUAAUAAAAAUUGAUUUAUGCACUGCAAUUAUUAUCCAUUCAGUUACAUCGUAGUAGGAGAGAGUGACGAAGCAACCGUGCCCUGAAGGUCGCCACGCAGCCACCAAACGAGGAGGGAGCCACAAGCCCGACACGAGGGCGAACGCAAAGGAAAAAAAGGCACGAGUUGGUUGGUUGUCGCCACGCCGACUAACCCCACCACUAUCAUGAUCUCGUAGGCCAAACAUGAUCCGAGAGAAGACCACGACUCCUCGCUUUGUCGCCCCACUAUUGCGCAAACUAUUUUUGGUGCACACGUCAAUUAUCUCUCCUGUUGCUUCUCAAAAGAAUAUCUCUACCGUUGCAACGCACGAACAUAUGUGCUAUUUUUACUAAUAAAGCAGGCUGCGUUUCGCCAAUUUUUUCAUCCUGCACCGCUGAAAAUAUUUUUUUUCUAUCCGAAGUGGUACUAAAUUCUUAUGCGUUUGCCAGCUAGAAAAAGUUUCGUAUGUGGGCCGCAUGCUGUGGCCCAGCGAAGCCAGCCCAUUUGUUUGUGUGCCCACCCAGCUGGGAGAAUUCUAUUUUCCGCAUUUGGCGACAAAUAGUCAGAGUUUCGCACAGGACAACCAAUAAUAGGCCGGCCCAUUUUUCUAUUUUCUGUAUUCUACUUCUAUUUUUAUUCUCCUUUCCACAUAUAUUUUUUUCUUCCAAGUUUAUUUAUAUUUUACAAUUUAUUUCAUAAAUUAAAAUUUUCAAAAAACGUUUAGAAUUCGAAAAAAAAUUGAAAAAAAUUUCAGAAUUCCAAAAUUUUGUUCAUAUUUUGAAAAAUAGUCAGAACUUGCAAAAAGUUUCCCAUUUUUCUUAAAAAAUAUUAUUUUUCAAAAUUGUUCGAGAUUUCUAAAAAUAAAAUGGCAUUUCAAAAAAUUCUCCAAAUUCGAAAAAUAUUCUUGUUUUAGUGAAAUUUUCAAAACAGAAAAUAAUGUUCGUGUAUAAAAGAUACACAUUUUCUUACAAAUCUUAUAAGUUUUCAACACAUGUUUCUGUUUUAAAAAAGUGUUUUCACAAAAUGUUUGUUAAUUUUAAAAGGUGUUCCCUUUCAUAUUUUGUUCGCUUUUUUUAUGAAAGUGUACAUAAUUUCAAAAACCUGUUUAGGAUUUUAAAAAUUGUUCAUGUUUCCUAGAAUAUUUACAACUUCAUACCUUAAAAUCCCCUCGAUUAAAAGGAUUGGAAGGAAGAGUAUAUUGAAUAACUCAUGGGCCUUCUCUGGCGUACGAUGACGUAACAAAACUCUUAAUGCCCUCCAUCAAUGAAUGGAAAAAUAGCGGAUUGAUUCCUUCACACGCGGCGAAAUGAAGCAAAAUGUUCCUUUUUCGUGUGCACACAGAGUUUUGCUUGCACAUAUAAUUCUCACUGAGUUUAAAAGCAUACUAUUUUAUCUCCCCUUGCAACGCACGGGCAUAUGUGCUAGUUAAACAAACAAGAAGAUGAGCAAUUUUACCACCUCUUCUUGUAUCGUUUUUCAACACUAGAACUUGAUGGGAUUCCUGCCAGGUAGAAAAACAUGCGAACACUACUGCAGGUAUGCCUAGCAAUGGCGGGCGCAAAAAGGCCAGCAGUGGCGGGCCAGGCUACCGAGGGCACAUGCCACUGACCUCCUGCCGCUUCCAUAACCGCAUCAAUGGAGGGCGUCCGCCUGCCACUGGUAGAGUCCUGCAGUGGCGGGCGAUGCAUACUGGCCCGCCACCGGUUGAGUCUCUUCAGUGGCGGGAAGAGCUUACCUACUCGCUACUAUUUAUUCAUGUUGCAAUGGCGGGCGUAGUAGAAUGCCCACGACUGCAAGCUUAGGAAUGCGAAUUAAAAAAAUUGCAGCCACGACACCAUUUUUGCUGCCCAUGGCUAUGUUUUGCAUAAAUCCAAUUUAAGAAAUUCAAUACUAGAAGCAAAUAAAGCACCAAUUGUAAGCUUAGGCAUGCAAGUUCACUAGGUAAUUAGUACUCUUCAUAACAGCUACGAACACUUCAAAUUUGUUCCAGUGAACAAACCAACAUCAAAAUAUCACACGCAUCUUAAGUAAGUAACUAAAAGUUCAUCGGCUUUGAAAUAUUAGACUUGGACCUUAUUCUCAAUAAGAUCUACAACAACCAUCAUUUGGAAGUUGUUGUUCCCGUUGUUUCUUAUCAUGAUGACCACUGUUGUGUCAACCGUUGGUCGUCUUCUUUUUCCCUUCAGGAAUUCCCUCCAGCCGAUUUCAUAGAACGAUAUGCGUCCAUUUGUGUGUGUCUUGUAUCCAACGCUGGUGAUAGGAUCUGCUUCUCCAAGCUGUACUCCAGCUAUGCCGGCAGCAGGGGUGUCCUCGCCACAAAUCAUCUUCAUAGGUAAUUUCUAUAAUCCGAGUGAUUAAAAGCAAAAUAAAACACGCAAUGUUAGACAUCUUGCCAUAUAGUGUUAUGAACCAAAAAGAAAGAUACAAAAUAUAACAUGGUGUGUUUCAGGAUGUUGGUCUUAGUAAAACGGUGCACAAAUGGCCUCCCCUAGUAGUGCACACUUGAUGGAAGGAUCGCGAUGAUAUUGGCCUUCUCAUCCUCAUUAAGCUCUUUCAUUCUUUGAGAGAAAAUUGCAUAAUUGUAUGGAUCAUCAUCUUCCUCAUCCUCAUGCUCCUGGCUAUCAUCAUGAUCCUCGCUAGCAUCAUCAUCAUCCUGGCUCUCAUUAUCCUCAUCAUCCUGGGAAUCCCCUCAUCAUCAUCUUCGUCAAGCACAUCAUCUUGGUCGAAGAAAUACUUAAUCCUUAACUUGUUGACCACUUUCUUCAAGUAAAAGCCUAUGUAUUCUCCCCCGGUAAGUUUGAAAUGUACUUGUUCCAUCCAUCGCCUCCUAUGAUGGUUUUAUCCUUUUGUUUACAAACAUCAAUUUUGGAUGAUUGUCCUUGACCAUCCGAAAUGUUGAAACUGUCAUCGAUUAAAUUAUUGAAUUGGACCCUUACGUUGCAUGGGAUACACUAUGUAACAAUUAAGAAUAAUGCAGUUAAUAACUAAUGGUAUGCAUAGUACAAGAAUCCAGCAAAUGGUUAGAAUUGAAUGAUGAACAUUGUUAUCACAAAUUUUUCGAAUCCCUCCCUCGAGAAGAGCCUGAAUUCUACUGCAUGGGAUAAACUAUCCCUACAGGGAUUUUCGCAGACAUUGCAGACCUUAAGCACCAUAAUCCCCUCCUUCAAGAAGUUAAGCACUGUUAUCAUUUGUGCUAUGUCAUGAAAGUAAUAUUGAGAAGGGGCAUAAAAAAUGUCAUCAUGAUGAGGUAUGAUCGCAGAUUACCAACACUGCUACAACUAGGUAGUACGACUAUAUAUAUAGGUAGGUUUGUCACGAAGUCGCGGGCAUAUAUAGCAUGCCAUAGAAAGUUUCAUAAGUACUACAUUAAAGGUUCAAACAUCUGAAGCACAGAGUUAUACGACUAGGAAUGGUGGAGAGAUCAACUCCUAAUCUAAGUCAACGUCAGAGCCGAAGUUUUCAUCCUCGCCGGAGUCCUCAGCGAGAUCGUCCCAGUCUAUUGGGUCAUCAUCGGCAUCCUUCUGGUUGCCUACAAAUGCUGAUCCUCCCGAAGAUACCAUUCCACCAAGGGAUUGAUAUGUCUCCAAUGUAGCUAUAAUUUUUUAUUGUUGCAUGCUAUUAUAUUAUCAACCUUGGAUGUUUAUAUGCAUUAUUAUGCUAUUUUAUAUCAUUUCUUGGGACUAACCUAUGAACCUAGUGCUAGUUGAUUGUUUUUCCUUGUUUUUGCCUUUACAGAAAAUCAAUACCAAACGGAGUCCAAAUGGAACAAAACUUUUUGAUGAUUUUUCUUGGACCACAAGACACCCUAGAAGCUUCAGGAGGAGGCAAGAAGGUCCACGAGGCGGCAACAAGCUCAGUGGGCGGGCCCUAGGGGGGGCCGCGCCCUCCAUGCUUGUGUCCCCCAUGGCUCUUCUAACCCUAAUCUUUCUUCUAUAAAUACCCAAAUAUUCCUCGUAGACCAGAAGGCACACCAAAAAUACUUUUCCGUGGUCGCAAUCUCCCGUCCUCGUAAGAUCCCAUCUAGAGACCUUUUUCAGUACUCCGCCGGAGGGGGAUUCGAUCACGGAUGGCUUCUACAUCAACCUUGCUACCCAACUGAUGAUGUGUGAGUAGUUUACCACGAACCUAUGGGUCCAUAGCUAGUAGCUAGAUGACUUAUUUUCUCUCUUUGAUCUUCAAUACAAUGUUCUCCUCGAUUUGGUUUGGCCAACUAGGUUGAUUCUUCUUGCAAUGGGAGAGGUGCUUUGUAAUGGGUUCGAUCUUGCAGUGCUCAAUCCCAGUGAUAGAAGGGGACAUGACACAUAUUUGUAUUGUUGCCAUUAAGGAUUAAAAGAUGGGGUUUGUUCAUAUUAAUUGGAUCCAUCCCUCUACAUCAUGUCAUCUUGCUUAAGGCGUUACUCCGUUCCUGUUAAAUUAAUACACUAGAUGCAUGCUAGAUAGCGGUGAAUAUGUGGAGUAAUAGUAGUAUAUGCAGGCAGGAGUCGGUCUACUUGUCACGGACGUGAUACCUAUAUACAUGAUCAUUGCCUUAUAUAUCUUCAUAACUAUGUACUUUUCUAUCAAUUGCUCAACAGUAAUUUAUUUACCCAACAUAUGCUUCUUUCAGGAGAGAAGCCUCUAGUGAAAACUAUGGCCCCUGGGUCUAUCUUUUAUCAUAUUAUUUUCAUAUCUAAAAAAUCAAAAACACAAAAAUAUCUUGCUGUAAUUUAUUUACCUUUAUUUCAUUUUGCACUUUUACUUAUCUUUUACAUCUAUCACUAUCAGAUCUUAUCCUUGCAAGUAACCAUGAAGGGAUUGACAACCCCUUUAUCGCGUUGGGUGCAAAUAUUUGUUUGUUUGUGCAGGUGCGGUUAUUGGAGACUUGUGUGUUCCUCCUACUGGACUGAUACCUUGGUUCUUAAUUGAGGGAAAUACUUAUCUCUAAUUUGGUGCAUCACCCUUUCCUCUUUGAGGGAAGAACCAAUGCAAGCUCAAGAAGUAGGAGGAAGAAUUUAUGGCGCCGUUUCCGGGGAGGAUCUACAUCAAGCCUACCAAGUACCUAUCAUGAACUCUCAUCUCUUGCAUUUACAUUAUUUGCCAUUUGUCUCUUGUUUUCCUCUCCCCACUUCUAAAACGUUUUCAAAAAAAUACAAAAAUAUUUGCAUUCUUUCGGUUUGCCUUUUUUGUUUGCUUCUUGUUUGCUUGUGUGCUAGAUUGCUUACUUUGUGAUGAUGUCUCAAGAAAAUACUAAGUUGUAUGAUUUUUCAAACACUAAUAAUAAUUAUUUUAUUAGUACUCCAAUUGCUCCCACCACUAGUGCGGAGUCUUAUGAAAUUAAUGCCUCUUUGUUGAAUCAUGUUAUGAAAGAACAAUAUUUUGGUAGUUCUAAAGAAGAUGCUGCAUCCCAUCUUAAAACUUUCAUUGAAUUGUGUGAUAGGCAAAACAAAAAAGAUGUGGAUAUUUACAUUGUAAAAUUAAAGCUAUUUCGGUUCUCACUACGAAAUCGUGCUAGAACUUGGUUUUCGUCCUUGCCUGAAAAUAGUAUUGAUUCAUGGAAUAAAUGUAAGGAUGCUUUUAUUUCCAAGUAAUUUCCUCUCGCUAAGAUCUUCUUUCUUAGGAAUGAUAUAAUGAAUUUUAAGCAACUUGAUCAUGAACAUGUUGCACAAUCAUGGGAGAGGAUGAAGUUAAUGAUAAGAAACUGCCCUACUCAUGGUUUAAGUUUAUGGAUGAUCAUACAAAAAAUUUAUGCUGGAUUGAAUUUUGCAUCUAGAAAUCUUUUAGAUUCCGCCGCGGGUGGUACUUUCAUGGAAAAUCACUUAGGAGAAGCUACUAAACUCCUAGAUAAUAUUAUGGCAAAUUACUCUCAAUUGCAUAUAGAAAGAUCUUCUACAAAUAAUAAAAUGCAUGCUAUUGAAGAAAUUAAUACUAUGAGUGGAAGGAUGGAUGAACUUAUGAAAUUCAUUGCUAGCAGGAGUGCUCCUAUUGAUCCUAAUGAUAUGCCUUUGUAUACUUUGAUUGAGAAUAAUAAUGAAUCGAUGGAUGUGAAUUUUGUUGGUUGGAACAAUUUUAGAGGCAAUUUUAAUCCUAGGACGUUUCAUAGUAAUUCCUCUAAUAAUUAUUGUAGUUCCUACAAAACUUAUUAUGGAAAUUAUAAUAAGAUACCCUCUGAACUUGAAAAUAAUAUUAAAUAUUCAUUAACUCUCAAAAGAUUUUCAUUGCCAUGAUAGAAAAAAAAUUGCUUAAGUUUGAUGAUGAGGCUAGAAAGGUUGAUAGAAUUUCUCAUGAGAUUGAUUCCCUUAAGGUAGAUAUAUGCACCAAGCUUGAUAUUAAUAAGUCUUUGAAAUUUAUUCAAAUUCUAUUAAUGAAAGUAGGGAGAGAACAGCUAGAAUGCGAGCUAACAUAGAAUGGCUAGAAAAAGUAUGUUCUUCUAGUUUUUGCGAUAAUCAUGAUGAAGAUCUUAAUGUAAUUGGUGUGACUCCUAUUGAAUAUUUGUUUUAUAUUAUAUCUUGAUAAAUAAGGGUCUGGAUAGGAGUCAACUUUUGCUAGAAGGCGUCCCAAGAAUUCGGCGGGUGAUGAUCCUAAUGAAAAAUUGAUAAAAGUAGGUUUGGCGAGGUCAGAACUAGUGAUGAGCCCACUCUUUUGGAUUUCAAGGAGUUUAUUUACGAUAAUUGUUCUUUGAUUGUUAUUGCCAUCCAUGUUCAAUUCACCCCAUGCUUGUAAUCAAAAUAAAGCUUUUAAACAUAUCGUUGAUGCUAUGAUUAAAUCUUUUGAAGAAAAACUUGAGUUGGAAGUUUCAAUCACUAGAAAGCUUUAUGAUGAAUGGAAACCUACUAUUAAAAUUAAGAUUAAGGAUUAUGAGUGCAAUGCUUUAUGUGAUUUGGGUACUAGCGUUUUUACUAUUUCGAAACCUUUAUGUGAUGCGCUAGGCUUCCAUGCAUAAACUUGAUGGUUGUUUUUAAAAUUUGCACUUAGAGGAUUCCAUUAUUAAGAAACCUAUGGGAAGAAUUAACGAUGUUCUUAUUAUUUCUAAUAGGAAUUAUGUGCCCGUAGAUUUCAUUGUGCUUGAUAGUGAUUGCAAUCCUACAUGUCCCGUAAUUCUUGGUAGACCUUUCCUUAGAACGAUUGGUGCAAUUAUUGAUAUGAAAGAAGCAAACAUUAGAUUUCAAUUUGCAUUAAGUAAGGGCAUGGAACACUUUCCAAGAAAGAAAAUCAAGUUACUAUAUGAAUCUAUUAUGAGGGCCACUUAUGGAUUGAAUACCAAAGAUGGCAAUACCUAGAUCUAUGCAAUAUGCCUAGCUAAGGGCGUAAAACGAUAGCGCUUGUUGGGAGGCAACCCAAUUUUUUUUCUUGUUUUUCUUAUGUUUUUUAAUAAAUACACAAUUAUGUUACUGUUAUGAUUGUGUUUUAGUAUUUCAAUUAAUUUUUGUGCCAAGUAAGACAUUUGGGAUGAUUUGGAAGUUAGUUGAUUUGAUUCUGUGAAAAAACAGAAACUUUUGCGCCCAGUUCUGGAAUUUUGUAAAUUCACAGAAACGUGUUUUUGCUCUAAAUGUUUAUAACAAGAUUGAUAUAAAAGUUUCCCACGUCGUCCUAACUUUUUAGAAUUUUUAGAGUUAAAGAAGAAUGAAAAAUAUCCAGGUUACUACAGACUGUUCCGUUUUUGAAAGAUUCUGCUUUCAUUGAGUUGUUCUCUUGUUUUGCUGAAUCUAUGGGUAAUAUUGGGGGACGGGGGGUAUGAACCAUGGUGAAGUUAGAAUAUAGUAGAUAUAAUGCUAAUAUGAAGUUGGAAUGAGUUUACAAUAGUACCUAAAGUGGUGAUUUGUUUUAUUAUACUAAUGGAUCUCACGAGUUUUCUGUUGAGUUUUGUGUUGUGAAGUUUUUAUGGUUUGAGUGAAGUUUCGAUGGGAUAAGGAAUAAGGAGUGGAAAGAGCCUAAUCUUGGGGAUGCCCAAGGCGCCUCAAGGUAAUAUUCAAGGACCUCCAAGUGUCUAAGCUUGGGGAUGACCCGGAUGGCAUCCCCUCUUUUGUCUACAAUCCAUCGGUAAAUUACUUGGAGCUAUAUUUUUAUUCACCACAUGAUACGUGUUUUUCUUGGAGCGUCGUGUAUUAUAUUAUUCUUUGGUUUUUAGUUUGCCAAAAUCAUCCUUGAUGGACACACCUUUUGAGAGGGACACACAUUAAUCCUUAAUUUAUUAGAAUACUUUUUGAGCUUCACUUAUAUGUUUUGAGGUAGGCAGUUGCUCUAGUGCUUCAUAUAUCUUUUAGAGCACGGCGGUGGUUAUAUUUUAAAGAAAUGAUGAACUCUCAUGCUUCACUUAUAUUAUUUUGAGAGUCUUAUAAAUAGUAUGGCAUUUUGCUUGGGUUAUGAAUUUAGUCCUAAUAUGAUGGGUAUUCAAGAGGGAUAUAAUAAAAACUUUCGUGAAGAUCAUUGAAUAUAUGAGAAGUUUGAUUCCUUGCAUUUAUUUUGAGACAUAAAGAUGGUGAUAUUAGAGUCAUGCCAGUUAUUAAUUGUGGCUUGCUACUUCUUGAGCUUGCAUUGUUAUUUCCCUUGAAGAGGAAAGGGUGAUACAGGAAAUUAGAGAUAAGCAUUUUCCUCAGUUAAGAACCAAGGUAUCAGUCCAGUAGGAGGAAUUACCAAGUCUCCAGUAGAUGCACCUGCACAAACUAACAAACACUUGCACACAACACGAAAACGGGUUGCCAAUCCCUUCACGGUCACUUGCAAGAGUGAGAACUAAUAGAGAUAGGUAUAAAAGAUAAAUAAAAGGCAAAAUAAAGUAAAGGUAAAUAAAUUGCAACAAGGUAAUUUUGGGUUUUUGGUUUUAUAGAUCUGAAAAUAUAUGAUGGAAAAUAGACCCGAGGGCCAUAGGGUUCACUAGAGGCUUCUCUCUUGAAAGAAAACAUAUGGUGGUGAACAUAUUACUGUUGAGCAAUUGAUAGAAAAGCGCAUAGUUAUGAUGAUAUCCAAGGCAAUGAUCAGAAUAUAGGCAUCAUGUCCGUGACAAGUAGACCGAAAUGAUUAUGCAUCUACUACUAUUAAUCCACACAUAGACCGACUCCUGCCUGCAUCUAGAGUAUUAAGUUCAAAAGAACAGAGUAACACAUUAAGCAAGAUGACAUGAUGUAGAGGGAUAAACUCAAGCAAUAUGAUAUAAACCCCAUAUUUUUUAUCCUUAAUGGCAACAAUACAAUACGUGCCUCACUACCCAUGUUGUCACUGGGUGAGGACACCGCAAGAUUGAACCCAUCAUAAAGCACCUCUCACAUUGCAAGAUAGAUCAAUCUAGUUGGCCAAACCAAAUCAAUAGGUCGGAGAGAAAUACAAAGCUAUCUUAAUCAUGCAUAAAAAGAGUUCAGAGAAGACUCGAAUAAUAUUCAUAGAUAAUUUGAUAAUCACCCACAAUUUAUCGAAUAUCUACAAACACACCGCAAAAGAAGAUUACAUCGGAUAGAACUCCAAGCACAUUGUAUUGAAGAUCAAAGAGAGAGAAGAAGCCAUCUAGCUACUAGCUAUGGACCCGUAGGUCUGUGGUAAACUACUCACACAUCAUCGGAAAUGCAGCAAGGUUGGUGUAGAUGCCCUUCGUGAUCGAAUCCCCAUCCGAUGGAUUGCUAGAAAAGGCCCCAAGAUGGAAACUGACGAGAACAAAAUCUUGCGGCGGUGGAAAAGUAUUCUUGUGGACGCUUCUAAUGUAGAUGAAGUAUUUGGGUAUUUAUAGAGCAAGAAUUAUGGUUAGGGGAGUCUCGAGGGGCCCACAAGCGUGGGGGGCGCCACCACUAGGGCGCGCCCUCAGGGCUUGUGGCCCUCUCGUGGCUCCUCUGGCCUCCUCUCCAAGUCUCCUGAGUUUCUUCUGGUCCAAGAUAAAUCAUUGUAAAGUUUUAUUUUCUGUAAAAGACAAAAACAAGAUUAAUAGGUUAGUGCCCUGCUUGAUAUUUAUGCCCUGCUUGAUAUUUAUUUUCUGUAAAAGACAAAAACAAGGAAAAACAACAACUAACACUGGGCACUAGAUUAAUAGGUUAGUCCCAAAAAUGAUAUAAAAUAGUACUAAAAUGCAUAUAAAACAUCCAAGACGGAUAAUAUAAUAGCAUGGAACGAUACAAAUUAUAGAUACGUUGGAGAGAUAUUAAGCAUCCCAAAGCAUAAUUCCUGCUUGUCCUCGAGUAGGUAAAUGAUAAAAACAUAAUUUUUGAUGUGGAAUGCUACUUAAUAUGUCUAUCAAUGCAAUUUUUCUUUUAUGUGGCAUGAAUAUUCAGAUCCAUAAGAUUCAAAAAAAAAGUUUAAUAUAGACAUAAAAUUAAUAAUACUUCAUGCAUACUAAUGAAGAAAUCAUAGCUUUUCAAAAUAUCAUGGCCAAAGAAAGUUAUCCCAACAAAAUCAUAUAGUCUGGUCAUGCUCUAUCUUCAUCAAACAAAGUAUUUAUCAUGCACAACCCCAAUGACAAGCCAAGCAAUUGAUUCAUACUUUCAAUGUUCUAAAGUCUUUUCAACUUUCACGCAAUACAUGAGCGUGAGUCAUGGAUAUAGCACUUGUAACAUCCCAAAAUUCUAAAUUUUGGAAUGUUAUAUUAAUUCAAUAAAUAUGAUUCUAUGCUUGAUUGUUUGGUUGAAAGUGAGUGGAAUUUGAAAAAUCAAAAAUAAUAAUCAAAUAAGAGGUAAUAAAAGGACUUUCCCAAAAUUUUCCAUUUGAAUCCCUAUCUAAUUUUAAGUUUGCAUCUUGUAAAAAAAAUUCUCCGAUAAACAAGUAAUAUGAGAGGAGGAAAAUGACACUCCGAAAUCGGAGACAAAGUUUUGUUUGACAUUAAAUUUAGAAAACAGAAAAUAUUUGCAAUUUUAUUUGAAAUUCAAUUUCCCUUUCAUUUUGGACUUAUUGCAAAAAUAUUUUUUUAAAUAUUUAAUUUGGUCAUGAAAAUAUGUUCAUGUUUUAGGAAUUUUUUCUAAGAAUUUUGAUUUAUAAUAUACCUCUAUAAUUUUUUUUGUUCCUCGUUGUUUUUGGAAAACAAAACACAAGGGCCCACCCGCUCGCUAGUAGGCUAGCCCAGCGUUGCAGCCUGCUGUGCCAGCGAGCAGCCAGGCGAGCGCCAUGGGGAACUCCUAUGCGCCGCAUUCUGCGGUAGAAUGUCGAGCUAUCGCAUAGGAGUUCCCUCAACUGGGCCGGCCCACAAGGCAACGAGCGGUGCAAAAAUUUGAACGAACAACAACAGCGCUUCAGCUACAAUUCGGACCUGCGACCGCAAGCCUGCAGACAGGGGUUGCGAGCCACUGCGCCCGACUCAUUUUGAUGGUCAAAAGGCAACGCGAACACUUUAGACCUAGUUACACUGGCAGAUCGGAUUAUUUUUCUUUUUUUCCGAUCUUUUAUUGUCAAUUAUGAUUAUAUUUUUUACAAGUAGGAACGUUUUUGAUAGAACCCAUAGGAGUUUUAAAAAAAUGUUAGCAAUUUUUCGAAUUUGCAAGCAAAUUUUGAAAAACAGGAACAAUUUUGAAGUUGUGGACGAAUAUUGAAACAUAGGAACAUUUUUUUAAUUACGAUCAAUUUUCGGUAAACACAAAAAAAGUUUUUCGAAAAUGUGAACAAGUUUUUGAUAGUGACUUUUUCAAAAACAUGAAUAUUUUUUAAAGGAAAACAAAUUUUGAAUUGUGAACAUUUUUUUGUAAACAUGAAUAUUUUCAAAAACAUGAACUUUUUUGUAAAUAGGAUAUUUCAGAAUUUUUGAACAACAUUCUUAAAUGGGAACAAUUUUGAAAAUAACGGACAAGUUUUGGAAUUUUAGAACAAAUUUGGAAAUGGAGAACAAUUUUGAAAAUCCCCAACAAAUUUCAAGUGUGAACAAUUUUUUAAUAUGUGCAUAAAAAAUUGAAAAAUAUGAAUAUUUUUUGAAAUUUGUGAAUGUUUUUAUAUUUGUGAACAUUAUUUCAAAAAAGGAACAUUUUUUGAAAUCCAUGUCAUUAUGUAUAAAUUUCUCAAAAAAGAACAAAAAUAAUUCAAACAGUUUUUGAAAAAACAGAAACAUUUUUGAAAAUUCGAAACAAAAUUUUGGAAACCAGGAACAUUUUUUGAAUUUGUGAAGAAAUUUUGAAAAACAGGAACAUUUUUUGAAUUUGUGAACAAAAUCUGAAAAGCAGGUACAUUUUUUUGAAAGUCAAAAACAAAAUUUUAAAAUAAACUUGAAAAGAAAAAAAGGAAAAUUAAAAAGAAAGAAAUAGAAAGGAGAAAAAAAUAAAAGAAACAAAAAAAGAAAAGAAAAAUGAAAAAGAAGAGAAAUAGAAAAAAGAAAAACCAAAAAGAAACUCAAAAGGAAAAGGCCGGUUCAGGAACCUUCUAGAAGGUUCCCAAAACCGGAAAAAAACCGGCUGGAAUCAUAGAAAGUUCCCAAAAACCAGUGUCUACUGAAACGCUAAAACGGGCCGGCCCACUCGGUCGCUCGCUCGGACCUCCUCCUGUGUUUAGCUUCGACCGCUUGCCGCAACAAGCGGCGAGUAGGAUUUUCCAGCGCCAGGAGCCCUAGGCUCGUCCCAGAGCCGCCGCCGGCUCCCUCCCUCUCACGAUCUAUCUCUUUUUUUCCUGACAUAUAGGACCCACCUUUCUUUCUUCUUCCUCACGAACCCAAACAAAACAGAAACAUACACGUACAAGACACCACUCCGCGUCCGAUCAUCGUGGAAACCCUAUCCCAAGUCAACCCCAGGCCCAAGAAAUAUGUCCUAUAAAUAGUCACGACCCUGCUCAACCGGUUCCCUUCGAAUCCCUCGCCAAAUCCCACCAUAUCGUCCGCUAUCGUCGUUCCAAUCUCGCCGCACAAGCUGCAGGUCAUCGCCGGCUUUGACGCUAGUGAGCCAUACCGAGCGUCCCUCUUUUGUGUUUCAACUUCUCUCGUUCCCUAGACUCUGUUUCACAUGCAUGGUCAUGUAUCCCCGUUCUAUCUACAGACGCCAUCCCACCUCGACGUCUUCACCGAAGCACCGAGCUUCAUCACUUCGUUUCGUCGCAAUUCGUCGUCACCAGCCCUCUUCGACUUCACCACCGGACGAGCCACUCUCCACUACAUCUUCCGAACAUCGCCGCCGCCGCCCAUGAUCGUCGGAGCUGCCGCCCCACCGCACUAGAGCUCCACCCCAAUGCUACCUUCCUCUCUGUAAGCACGAUCAUCUGUUCGUUUCAGUUAAAAAAAGUUUGUUUUUUUUAUUUAUAUCGGUUUUUAUUUAGAUCGGUUUAGUUUACAGUUUAUUUAUGGGUUAGUCGGUCAGAUCGAACCGGUUCGCCGGUCUUCUGUCAAUUAAAUGCACGUGUACAUUUUAGUGAUCUUACGGCUGAGCGUUGUUUAGCAUCGGAUCGCACAUCCCUGUACAGCCCGCUACCUAGCUGGCGGAACAUUUGUUGUUUUUUUCAUUUCUGUUUUUUUUUGUUUUAGAUUCAGUUUUUGUUUUUUUAUAUCUUUAGAUCUACAACUCCAAUUUUGAUGAUUCUUUUUCCUACCGUUUCAAAAGAAUCCCAUUUAUCCUGAGAAAGCAACGGAAAUUAUUUUUUGAACUUUUUAAAUUUCGAAUUCAAACAGAUUUGUUACAAGCACUAGAUUGGUAAUAACUUUUAUUUAAAAAUAGCUUUUUGAUUAAUUCUUUUUGCUAGUGAUCACUUGAUCUUUUGUCUAAACAAUAGGCUUUUGCAAAUUAGUUUUUCUAUAUUUUAAAUUAGGAUUUUAGGCGAAACAGUACUGUUUUACAUAAUUUAGUGUUAUUUUCUUUUCCCUUUGUAUUUAGUUGUUUUUAACUAAAAAAACCUUUUUUAUUAUUGACAAAUUUGGUUUUGUUUAUGUUAUUGAACAGUAGACAGUUUUAUUUUAUUUUAAAAAAUAUUUUCUUUAGUUUUGCAUGAAAACUUGUAUAGGUCAUAGUUAGAGUUUUAUAAAAGCUUCUUAUUUGUUUCCUUUUUCUACUAAAAGUUUAUGGAAAAUUAUUUCUGUUAAUUUAAUGAAAAAUCUAUUUCUUUUUUAUAGACUUAUUAGUUUAGUAUUUUAGUUGCUUUUAAAGACUAAUUAGGUCAAAAAACUACUUUUGUGUUGGUUGUAGUAAAAACUCUAUAGUUCCUUGUAGUUUUCCUUCAAAUUUUCUUUGGAUUUUCUAUUUGGAUUUCUUAUGGAUUUCUUUGUUGUUUAUUUGUUGAAUGAUAAUUUGAGUGUUAGGAUUUUCUUGCUAGAAUGUAUGCUUGUGAAUGCCAUGUUUGUUAUUAUAGAUUUCAACGGAGAGUUGUGUAUAGUACUAUCAAGUUUUGUGAGAGCGAUAUUAUCUUCAUCAAGUAAUACCAAGCAAGUUCACUUUGACCAUGAUAUUCAUACCUAUGCUUUUAUUGCAUCUAGUGUAACCAUUCAUAAUCCCUCCAGUAGUGAUAUUGACUUCUUGUAGUUGAGUAGAAUGCAUGAGGUACGAACCCAUCUCCCUAUUAUCAAGCCCGGGACGUUAUAUAGUUCUAAUGUUACGCUAUAGUAGACGGGGUUUGGUAUGAGUGCUCGGGAGUGGUGUGAGAAUGGAGGACUCUAUGUCAAUGACGACAACUUCAUGACAACAUCUUCAAGGCCUCAAGACUUCAAGACUCGAGACAAGAAUUCAAUAUACCUCUGGGUGGAGAAUGGUUAAGUAGUGUACAUUGGUGCGCCCAGUACUUAGUGAUUCCGGAGAAGCGUCGUGAUAUCAUGCGGAAAGCUCCACCCAGGUUCAAAGAGACGAAAGAAUACUUCAUGCCUAGAAGCUUACUUGUGCGACCGCAAGUCAUGGGCUCUGGCUUGGUUGACCUUAGUGGUGACUCUAGCUGGGACAGUGCCAAUAGAUGUAGAGCUAUGGUAGGAUUGGAUGGAAACCAGACAGUGGACAGAGGAACUCUUUGGAAGACCAUGUUUCAAUCGUCUUGUUCUUAAACGAUCUGAAGUGCGAGGACGAAAAGGGAGGGAUCAAAUCUUGCGGGUAAAGUGUACAAACCUCUGCAGAGGGUUAAAACCUAAUCAAUUAGCCGUGUCCCCGGUUACGGAAAAUUUGAGCAUCUAGACUUGGAUCUAUCUCGGAACUCUCAACACCGGAUCAAAAACUUAAUUGUGGGCAAUUUAUAAUGAUAUGGGCUAUGAGACAUCAGUUGGCGGAACCAUGUCAUGAUAGAAAACUCUGUAGUAUAGACUCUGGUUAUUUCCUUUGUUGUAGGGAAAACGAAAUCAGCUUUUACGCAAAAACCUCAGACACAGAGCCACAAAGCCAUAUUGCAUAUAGUAUAGUUUUAUCAUCUGUUUUUCUUACAGUGAUCUUGCCGGUACAUUCAACGUACUGACCUACACGGCUGCAAUGUCUCAUGUUGCAGAUAUUUCUACGACGAGUAAGCAUUAAGAUAUAGGGUUACGGUCUACACUCAACCUGCCAAUGGCGUUGAUGGGACUCCACACCGGAUUGACUUUUUUUGCUGAGACUUAUGAGGUAUAUAUUAGUUUCACGUUAUGUAUAUAUGUGAUUGCAUUUUGAUAUAUAUGUUGAUGUACUGUGUGUGCCAGCAUACUAAUCCAGGGAUGGCACCGAUACACAAAGGCUUGACCGUUUGAGGUUAGGUCGCUACAACACUAUAGGCGGAAUAGAAUAUGGUAGAGGUUGUGUGUAGAAGACAGAAAAACAGAAAGUCUCACAUCGACUAGGCAAAUUAAUAGGCUAUGGAGAUGCUCAUCAAUUGAUACCGAUGCGAGUGAGUAGGGAUUGCCAUGCAACAGAUGCAGUAGAGCUAUAAGUGUAUGAAAGCUCAAGAGAAAACUAAGUGAGUAUGCAUCCAACUUGCUUACUCAUGAAGACCUAGGGCAAUUUGAGGAAGCCCAUCAAUGAAAUAUACAAGCCAAGUUCUAUAAUAAAAAAAAUUCACUAGUGUGUGAAAGUGACAAAAUAGGAGACUCCCAAAUCUUACCGCCGGCGAAGCCACUUCCAGCCGCGCUUGGAGACACCUAAAGGAUGCGGUUGACCUCUCCACUGCCUCCGUAGAUUUCAUCAUGUCUUCCUCAUGGCUGGCGACUUCUCCAUCAUCGAAACCGGCCAAACCCGAGGCCGCACCGCCCAUCUCCGACGCCAUGGCCAUCAACUCCAUUGAGCGCCCAUCCAUUUCCUUCUCAAACAUGUUCUUAUAUGUAGAGGUAUCAGCCAUUCAAGAAUUGACACGUGGCAUCUCAUGUAAAUCCCGUAGUUGAUUUUCAGAAAAAUGCUCAAUCUUCAGAAAAUCAUACCUUUUAAUCUAUAGAGCCAAUUUUGACAAAUGAGAUAUCCAUGGAUUGUUGAGAACAUCUAGUUUAUUAUAAAAAUAUAUAAUUUCACUUCUGAGCAAAUUAAAAUUUAGUUCUUUGAGUAUUUUUGAUAUAUCUAUUAUUCUGUAAAUCAUAUGAAAGUGUUUUGUAUAUGAAAGUUGGACCUUAGGACCUCACCUUUCUGUUGGAAUCCAUGGAUUAAUUUUUCCAACAUAAUUUAGACACUGUUUUAUCAUCAACACUCGUUGAACAAAAAUUUAAUCCUAGGAUAAAUCUCUUAGAUUGAUCCCUAGGGAACCUCUCUGGUCAUUUGAUAUCACCACAAGAAUUAGGAGUUACAAGAUUAAGAAUUUAAUUCUUUGUCUUAAAACUUAUGCCAUACAUAUUUUUGUUUAAGAAAAUCAAAUAUUCCGAACAAACUCGUUAUGAAAUUGUCGUAGAACCUUGCCUCACAAAUCUCCUUCUAUCAAACCAUGAUCCCACUUAGUAUCAAAUGGAUCUGACCCUAGAAUAUGACCAUGUCAUAUUUUCUUCGAAAACCAAACUCGAUCCUAUACUAACCCUAACCAUGACCUAGGAUUUAUCGUAUGGCAAUCGAAUAACUUGUGUUAUUAUUUGGAUCUUCGUUUUUUUAUUGUGUGUUGAAUUAUUUUAUUUUAUCGUUAGAUAUAUCCUAAGGAUAAGGAGAGACGAUUAAGAGUAGAACAUUUCAUCUUCGAGAGACACAGGCAAGUUGCAACUUGAUCAUAAUUUGUCCUACACUUUUGAAAUAUGCAUGAUCUCUUUAAAAUUUAUACUAUGUAUGUUUUACCAAAAUGUUUUACAAAGUAUUAUUGCUAGGGAAAGCCCUAGGAACUUGUAGCUAUGCUUAGCCUUGCUUACAAGGAAAAGGGGUUGGGAAUCAAACAAGUUUUAAACGAAUAAACUUGCCCUAUUUUGGGGCAAUGUUUUGUGAAAACUUUCGAAAAACAAAAAAACUUAUAUACUAUUUUACUUCUACUCCUUGGGCGGUGGUAUGAUGUGAGCGUCUAAAAGUGACUGCGCCCAUCGGGGUCUUGCAGUGUAUGCGCAUGACUGGGGACUUGCACAUAGGUUUUUCGUGGGGACCGUCGUCCAGGGGAUCAAGAUCUUUCAAGUGUAGUUUGAUGUAGCUUCCAGUAUAGCCACAUGCUAUUAUGGCUCUGGCUUAGCUUUUCCUUAUCGGGAAACCCUUAUUCAGUUAUGGUCAUCGAAGAGGUGUCUUAAUAGCCAAGGGAGCGGGUCGUGCUAGAACUAAAUAAAGGGGGCCAUUUGGAAAAGCUUUGUCACAAAUCUCCUCCCGGCCAAACACCGAAGUGGUGUCAUGACACAAAGGGUUGAUUGUGUCAUGUGGGGAACGUGUACGAACUCUGCAGAGGGUUAAAUCUAAUCAAUUAACCGUGCCCCCGGUUGUGGGAAAUUUGAGCAACUGAAGAGUUGGACUGAAGAAGAAUCUCCCCUAUCUUUUCUAAAAGUCUGGCUUAAGGGUUAAAGUUGAGGAAUGAGCACAGUGAAUGUGUUUCACUUCAACCAUAUUUAUGUUUAACCAAAAGUUGGAGAAUGGGCACUGGUGCAUCCAAGUGUCUCACUCCUACCUUUUAUACUAAAAACUAUAUUUACUUCAAACAACUUUUAUAAAAAAAUUAGUAUAGGGAAAAAUUGGCUUUAUGCAAAGGAAACCUCCACCAAUACUUACCCUGCAUAUAUAUGCAAAGGACAUGAGAGGAAUCUUGUUAUAAGUAAUCAUUUGAAUCUGGUAUUCGUUCAAUAUUCUGAUGAGAUGUAUGUUGUCUUUCCUCUAGUGGUGUUAUGUGAACGUCGACUACAUGACACUUCACCAUGAUUUGGGCCUAGGGGAAGGUUUUGGGAAGUAGCAAGUAGAUGAUGGGUUGCUAGAGUGACAGAAUCUUAAACCCUAGUCUAUGUGUUGCCUCGUAAGGGGCUGAUUUCGAUCCACAUGCUUAAUGCUAAGGUUAGAUUUAUCUUAAUUCUUAUUUCGUAGUUGCGGAUAAUUGCGAGAGGGGUUAAUCAUAAGUGAGAGGAUUGUCCAAGUAAGGACAGCAACCAAGCACCGGUCCACCCACAUAUCAAACUAUCAAAGUAGCGAACGCGAAUCAUAUAAGCAUGAUGAAAACUAACUUGAUGAUAAUUCCCAUGUGUACUCGGGAGCAUUUUGCUUUACAUGAGAGUUUGCCCAGGCUUGUCCUUUGCUAUAAAAAGGAUUGAGCCACCUUGCUACACCUGUGGUACACUUGUUACUUGUUACCCGUUACAAAUUACCUUGCUACCAAACUAUUUGUUACCAACAAUUUCAGUGCUUGCGGUGAAUACCUUGCUGAAAACCGCUUGUCAUUUCCUUCUGCUCCUUGUUGGGUUCAACCCUUUUACUUAUCAAAAGGACUACAAUUGAUCCCCUAUACUUGUGGGCCAUCAAUGCUCUGACGUUCAUGGGCCCUGAUGAGCGCCUCGGCCUUCAACUACUCCUGAUACUCAGCCUUGGAGACUAUGCUCAUGUUAGGAGGCGCUAUCUGACUCGCAUGCCAGACAUCCUUAGGACAGUUGAGCUGGGCCCUUCGCCCUUGGUACUCGAGUGCUAUGACAUCUUAAGCGCACACCGCUUCCUUGGUGAAGUCAAACGUGCCGAGCCAUUAUUUCUUGCCUAUGAUGGGUUUCUGGAUUUGGACUCCCCUCUUCACCCAGGGUCUUUGGAAAACACCACGGUGCAUGCCGUUGUCCGUCAUUUCGGGAAAAAUGACCUAGAACAUGCAGAUAACUAAAUUUGGCGAAAGAACUGAAGAAAUCUACUACAACACAAUAUGAAUUAAAAACAAACAAAAAAUUGGGCAGGACCUCUACAUAAAAAUGGAUAGUAUAGAAAUUUAGCAAAACGGAAAUAAAUCAAUGUUUUGCCAAAAAAUUAGCGCUUAUAGUAUGAAUCCCAGUAAGGAAAUGAAGAUAUCUACUACAUCACAAUAUGAAUAAAAAAUAAACAAAGAAAUUUGGCAUGACCUCUGCAUAAAAAUGGACAUAUUAAGUGAUUGAAAUCUGGCGAAACAGAAAUAAAUCAACGUAUCGCCAAAACUUUAGCACUUAUAGUAAGUAUACCUAUAAUGAACUGAAGACAUCUACUACAACAUAUUAUUUAACUCAGUAUGAACAUAAAUAAUGUACAAAAUAAUACGAUAUAUAUGUGAGACUAUAUAAUUACCUCUGAUAUGAACACAUUGGUAUUCCUUGUUCAUGGUUACGUAUGUGGCUGCUGCAACUAUAAUUGUUUUGAUGUGUGUGCCUUAAAAACUAUAGAACAAGAAACUACAACUAUAAUUGAACUCUAGUAUGAACAAAUUGAACUCAUUAAAGAAUAUGAACACAUUAAUAGCAAUAACCCUAACCCUAGUUGAAUGUUCGUGUGCGUGUGCGUGGCUGCUGCCGCAGUUGUCCGUGUGCGUGGCGGUCGUGGCCGUGGGUGACGAGGAGGAAAGACGGAGAGGGAGGUGCGGACGACAAUGUAUUACUGGCUGGAGCGGAGGGUGACGGGGCAGAUCGUCGGUGAGGGCGACGGGGCGGCGAAUCGAGGGCGAGGGAGAUGUGCGGCGAACGUCUAGGGCGGCGACGAGUAAGGAGAGGCCGAUGGCGGCAGCGGACGGGGACGGCGACUUGGGCAGCAUGGAUGAGCCAACGACGUCCGCGACGAGAUGGGGAAGAGUGAGAGUGAGAGAGUAAAUUGGGGUAGGGGGAGAGGGGGCGCGUGCGUGUAUGUAGGUCGAUUGAGUUCGUCGUAUCCGACGGGUGUGCCAAGCCUCCGAACACGGCUUCUUUGGUGUGGUGGGCGGCAAACCGUUUCGAUUUGGGGCAGACUAGACAGCUAACUUAGUUGUGGGGUUAGGGUCCUAUACCCGCCAGAGCUAAUAUCUGUAUAAAAUUUAUUUUUUUGGCGUCCGUUGCUGGCACUAAACUGUGGCUGGCCCUAUCGAGCGUCCGCCACAAUUGCAUUCAAGAACAAUGGCGGCCGAGGGCCCGAGGCUAACACCCACCACUGAUCGCAUUCAUCACGUGGCCAUACUCAGUGGUGCUUACUUGUGGCAGCCACUGCUACGCGUGUAACUCUGGAGGUCACGUUGUGGGACCUGCCACCGGUACUUUUGCUAACUAGCAGUGGCAGGUGCUAUGUCCCGCCCGCCGAUCUUUCGAAUUCACCUAUAAGCCUUUUCCCAGUAGAGUAAUAAAGGACUUCUUGACAAGUCCGUGUAGAUUAAAGGUAUGUUAGUAGAUGGUGUAAUAAAUACAUGCUUUAGCGAUCUAAGGAUACAAAUAUGCCACUAUUUAUUUUAUAAAUGGUCGAAAUCAUUCUUAGAAAUCUUAGUAACAACAGUUGUCAUGAACAACUUCGACAAAAUGCAUCAAAUGUUACAAAUAAUACAUACAAACUUAGUUCAAUAAAUUAAUCAAUUGAAGUGAGAACAAACCUAAAUGUACUUAGAGUAAAUCCAUUAAGACGUGUAAAGCCAAUACUAAUCCAAUAUUUAUUAAUAAAUUUGCAUAGAAUUACAACCCUUUGACAUAGAAAGGGAAUAUGAUGAGUCAUGUAUUGGUAACUUGCACAACAUUCCUACCCUUGGCAUAAAAGGAGAAAUUGAUGAGUCAUGUAUUGAUAACGUGUACAACAUCACUAUCCUUGACAUAAAAGGAGAAUUUGAUGAGUCAUGUGUUGAUAACGUGUACAACAUUACUAUCAGCAUGUUCAUCUUACCAUCAUAUUAUACAACACUACAAGUUAGUUUUAAAAAGAACAAGAGUCGAGAACGAAGAUCAGAAUACUUGCUUGAUCUAUCUUAACAACAUGCACAAGUUCAGAAAUUUAGUCCCCCGCAAGCUAUGAAGAUUUGUUUUAUGUCUAACUAUUUGUACAACAUGACAAUUUUAGAUCCAAAAGGAAUGCAAUCCAGAUAAUUGUUUGACAUGUAAAGUGAAUAGGAUGAGUCAAUGCCAAUUAUCAAGUUUUCCUCACUCUUAGAUGAUAUGUACAAUAAAAAAGAUAACUUUGAUGAUCACUCUGAAAUUACGUUUGUAUGUAGUGCCACCAAACACAACAUACCAAAUAUUAGUUUGAUAAGCAUAAAAUCACUUUUGAAAAAAGAAAGCAAUAAUGAAAAGAAAUCUAACCACGAUAGCUAUAAAAAGGCCUGCAAUAUGUAGAAUCCAUACCAUCAUCCAUCCUUCACACACCUAGAGCACAAAUCAGCAAAUCCAAGUACGUAGUAGUUAACGCAAAUCGACCAUGAAGACCUUAAUCAUCCUGACGAUCCUUGCGAUGGCAAUAACCAUCAGCACCGCCAAUAUGCAGGUCGACCCUAGCGGCCAAAUACAAUGGUCACAACAACAACUAGUCCCCCAGCCCCAAGAGCCAUUAUCCUAGCAACCACAACAAGCAUUUCCCCAACCCCAACAAACAUUCCCCCAUCAACCACAACAACAAGUUCCCCAGCCUCAGCAACCACAACAACCAUUUCUCCAGCCCCAACAAGCAUUCCCCCAACAACCACAACAACCAUUCCCCCAGACUCAACAACCACAACAACCAUUUUCCCAGCAACCACAACAACCAUUUCCCCAGACUCAACAGCCACAACAACCAUUUCCCCAGCAACCACAACAACUAUUCCCCCAGACUCAACAACCACAACAACCAUUUCCCCAGCAACCACAACAACCAUUCCCCCAGACUCAACAACCACAACAACCAUUUCCCCAGUUCCAGCAACCACAACAACCUUUUCCCCAGCCCCAACAACAAUUCCCGCAGCCCCAACAACCGCAACGAUCAUUCCCCCAGCAACAAAGACCGUCCUUUCAGCCAUCUCUACAACAACGGUUGAACCCAUAAAAGAAUAUCCUCUUGCAACAAUGCAAACCUGCAUCAUUGGUGUCAUCCCUUUGGUCGAUAAUCUGGCCACAAAAUGAUUGCCAAGUGAUGCAGCAACAAUGCUGCCAAGAACUAGCACAAAUUCCUCAGCAGCUCCAGUGUGCAGCCAUCCAUAGCGUCGUGCAUUCCAUCAUCAUGCAGCAACAAGAACAAGAACAAGAACAACAACAACAACAACAACAACAACAACAGCAAGGCAUGCGUAUCUUUUUUCCACUAUCUCGACAACAACAUGUGGGUCAAGGUACUCUCGUCCAAGGCCAGGGCAUCAUCCAACCUCAACAACCAGCUCAAUUGGAGGCGAUCAGGUCAUUGGUGUUGCAAACUCUUCCAACCAUCUGCAAUGUGUAUGUCCCACCUGAGUGCUCCAACAUCAGGGCACCAUUUGCCAGCAUAGUCGCGGGGAUUGGUGGCCAAUGAAAAAAGCAAGAGCUAUACUAAUAGAUAGAUGGAUCCUCGUUGCUUAGCAGAUGCACCAAUCGAUGUAACGAUGACAAAUAAAGUGGCACGUACCAUCAUGUGUGACCCCGACCAGUGCUAGUUCAAGCUUGGGAAUAAAAGACAAACAAAGUUCUUGUUUGCCAGCAUUGAUUGUCAUUGUUCCAUUCACUGUGUAUUUAGUUGUUCAUCCCUAACCGCAGUUCUAGGCUUACACAUCAAUGGCUAUUUGCUCGUGCCGGCAGGUUCCUAUGUAAUCUACCGACUAAUGGUCGGCCUAUUGACCCAGUUUAUAGGCCGAUUGAUAUAUUAAUUGCUGCUCCCAAACUGACCGACCAGCUAUUAGUUACCAUUUUGCUGAACAUUGCACACAAUAAUAACUCAACAUAUUUUAAUGUCUAGAAGUAAAAGGGCCAUUUUAGCAGCAAAACAAGCGCCUGAUUAGGAACCAUCCAGCACUUUAAAUGUUCACCUAGAUAUUUCUACGUUGAUGCAAUUUUGAGAUUGGUGGCACCGAAACAUUCCUCAAAGCAAUUCUUUAUGGGACUCCAAAGAGGUGAAAAUAAAGUAAAGUUGCCACAUGGUAAAAUAUAAAUCAUGCGGCGAGCAAGAGCAAAUAUUGAGUCAUGAUAGCAAGCGCCAAACAUGCCAUUAAACUCUUCAUAUGGUUCCGUGCAGAGAAGGGGGAAAAUUGUUGGGGAACGUAGUCAUUUCAAAAAAAAUCCUACGCACACGCAAGAUCAUGGUGAUGCAUAGCAAUGAGAGGGGAGAGCAUCGUCCACCUACCCUCGUAGACCGUAAGCGGAAGCGUUAUGACAACGCGGUUGAUGUAGUCGUACAUCUAUAUGAUCGACCGAUCCUAGUACCGAACGUACGGCACCUCCGCAAUCUGCACACGUUCAGCUCGGUGACGUCCCAUGAACUCACGAUCGAGUAGAUCUUCAAGGGAGAGUUCCGUCAGCACGACGGCGUGAUGACGGUGUUGAUGAAGCUACCGACGCAGGGCUUCGCUUAUGCACUACUAUGAUAUGACCGAGGUGGAUUAUGGUGGAGGGGGCACCGCACACGGCUAAAGAUCAAUGAUCAACUUGUGUGUCUUGGGGUGCCCCCUGCCCCCGUAUAUAAAGGAGAAAGGGGGGAGGCGGCCGGCCAAGGAGGAGGGCGCGCCAAGGGGGGAGUCCUACUUAGGACUCCUCUUUCCUAUUAGGAGUAGGAGAAGGGGGAAAGGAAGGAGAGGAGGAGAAGGAAGGACGGGGCACCGCCCCUUCCCCUAGUCCAAUUCAGACUAGGCUUGGGGGGGGGGGCGGCCCAGCCCUAGCCAGCCCCUCUCUCUCCCUCUCUCUCCCUGAAGCCCAUUAACGCCCAUAAGAUCCCCGGGGGGUUCCGGUAACCUCUCGGUACUGUGGUAUUUAUCCGGUGUCCGAAUAUAACCUUCCAAUAUAUCAAUCUUUAUGUCUCGACCAUUUUAAGACUCCUCGUCAUGUCCGUGAUCAUAUCUGGGACUCCGAACUACCUUCGGUACAUCAAAACACAUAAACUCAUAAUACCGAUCGUCACCGAACGUUAAGCGUGCGGACCCUAUGGGUCCGAGAACUAUGUAGACAUGACCGAGACACGUCUCCGGGUUUAACCAAUAGCGGAACCUGGAUGCUCAUAUUGGCUCCUACAUAUGUUGGGGAACGUUGCAUAAAAUAAACUUUUUCCUAUGUUCACCAAGAUCAAUCUAUGAGUUCAUCUAGCAACGAGAGAGGGGAGUGCAUCUACAUACCCUUGUAGAUCACGAGCGGAAGCGUUCAAGAGAACGGGGUUGAGGGAGUCGUACUCGUCGUGAUCCAAAUCACCGGAGAUCCUAGCGCCGAACGAAUGGCACCUCCGCGUUCAACACACGUACGGUUAGCGUGACGUCUCCUCCUUCUUGAUCCAGCAAGGGGGAAGGAGAGGUUGAUGAAGAUCCAGCAGCACGACGACGCGGUGGAGGAUGCAGCAGAGUUCCGGCAGGGCUUCGCCAAGCGACUACGGGAGGAGGAGGUGUAGCAAGGGGGGAGGGAGGCGCCAAGACUUCAGGGUGCAGCUGCCCUCCCCUCCCCCUCCUUUAUAUAGGCCCCCUGGAGGGUGGCGCCGGCCCUGGAGAUGGGAUCUCCCAAGGGGGCGGCGGCUAGGGGGGUGGAGUGCCCCCCAAGGCAAGUGGAGGCGCCCCCCCCCCCCACCCUAGGGUUUCCAACCCUAGGCGCAGGGGGGCCCAAGGGGGUCGCACCAGCCCACCAGGGGCUGGUCCCCUCCCCACUUCAGCCCACGGGGCCCUCCGGGAUAGGUGGCCCCACCCGGUGGACCCCCGGGACCCUUCCGGUGGUCCCGGUACAAUACCGGUGACCCCCGAAACUCUCCCGAUCACCGAAACUGCACUUCCUAUAUAUAAUUCUUUAUCUUCGGACCAUUCCGGAACUCCUCGUGACGUCCGGGAUCUCAUCCGGGACUCCGAACAACUUUCGGUUUGCUGCAUACUCAUAUCUCUACAACCCUAGUGUCACCGAACCUUAAGUGUGUAGACCCUACGGGUUCGGGAGACACAUAGACAUGACCUAGAUGGCUCUCCGGUCAAUAACCAACAGCGGGAUCUGGAUACCCAUGUUGGCUCCCACAUGCUCCUCGAUGAUCUCAUCGGAUGAACCAUGAUGUUGAGGAUUCAAGCAACCCCGUAUUCAAUUCCCUUUGUCAAUCGGUAUUUUACUUGCCUGAGAUUCGAUCAUCGGUAUCCCAAUACCUCGUUCAAUCUCGUUACCGGCAAGUCACUUUACUCGUACCGUAAUGCAUGAUCCUGUGACCAGACACUUGGUCACUUUGAGCUCAUUAUGAUGAUGCACUACCGAGUGGGCCCAGAGAUACCUCUCCGUCAUACGGAGUGACAAAUCCCAGUCUCGAUCCGUGUCAACCCAACAGACACUUUCAGAGAUACCUGUAGUGCACCUUUAUAGUCACCCAGUUACGUUGUGACGUUUGGUACACCCAAAGCACUCCUACGGUAUCCGGGAGUUACACGAUCUCAUGGUCUAAGGAGAAGAUACUUGACAUUGGAAAAGCUCUAGCAAACGAACUACACGAUCUUGUGCUAUGCUUAUGAUUGGGUCUUGUCCAUCACAUCAUUCUCCUAAUGAUGUGAUCCCGUUAUCAAUGACAUCUAAUGUCCAUAGUCAGGAAACCAUGACUAUCUAUUGAUCAACGAGCUAGUCAACUAGAUGCUCACUAGGGACAUAUUAUGGUCUAUGUAUUCACACGUGUAUUACGAUUUCCGGAUAAUACAAUUAUAGCAUGAAUAAAGACAAUUAUCAUGAACAAGGAAAUAUAAUAAUGAUCCUUUUAUUAUUGCCUCUAGGGCAUAUUUCCAAAAGUCUCCCACUUGCACUAGAGUCAAUAAUCUACUUACAUUGUGAUGAAUCGAACACCCAUAGAGUUCUGGUGUUCAUCAUGUUUUGCUUGCGGAAGAGGUUUAGUCAACGGAUCUGCGACAUUCAGAUCCAUAUGUACUUUGCAAAUAUCUAUGUCUCCAUCUUGAACAGUUUCACGGAUGGAGUUGAAACGAUGCUUGACGUGCCUGGUCUUCUUGUGAAACCUGGGCUCCUUGGCAAGGGCAAUAGCUCCAGUGUUGUCACAGAAGAGAGUGAUUGGCCCCGACGCAUUGGGUAUGACUCCUAGGUCGGUGAUGAACUCCUUCAUCCAUAUUGAUUCAUGCGCUGCCUCCGAGGCUGCCAUGUACUCCGCUUCACAUGUAGAUCCCGCCACGACGCUCUGCUUGCAACUGCACCAGCUUACUGCUCCACGAUUCACCAUAUACACGUAUCCGGUUUGUGACUUAGAGUCAUCCACAUCUGUGUCGAAGCUAGCAUCGACGUAACCCUUUAUGACGAGCUCUUCGUCACCUCCAUAAACAAGAAACAUGUCCUUUAUCCUUUUCAGGUACUUCAGGAUAUUCUUGACCGCUAUCCAGUGUUCCUUGCCGGGAUUACUUUGGUACCUUCCUACCAAACUUACGGCAAGGUUUACAUCAGGUCUGGUGCACAGCAUGGCAUACAUAAUAGAUCCUAUGGCUGAGGCAUAGGGGAUGACACUCAUCUCUUCUUUAUCUUCUGCCGUGGUCGGGCAUUGAGCCGAGCUCAACUUCACACCUUGCAAUACAGGCAAGAACCCUUUCUUGGACUGAUCCAUUUUGAACUUCUUCAAUAUCUUAUCAAGGUAUGUGCUUUGUGAAAGACCUAUGAGGCGUCUCGAUCUACCCCUAUAGAUCUUGAUGCCUAAUAUGUAAGCAGCUUCUCCAAGGUCCUUCUUUGAAAAACACUUAUUCAAGUAGGCCUUAAUGCUGUCCAAAAGUUCUAUAUCAUUUCCCAUCAAAAGUAUGUCAUCUACAUAUAAUAUGAGAAAUGCUACAAAGCUCCCACUCACUUCCUUGUAAACGCAGGCUUCUCCAUAAGUCUGCAUAAACCCAAACGCUUUGAUCAUCUCAUCAAAGCGAAUGUUCCAACUCCGAGAUGCUUGCACCAGCCCAUAAAUGGAUCGCUGGAGCUUUCAUACCUUGUUAGCAUUCUUAGGAUCGACAAAACCCUCCGGCUGCAUCAUAUACAGUUCUUCCUUAAGAUGUCCGUUAAGGAAUGCCGUUUUGACGUCCAUCUUCCAUAUCUCAUAAUCAUAGUAUGCGGCAAUUGCUAACAUGAUUCGGACGGACUUCAGCUUCGCUACGGGAGAGAAAGUCUCAUCAUAGUCAACCCCUUGAACUUGUCGAUAACCCUUAGCGACAAGUCAAGCUUUAUAGAUGGUAACAUUACCAUCCGCGUCUGUCUUCUUCUUAAAGAUCCAUUUGUUUUCUAUCGCUCACCGAUCAUCGGGCAAGUCUGUCAAAGUCCAUACUUUGUUUUCAUCCAUGGAUUCUAUCUCCGAUUGCAUGGCUUCAAGCCAUUUGUUGGAAUCUGGGCCUGCCAUCGCUUCUUCAUAGUUCGAAGGUUCACCGUUGUCUAACAACAUGAUUUCCAGGACAGGGUUGCCAUACCACUUUGGUGUGGAACAUGUCCUUGUGGACCUAUGAAGUUCAGUAGCAACUUGAUCCGAAGUACUUUGAUCAUCAUCAUUAAUUUCCUCUCCAGUCGGUGUAGGCACCACAGCAACAUUUUCCUGAGCUGCACUACUUUCCGGUUCAAGAGGUAGUACUUCAUCGAGUUCUACUUUCCUCCCACUUACUCCUUUCGAGAGAAACUCUUUUUCCAGAAAGGAUCCGUUCUUGGCAACAAAGAUCUUGCCCUCGGAUCUUAAGUAGAAGGUAUACCCAAUGGUUUCCUUAGGGUAUCCUAUGAAGACGCAUUUUUCCGACUUGGGUUCGAGCUUUUCAGGUUGAAGUUUCUUGACAUAAGCAUCGCAUCCCCAAACUUUUAGAAACGACAGCUUAGGUUUCUUCCCAAACCAUAAUUCAUACGGUGUCGUCUCAACGGAUUAAGACGGAGCCCUGUUUAAAGUGAAUGUAGCUGUCUCUAGAGCGUAUCCCCAAAAUGAUAACAGUAAAUCGGUAAGAGACAUCAUAGAUCGCACCAUAUCCAAUAGAGUGCGAUUACGAUGUUCGGACACACCGUUACGCUGAGGUGUUCCAGGCGGCGUGAGUUGUGGAAUGAUUCCACAUUUCCUUAAGUGCGUACCAAAUUCGUGACUUAAAUAUUCUCCUCCACGAUCUGAUCGUAGGAACUUUAUCUUUCGGUCACGUUGAUUCUCUACCUCAUUCUGAAAUUCCUUAAACUUUUCAAAGGUCUCAGACUUGUGUUUCAUCAAGUAGACAUACCCAUAUCUACUCAAGUCAUCAGUGAGAGUGAAAACAUAAUGAUAUCCUCCGCGAGCCUCAACGCUCAUUGGACCACACACAUCAGUAUGUAUGAUUUCCAAUAAGUUGGUUGCUCGCUCCAUUGUUCUGGAGAACAGAGUCUUGGUCAUUUUGCCCAUGAGGCAUGGUUCGCAUGUGUCAAAUGAUUCAUAAUCGAGAGACUCUAAAAGUCCAUCAUCAUGGAGCUUCUUCAUGCGCUUGACACCAAUGUGACCAAGGUGGCAGUGCCACACGUAUGUGGGACUAUCGUUACCAACUUUACAUCUUUUGGUAUUCACACUAUGAAUAUGUGUAACAUUACGUUCGAGAUUCAUUAAGAAUAAACCAUUGACCAUCGGGGCAUGACCAUAAAAUAUAUCUCUCAUAUAAAUAGAACAACCAUUAUUCUCGGAUUUAAAUGAGUAGCCAUCUCGUAUUAAACGAGAUCCAGAUACAAUGUUCAUGCUCAAACUUGGCACUAAAUAACAAUUAUUGAGGUUUAAAACUAAUCACGUGGGUAAAUGUAGAGGCAGCGUGCCGACGGCGAUCACAUCGACCUUGGAACCAUUCCCGACGCGCAUCGUCACCUCGUCCUUCGCCAGUCUCCGCUUAUUCCACAGCUCCUACUAUGAGUUACAAAUAUGAGCAAUGGCACCGGUAUCAAAUACCCAGGAGUUACUAUGAGUACUGGUAAGGUACACAUCAAUUACAUGUAUAUCACAUAUACCUUUAGUGUUUUCGGCCUUCUUGUCCGCUAAGUAUUUGGGGCAGUUCCGCUUCCAGUGACCCUUCCCUUUGCAAUAAAAGCACUCAGUCUCAGGCUUGGGUCCAUUCUUUGACUUCUUCCCGGCAACUGGCCUACCGGGUGCGGCAACAUCCUUGUCGUCCUUCUUGAAGUUCUUCUUACCCUUCCCUUCUUGAACUUGGUGGUUUUAUUGACCAUCAACACUUGAUGUUCUUUCUUGAUUUCUACUUCUGUUGACUUUAGCAUUGAAAAUACUUCAGGAAUAGUUUUCACCAUCCCCUGCAUAUUGUAGUUCAUCACAAAGCUCUUGUAGCUUGGUGGGAGCGACUGAAGGAUUCUGUCAGUGACCGCCUUGUCCGGGAGGUUGAUGUCCAGCUGGGACAGGCAGUUGUGCAACCCAGACAUUUUGAGUAUGUGCUCACUGACAGAACUAUUUUCCUCCAUCUUACAACUAUAGAACAUGUCGGAGACUUCAUAUCUUUCGACCCGGGCAUGAGCUUGGAAAACCAGUUUCAGCUCCUUGAACAUCUCAUAUGCUCCGUGUUGGUCAAAAUGCUUUUGGAUCCUCGGUUCUAAGCUGUAAAGCAUGCCGCACUGAACGAGGGAGUAAUCAUCAGCACGUGACUGCCAAGCGUUCAUAAUGUCUUGGUUCUCUGGGAUGGGUGCAUCACCUAGUGGUCCUUCUAGGACAUAUGCUUUCUUAGCAGCUAUGAGGAUGAUCCUCAGGUUCUGGACCUAGUCCGUAUAGUUGCUUCCAUCAUCUUUCAGCUUGCUUUCUCUAGGAACGCGUUGAAGUUCAUGUUGACAUGAGCGUUGGCCAUUUGAUCUACAAGACAUUUUUGCAAAGAUUUUAGACUAAGUUCAUGAUAAUUAAGUUCAUCUAAUCAAAUUAUUUAAUGAACUCCCACUCAGAUUUGACAUCCCUCUAGUCAUCUAAGUGUUACACGAUCCGAGUCGACUAGGCCGUGUUCGAUCAUCACGUGAGACAGACUAGUCAUCAUCGGUGAACAUCUCGAUGUUGAUCGUAUCUUCCAUACGACUCAUGUUCGACCUUUCGGUCUCUGUGUUCCGAGGCCAUGUCUGUACAUGCUAGGCUCGUCAAGUUUAACCUAAGUGUUUUGCAUGUGUAAAACUGUCUUACACCCGUUGUAUGUGAACGUAGGAAUCUAUCACACCGGAUCAUCACGUGGUGCUUCGAAAUGACGAACUUUAGCAACGACGCACAGUUAGGGAGAACACUUUCUUGAAAUUAUUAUAAGGGAUCAUCUUAUUUACUACCGUCGUUCUAAGUAAACAAGAUGCAUAAACAUAAUAAACAUCACAUGCAAUUAUAUAGUAGUGACAUGAUAUGGCCAAUAUCAUAUAGCUCCUUUGAUCUCAAUCUUCGGGGCUCCAUGAUCAUCUUUGUCACCGGCAUGACACCAUGAUCUCCAUCAUCAUGAUCUCCAUCAUCGUGUCUCCAUGAAGUUGCUCGCCAACUAUUACUUCUACCACUAUGGCUAACGGUUUAGCAAUAAAGUAAAGUAAUUACAUGGCGUUAAAUCAUUGACACACAGGUCAUACAAUAAUUAAGACAACUCCUAUGGAUCCUGCCGGUUGUCAUAUUCAUCGACAUGCAAGUCGUGAUUCCUAUUACAAGAACAUGAUCUCAUACAUCACAAUAUAUCAUUCAUCAUUCAUCACAACUUUUGGCCAUAUCACAUCACAAGGCAAUUGCUGCAAAAACAAGUUAGACGUCCUCUAAUAGUUGUUGCAUCUUUUACGUCGCUGCAAUAGGGUUCUAGCAAGAACGUUUUCUUACCUACGAAAAAGCCACAACGUGAUUUGUCAACUUCUAUUUACCCUUCAUAAGGACCCUUUUCAUCGAAUCCGCUCCAACUAAAGUGGGAGAAACAGACACCCGCUAGCCACCUUAUGCAAGUAGUGCAUGUCAGUCGGUGAAACCUGUCUCAUGUAAGCGUACGUGUAAGGUCGGUCCGGGCCGCUUCAUCCCACAAUACCCUGAAGCAAAAUAAGACUAGUAGCGGUAAGAAAGUUGACAACAUCUACGCCCACAACAGAUUUGUGUUCUACUCGUGCAAUAGAGAACUACGCAUAGACCUAGCUCAUGAAGCCACUGUUGGGGAACGUUGCAUAAAAUAAAAAAUUUCCAACGUUCACCAAGAUCAAUCUAUGAGUUCAUCUAGCAACAAGAGAGGGAGUGCAUCUACAUACCCUUGUAGAUCGCGAGUGGAAGCGUACAAGAGAAUGGGGUUGAGGGAGUCAUACUCGUCGUGAUCCAAAUCACCGGAGAUUCUAGCGCCGAACGGACGGCACCUCCGCGUUCAACACACGUAUGGUCAGCGUGACGUCUCCUCCUUCUUUAUCCAGCAAGGGGAAAGGAGAGGUUGAUGAAGAUCCGGCAACACGACGGCGUGGUGGUGGAUGCAGCAGAGUUCCGGCAGGGCUUCGCCUAGUGACUACGGGAGGAGGAGGUGUAGAAAGGGGGGAGGGAGGCGCCAAGACUUCAGGGUGCGGCUGCCCUCCCCUCCCCCUCCUUUAUAUAGGCCCCUUGGGGGGGAGCCGGCCCUGGAGAUGGGAUAUCCAAAGGGGGCGGCGGCCAGGGGGGUGGAGUGCCCCCCAAGGCAAGUGGAGGCGCCCCCCCACCCUAGGGUUUCCAACCAUAGGCGCAGAGGGGGGCCAAGGGGGCACACCAGCCCACCAGGGGCUGGUCCCCUCCCCACUUCAGUCCACGGGGCCCUCCAGGAUAGGUGGCCCCACCCGGUGGACCCCCGGGACCCUUCCGGUGGUCCCGAUACAAUACCGGUGACCCCCGAAACUCUCCCGAUGGCCGAAACUGGACUUCCUAUAUAUAAUUUUAUCUUUGGACCAUUCCGGAACUCCUCGUGACGUCCGGGAUCUCAUCCGGGACUCCGAAAAACUUUCGGUUUGCUGCAUACUCAUAUCUCUACAACCCUAGUGUCACCGAACCUUAAGUGUGUAGACCCUACGGGUUCGGGAGACACGUAGACAUGACCGAGACGGCUCUUCGGUCAAUAACCAACAUCGGGAUCUGGAUACCCAUGUUGGCUCCCACAUGCUCCUCGAUGAUCUCAUCGGAUGAACCAUGAUGUCGAGGAUUCAAGCAACCCCGUAUUCAAUUCCCUUUGUCAAUCGAUAUUUUACUUGCCCGAGAUUCGAUCGUCGGUAUCCCAAUACCUCAUUCAAUCUCGUUACCGGCAAGUCACUUUAAUCGUACCAUAAUGCAUGAUCCCGUGACCAGACACUUGGUCACUUUGAGCUCAUUAUGAUGAUGCACUACCGAGUGGGCCCAGAGAUACCUCUCUGUCAUACGGAGUGACAAAUCCCAGUCUCGAUCCGUGUCAACCCAACAGACACUUUCGGAGAUACCUAUAGUGCACCUUUAUAGUCACCCAGUUACGUUAUGACCUUUGGUACACCCAAAGCUAUCAGGACCCCGACUCAAUGCCACAUCGAUCUAGCAUGUAACACCUCAUAUCACUUUGCGGCCUCACGCACGGUAUUCCCACGGGUGUCGUCUUACCUUUGCCCGGGACCGUUUGCACCUUUUGGCACACGUAUAUGAUAGUGUUGCUGGCAUCCAUAUGGUAAGGAGCCCGGGCUGACAUGGCUAGUCGUAAACCCAAAGUGGCACAGACUUACAGGGACAGGCAUCCAUGACCCAGCAUCGAACGUGUCGGUCAUCAGCAAGUGAAUCCGGGCUUUAGCACCGGGCUAGCAGGACUCCGGUAAACCGUGCUGCAGCGGGCUAACAGGACUCCGGUAUUCAUCGCAUGACAUUUCGCCGAAGGGACAGACACAGGAACGAAGAAGGCACAUGCCGGCCAGCCUAAGUGUUCCGGAGCAGUAGCAAGCUACCAUGGCUCAGUGGAAGCACUAGGAGACAUUUCCCGGUAAGAGAGGCUACUAAGGAUAAACAACUAGAUAGUCAGAUCCCACACAUACCAAGCAUUUCAAUCAUACACACAAUAUGCUCGAUAUGUGCAAAUACAACAAGGCAUCACAACAUGACUCUACAACACAAGUACUUUAUUUAAAGGCUCAGAGAGCCAUACAUAGUAUACACACAAGUACGGGUCACAUGACCCACAUUCAAGUAAUACAAGCAUACAAGCCAACAGCGGAAGUAACUUGUCUGAGUAGAGACAACUAGUAAAAUAAAAGAGGCCUGGGUAAGCCUAGCUAUACUACAUGGUCCUUCACAAGCUCAGGAUCACCACCUGGGCCUCAGUCUACUCAUCGAUGUCAACGUCUACGAAGAACCUGUCAGAAGGGGUUGUAGCAUCUUCUGUAAAAUGUAAAUUAGAGCAACAUGAGUACAAAGGUACUCAGCAAGACUUACAUCAGAUCCUACAUACAUGCACAUUAUCAAGAAGGGUUGGUGGGGUUAUUGCAGCAAGCCAGCUUCGACUCUUGGCUAAGCUAUCCUAUGAGACUCCAACUUGAAAUGGUUUUGCACACACGAGUCCACUACUCACCACUUCAAUACACAACCGAGGAUUCACCUCCGUCUUCCUACGGAAGAGCCAUCCUCGGCACUCACAAUUAUCUUGAGGCUUUUAGUAGUUUCCAUUUACUUGUCUAUGAACUGUUAUAGGCAACACAGAAGUCCUUUACCGCGGACACGGCUAUUCGAAUAGAUCAUUUAUAACCCUGCAGGGGUGUACUUCUUCAUACAUGUUUCCACCACUUAGCAUCUGCACACGACAUGUGCUCGGCAGACUUCAAGCGAAAGCGAAAGCCUAAACACUCAAGUCUCUAGUCCAGGUUUAUCGCCUAUUCAGGUUCCAUCCGCAGGGAGUCCGUCCGAGGUUUCCACAUACGGCCCCGAACGAUGUGUAUAGGGUUCCGUGACACCAAACAGGCGCCCGGUAUACCCGGCCACGUGCCUACCGCAUCACAGCCCACCCCUUCGAUCAGCGUUGCGCACGACCUCCAGCAUACUACAAACACCAGAAACUACUUGCAACUCCUGGACAGAGGACAAGGGUGAUUAAGAAGUCGAGCAGGGUCAUAUUUCAGGGCCCAAUGCAUGGUAGUAGCUGAACCAUGGAUCACAAACACAGAACUCAGUUCCUGAGGACGGCUUCAAUGAGACAAUCCACCAUGUACUCCUACAUGGCCUCUCAUAGCUACCUUUACCAAAUCCUGUUCACACACUUAGCUCACACUCAGUAGAAUAUGUUCACGCACCUCUGAUUCAUCCCCGAUGAAUCAGACCUGACUCAACUCUAAGCAAUAGCAGGCAUGACAAACAAACAUGAAUGAGUAGGCACAACAGGGCUCAAACAACUCCUACUCAUGCUAGUGGGUUUCAUCUAUUUACUGUGGCAAUGAUAGGUCCUGCAGAGGAUAAAGGGGUUCAGCUACCGCAGCAAGUAACAGAUGAAUCAUUGCUGUCCUAAUGCAGUAAAAGAGAGCAGGAGCGAGAGAGUAGGAUUGUAUCGAAAUGAACAAGGGGGUUUUGCUUGCCUGGCACUUCUGAAGAUAGUAUACUUCUUCAUCGGUGUCAGCGAUCACAACGUCGGUACAACGUCUACCGAGGGGGAACAACACUGGCAAACAGAGAAGAAACACGAUCAAUGCAAUGCACAAUAUGAUGCCUGCUAUGACAUGGCAAUAUGAAUGUGUUUUGGGCUAAUGCAAGCUAGAACAGAUUGAGAUGAGUCCAUUUGAACCAAAGAUUCAAAUGCAAACCCAUUUUAAGAGGUCAUAAUAGUGUAUUAACUUGUUUCACCUAAACAGCAAGGUUAAUGUGUUCUAACAUGCAUGAAACCAGUGCAGAUGGAUAGAUUGGAUUUUUUUGAUCAUUUUUCAUAUAUAAAUUAUUUCAUUCUAAGUUACGGUUAAAUUUCUAUGAAUUUUAGAAGUUUAGAGCAUUUUCUGGAAUUUCCUGUAUAAAAAUAAAUCUAGAAAAUACUUAUUGCGUCAGCAUUGCGUCACUCUGACGUCAGCAGUCAACGAGGCCGGUCCAGGUCAAACCUGACGUGUGGGGUCCACACAUCAGUGACACGGUUAACCAACAGGGUUAAUUAAAAUUAAACUAAACCUAAUCUAGUUUAGUUAAGGCCUGGGCCCACAUGUCAGAGGCUAACCUAACUAACUAAGUUAAUUACCGCUCAUUAAUCUAUCGCUUAAUUAAGCAGGGGCCUGGCCCACACGUCAAUGAGUCAGGGGGAAGUCAAACCCCGGUCAAACCCGCCGGACCUGGUCCACGGCUCGUCGCCGGCGACGACAGAGACAACGAGGCGGCUCGGGAAUGCUCUACAGGGCACCGUUUUACUCGUGGUUUGCGGCUACGGCUAGCUAGCAAUGCGGCGCAUCUAAUGGAGCGAAUGGGUGGAGCUGGGGUGGCCUGAGCCGACGGCGGCGAGCUCCAAGGCGGCGGCCGGAGUUCGGGCAAUGACGGGUUUGGCGCCACAGUGCAUGGGAGGAGGAGCUGGUGGGCGCUACGGGCUCUUGGGGGUGCACUGGGUGUAGUGACGCGCUCGGUUUGGACGGAGGUGAACUAAAAUGACGACAGCGACAAGUCUGGCACCAGUGAGGUUUCGGUCUCGACGGAAACGAGGGCUACGAUGAGCUAAUGGACAUGUGAGUAGGGGGGUCAGUAAAGGAGCUUACGGCGAGUGCAGAGGUGGCCUCGGCGUGCUCGGGGAAGCACUGGAGCGAGCGGUGCGGCGAGAGGGAUCUCCGGCGGCCGGUGACGAAGAUGAUCAAGAUGGCGUCAAUCCAGGGCCUCCGGCGAUGCGUGGCUAGACGGAGAGGACGAGGGAGGCGUGGCGAUGCUCGUGGACACGUCGGAGAGGCUCGGGGUUGGCUGCGGCUGCGGCUAUGGCGAACGGCGGCGGCGGUGGCGUUCGGUGGUGAGAGGGAGAGAGAGUAGAGGAGGGGGAGGAGCAUGGGGAGAGUGAGAGAGAGCCACAGGGGUUGCGUGUCGACGUCCAUGGCAUCCAGAGGGACGUCGGGAGGCGGUGGAAAGCUGGAGGUGGCCGAGGGGCGUGGGCGUGAAUGGCGGCCACACGCCUCUCAUCCUACUGGCGAGAGGUGGGAGAUGACUGGCAGAUGGGCCUGGUGGGCUGCUACAGUGCCAGGCCGGCCAGGUAAGCGCCAGGUAUUCUCUCUCUCUCUCUCUUUUGUUAAUGUUUUUCUAUUUUUCUGUAACUUCAGGGCUUUAUUAAAAAUGCCAGGGCAUUUCCAAAAAUCAUGAAACUAAUCAUGGCUACUGUUUAGAAUAUAUCCAACAGUAAACAUUUUAGUUUAUGAUUAUUUGAGCAUUUAAAAUAUUUUAUAGCACUUAAAUGCCCAAAUGCAAAUACUAUAGGAUUUAAUUUAGAAAUCCAGAAUGGCCUAGAAAUAUGUGCAUGACAUUUGGCAGAGGUUUUCACCUUUGACCGAAAUCAUGAACUUUUCUAAAGGGCAUUUGGGAUCACUAAAAAUAUUAUUUUUUUGAACCUAGUUGAAUUCAUUUGGUGCUAGGGUUUCAACAAUCCCCAUUUCAAGUUUCAUGAAAUUUAAACAUGAUGCAUGGAUGCAAAGUCACUAGUUACGAGCAAACUCUAGGGCUGUGAUAACUCACCCCCACUAAACAAGAAUCUCGUCUUGAGAUUCAAGACGUGAGGUAAGAAGACAAAGGGGGCACAAAACCAACACAAUCUUCAUGAUCCAGGUUGCACCUCAUAAGGUUGUUGAUUCGUUGCAUACAUUGAUCUUGACAUCCUCGCUUUUGAGAUCUUCAUCCAUGCGAUGACGACGGAAAGGAACUCUACUAGGAUUGAUCUUCUCAAAGACCGAAUUAUACAAUCUCAACUCGCGGAGUGAGAUGUUGAAACACCUUGAGUUGAGACACAAAACACAUCGAGAGGGAUGGAAGAACAAACGACGGGGUUUGAUUUGGUGGGAAACAAUUCCACGCUUAGAAAGAUGGUGGAUGGUGUCAAGGUGGCGAGGAAAUAAUUGCCAUGAUCCCGUAACGGGGCACCUUAGGGAAGGUGACUCGUAGGUUUGUUACCUUAAGUGGCAAAAGGAAUUAUUUUUGAUUCAGAGAUCAUUGAAACUCUUUAUACCAGCCUAAGGCAAUUCACAACAAUCGUUUGGCAGAGUACAAAGGGAUGGCAUACCCGGACUAGAAUGGAUGAUGUGGACUACCUUGUUGAAGACAACGUAAUGAAUGCUUUUUGCUUAUCAUCGGAGGUGGAGGGGACCCAUGGUAGGACCACUUCUAAAGAUGAUCCUGAACAACAAUUGCUGAGAAGGGCAGUCCAAGGAGGAUUGGCACAAGGCGGUGCAAGCUGGGAACGAAAUGCAAAUGUCGGGAAUGUUCCAACCAUCAUAUCUGCCUGAGAUUCAGAUUUGGUUGGUGUUAGGACAUUCCAGACUCAUCAAGUCUAGGAAGAAAAAUGAAAGUUUGCAACACAAAUCGAUGAGAUGACGUCGCGAGAUUCUCGGGAGAUAAACUACGAUAGCAAGCUCCAAAACAUGAGCUGGUUCUGCUAAACAUGUGUGAACACGCUGUCCCAGACAAACAUGACCACAUAGUAGUCUUAAUAUAAAACACUACCGAGUUCAGGUGGGGAACCAUCAUUGCGGAUAACGAAGUCCUUGCAUAAGUCAUGAUUCUUAAGAAGGAGCUUCUUCUCCCUGAACAAAUCAAUCAGUGGCUUGGUGUGCUAGGGAUACGUAAGCAAUGAAGAUGAUCAGUCUAUCAGACCAUAGAAUACUUCGCACAUGCAUGACUGACUUGGGAUGAUCCCGGAGGGAACAAAACUAACUUUCUCAAAUUCACGGCGGCAACUUGCACCUAAUGCGCGUGAACUUGGAGAGAGUCACUUCUUACAUCCAAGCAUAUUCUUCAUGAACGAAACACGAAGAUAAUGCUUAUAUAGUUUCCAAUACUAGCUGAAGGUUCAACACGAAUCAUGGAAGAGAUAAAAAUGUUGCUGAUGGGCUCAACAACAAUUCAUCUAGGUUUCCAUAUAAGUGGAAUUCCACAAUUAUGUGAACAAGGCGAUAGCAUCGGUCAGACCAAAGGAUAUAACGGUGUAUGCCCGAGGAAACAACCACGGGUAAGACAACAUUACGAAUAUCGUUGGUUCUGAUUUGACUUGACAAUAGCCCAUGCUCAAAUCAGAGAUUGGUUACGAUAAUAGAUCCAACAACUGAUCACAGGGACCAAUCGAUGAAGAUAUCAUCUUUCUUCAACAUACAUACAAGAUAUCACUUAACAUGAACUAAGUCGGACAAGCUUUUAUCUUCCAACUCUCCAAGUUGAUGUAUAGCUUAACCAACUAGCUCAGGGGUAUCCAACACGGAUUCUUGGAGAAAGGGUGGUUUACAAGAAUAAACCAACUUGAUCAUGAACUCAACAUAGCGGUCAGGUGACGACCUAGUGAUACUUCCGAGAAGAUAAUCAGAAAAUCAGGAACCACCGGUAUGUUACUAAGCUCGAGAGAAAUCUUGCUUUUCAGGGCAAGACGAUAUGAUCAAAUGAGCAAGGGAUUGACAAAAUCCUAACUCAACGACCGAAGAGUGCACCGGAAAUAGGGACUAGAUAGCACAAUCAACCUUAGGGUGACGAUUCAAUAAUCAACACGCUAAGAAUGAGGUUAGCGUCCAUUUAACUACCAAGCAACGGAGUUGCUAGCAGUAUUGAUUUCACACACCAUGAUUCACUUGUCAGUAUUCCGGUUGCAACAACACGGAACCGAGGAGCGAAUGAUGAUGGCAAGAAGUAUCACUACUUCAAGAAUCCAUAAGGGAAGGUGCAAUUCUCAUGACGUUCCUGACAUAAAGUGGGUAAUACUUCAGGGUAGAACAGAACAAAAGCUGAAUUAGUAUUUGAUCUGCGAUUUACAACUGCUUUGACCCGAUCCUGGAUAUGGAUGAGGUACGGGAGUUUGUUUCUCCUAGUCAUUCUAGAAUAGAAUGGCUUGACAUACCACUAGAGUAAUAGGCAUCAAUGAACGAAUGCACGCAUACUCUUGACUAUCAAUUGAUAGAUGGGGUCGGAAUACAACUAAGGAGGGACAACCCAAACGAACUUACGAUCUUCUGAGUUGUGGAUGCACAUAUUAGUAUGUCGAGCAAAGAUCAACAUUUUUCUUCCGGAUAACCCAUGCGGAGAAGGUAGGACUGGCAGAUUCACAAUAUAGAAUCGAGAACGCAUCAAGAGCACUCUGGUUGUGAUCUUUCGGUUAAACGAGGAACUUCUGCCAUAAGUAGUUCAUGGUAUUUGGAAGAAGGAAAUACCACGGACCUCGAGGACUAAUGCAAAGGUUACUAAUUUCCUAAAGGAACUAGCAAACACUAUCAUCAUGAGUAAGUGGGGUGAAUCUCGGUUCAAGAACCCAGGAAUAGAAUACCUACUACUAAGUGGCAUCACGGGAUGCUUUCGAGAAUAAAGGCCAGAAUUAUCACACCGGGAACAAAUCAUGGCUAGAUUACUAGAUGAUCCCCUAGGACACCUAGGGUCAUAAUAAUAAUUCCAACAUAUAUGUCGAGGCAAUAGAAUACUUCAACUCAGCAAUUAGUGUGAUUAACCUGGCUCAAAGGAACAUCAAAACCAGAGGGAAAUGAUUUGCAAGUGCAUCAGAUUGUUUAGAAACCUGGGAUGACUCGGACAACAUAACGGCUGUAAAUGCUCAAAAGGAAUUUUGAGACAUUUUGCAAAGAGUUGCAUAGACACUCAACAAUAUCAUAUCAAGGUUCUGGGUCCAACUUAGCAACAUAAUAGGGUAGUAGAACUGAACUAGGCUUAUAAUCAUCAAACCAAUAAGGUACUACUGAUUAGUAACACGUGAACCUGAUAGAGAGAAAAGAUCCUAAUCCUUAACCCCCGGUGGAAGAAUGGACUGACUCAGAUCAGAAUGCCAUGAGGUAAAGAAGUAAAAAGAGCCUUACGUACCAUCCCACAAUCAAUUCCCCUACAUAUAACUAAAGCAUUUCUAGACUCAACAUCGACCAGUUUGGCUUGGUAAUCCUACAGGCAGUCAGGCUCUUAUACCAAAGCUGUCAGGUCCUGAACGAUGUGUACAGGGUUCCGUGACACCAAACGGGCGCCCGGUAUACCCGGCCACGUGCCUACCGCAUCACAGCCCACCCCUCCGGUCAGCGUUGCGCACGGCCUCCAGCAUACUACAAACACCAGAAACUACUUGCAACUCCUGGACAGAGGACAAGGGUGAUUAAGAAGUCGAGCGGGGUCAUAUUUCAGGGCCCAAUGCAUGGUAGUAGCUGAAUCAUGGAUCACAAACACAUAACUCAGUUCCUGAGGGCGGCUUCAAUGAGACAACCCACCAUGUACUCCUACAUGGACUCUCACCGCUACCUUUACCAAAUCGUGUUCACACACUUAGCUCACACUCAGUAGAAUAUGUUCACGCACCUCUGAUUCAUCCCCGGUGAAUCCGACUUAACUCAACUCUAAGCAAUAGCAGGCAUGACAAACAAACAUGAAUGAGUAGGCACAACAGGGCUCAAACAACUCCUACUCAUGCUAGUGGGUUUCAUCAAUUUACUAUGGCAAUGACAGGUCAUGCAGAGGAUAAAGGGGUUCAGCUACCGCAGCAAGUAAUAGAUGAAUCGUUGUUGUCCUAAUGCAGUGAAAGAGAACAGGAGCGAUAGAGUAGCAUUGUAUCGGAAUGAACAAGGGGGUUUUGCUUGCCUAGCACUUCUGAAGAUAGUAUACUUCUUCAUCGGUGUCAUCGAUCACAACAUCGGUACAACGUCUACCGAGGGGGAACAACACCGGCAAACAGAGAAGCAACAUGAUCAAUGCAAUGCACAAUAUGAUGCAUGCUAUGACAUGGCAAUAUGAAUGUGUUUUGGGCUAAUGCAAGCUAGAACAGAUUGAGAUGAGUCCAUUUGAACCAAAGAUUCAAAUGCAAACCCAUUUUAAGAGGUCAUAAUAGUGUAUUAACUUGUUUCACCUAAACAGCAAGGUUAAUGUGUUCUAACAUGCAUGAAACCAGUGCAGAUGGAUAGAUUGGAUUUGUUUGAUCAUUUUUCAUAUAUAAAUUAUUUCAUUCUGAGUUACGGUUAAAUUUCUAUGAAUUUUAGAAGUUUAGAGCAUUUUCUGGAAUUUCCUGUAUAAAAAUAAAUCCAGAAAAUACUUAUUGCGUCAGCAUUGCAUCGCUCUGACGUCAACAGUGAACGAGGCCAGUCCAGGUCAAACCUGACGUGUGGGGUCCACACGUCAGUGACACGGUUAACCAACAGGGUUAAUUAAAAUUAAACUAAACCUAAUCUAGUUUAGUUAAGGCCUGGGCCAACAUGUCAGAGGCUAACCUAACUAAGUUAAUUACAGCUAAUUAAUCUAUCGCUUAAUUAAGCAGGGGCCUGGCCCACACGUCAGUGAGUCAGGGGGAAGUCAAACCCCGGUCAAACGGGGUCAAACCCGCCGGACCUGGUCCACGGCUCAUCGCCGGCGACGACAGAGACGAUGGGGCGGCUCGUGAAUGCUCUACAGGGCACCGUUUUACUCAUGGUUUGUGGCUACGGCUAGCUAGCAAUGCGGCGCAUCUAAUUGAGCGAACGGGAGGAGCUAGGGUGUCCUGAGCCGACGGCGGCGAGCUCCAAGGCGGCGGCCGGAGUUCGGGCAACGACGGGUUCGGUGCCAUAGUGCAUGGGAGGAGGAGCCGGUGGGCGCUACGGGCUCCUGGGGGUGCACUGGGUGUAGUGACGCGCUCGGUUUGGACGGAGGCGAACUAAAAUGACGACGGCAACAAGUCCGGCGCCGGUGAGGUUUCGGUCUCGACGGAAACGAGGGCUACGAUGAGCUAAUGGACAUGUGAGUAGGGGGGUUAGUAGAGGAGCUUACGACGAGUGCAUAGGUGGCCUAGGCGUGCUCGGGGAAGCACCGGAGCGAGCGGUGCAGCGAGAGGGAUCUCCGGCAGCCGGCGACGAAGAUGAUGAAGAUGGCGUCGAUCCAGGGCCUCCGGCGAUGCGUUGCUGUGCGGAGAGGACUAGGGAGGCGUGGCGAUGCUCGUGGACACGUCGGAGAGGCUCGGAGUUGGCUGCGGCUGCGGCUAUGGCGAACGGCGGCGGCGGUGGCGUUCGGUGGUGAGAGGGAGAGAGAGUAGAGGAGGGGGAGGAGCAUGGGGAGAGUGAGAGAGAGCCACAGGGGUUGCGUGUCGACGUCCAGGGCAUCCAGAGCGACGUCGGGAGGCGGUGGAAAGCUGGAGGUGGCCGAGGCGCGUGGGCGUGAAUGGCGGCCACACGCCUCUCGUCCUACUGGCGAGAGGUGGGAGAUGACUGGCAGAUGGGCCUGGUGGGCUGCUACAGUGCCAGGCCGGCCAGGUAAGCGCCAGAUAUUCUCUCUCUCUCUUUUGUUAAUGUUUUUUUAUUUUUCUGUAACUUCAGGGCUUUAUUAAGAAUGCCAGGGCAUUUCCAAAAAUCAUGAAACUAAUCAUGGCUACUGUUUAGAAUAUAUCCAACAGUAAACAUUUUAGUUUAUGAUUAUUUGAGCAUUUAAAAUAUUUUAUAGCACUUAAAUGCCCAAAUGCAAAUACUAUAGGAUUUAAUUUAGAAAUCCAGAAUGGCCUAGAAAUAUGUGCAUGACAUUUGGCAGAGGUUUUCACCGUUGACAGAAAUCAUGAAAUUUUCUAAAGGGCAUUUGGGAUCACUGAAAAUAUAUAUUUUUUGAACCUAGUUGAAUUCAUUUGGUGCUAGGGUUUCAACAAUCCCCAUUUCAAGUUUCAUGAAAUUUAAACAUGAUGCAUGGAUGCAAAGCCACUAGUUACAAGCAAACUCUGGGGCUAUGACAAAAGCACUCCUACGGUAUCGGUAUCCGGGAGUUACACGAUCUCAUGGUCUAAGGAGAAGAUACUUGACACUGGAAAAGCUCUAGCAAACGAACUACACGAUCUUGUGCUAUGCUUAGGAUUGGGUCUUGUCCAUCACAUCAUUUUCCUAAUGAUGUGAUCCCGUUAUCAACGACAUCUAAUGUCCAUAGUCAGGAAACCAUGACUAUCUGUUGAUCAACGAGCUAGUCAACUAGAGGCUCACUAGGGACAUAUUAUGGUCUAUGUAUUCACACGUGUAUUACGAUUUCCGGAUAAUACAAUUAUAGCAUGAAUAAAGACAAUUAUCAUGAACAAGGAAAUAUAAUAAUAAUCCUUUUAUUAUUGCCUCUAGGGCAUAUUUCCAACAACAUAUUCUACGAAGAUCUUUAUCGGUCAAACCACAUAACAACAUAGGUUCUUCCCUUUGUCAUCGGUAUGUUACUUGCCUGAGAUUCGAUCGUCGGUAUCUCAAUACCUAGUUCAAUCUCGUUACCGGCAAGUAUGUUUACUCAUUCCAUAAUGCAUGAUCCCGCAACUAACUCAUUAGUCACAUUGCUUGCAAGGCUUAUAGUGAUGUGCAUUACCGAGAGGGCCCAGUGAUACCUCUCCGACAAUCGGAGUGACAAAUCCUAACCUCGAUCUAUGCCAACUCAACAAGUACCAUCGGAGACACCUGUAGAGCACCUUUAUAAUCCCCCAGUUACGUUGUGACGUUUGGUAGCACACAAAGUGUUCCUCUGGUAUUUGGGAGUUGCAUAAUCUCAUAGUCAUAGGAACACGUAUAAGUCAUGAAGAAAGCAAUAGCAACAAACUAAACGAUCAAGUGCUAAGCUAACGAAAUGGGUCAAGUCAAUCACAUCAUUCUCUAAUGAUGUGAUCCCGUUAAUCAAAUGACAACUGUCUAUGGUUAGGAAACACAACCAUCUUUGAUUCAACGAGCUAGUCAAGUAGAGGCAUACUAGUGACACUUUGUUUGUCUAUGUAUUCACACAUGUACUAAGUUUCCGGUUAGUACUAUUCUAGCAUGAAUAAUAAACAUUUAUCAUGAUAUAUGGAAAUAUAAAUAACAACUUUAUUAUUGCCUCUAGGGCAUAUUUCCUUCAAAAUUUAGAGAUGACAAACAAAGCUUAAGUAGCAUCUGUUCUACUUGAUUGUAGAAAUUUCUUUUACCUGUAGAAUAACUCGGUUGUUAUUUCUUUAAACAUGAAGUGUGAUAUUAACUUAUCUCAAUCUAGGAACACAAAGCAAAUAUUACAUGUGCUUCUAUGGACUCCAAGCAGAUGAGAAAUCAUUUUGUCUAGAAGUUCCUUAGAAGGAUAUAAUAGUUUUGACCUAAACAAAUUUACUAUUGUACUCGUGUCUUACAAAGUUAAAGCUGAAAAUCAACAUAACCAUUGGACCCUUUGAAAGACAAGUGUAGGAAAUAAAUAGUAGGAUAUAAAUUUGAGCAGAAUGUUUGAUCAAAUACUGAACAAAUAACCCAGCAAACUACUAAAACUCGUCUAUUCUACCUUAUAUGAACUGUCACGAUGAUAAAGCUAUGAUUUUUUUUGGCAAAUAAGUAUCCUAGAACUAAUACAAGUUCAAACAAAUCAGCCACAGAUCCCCGAGCCCAUCCAACCAGAUAGCUGAAACUGAAAGAAGCAUUAGCUCGAUUAGAGCACCUACAGCGGAACUUGACAAAUUUGACCCCUGAAACGCCCGCGGACACGCGUGUUAGUAGACAUAAACCAAUCUUUAAGCAGAGCACGUCCGGCAGUCGGAUGCUCCCCAAAGUGUUGGUCCAGUCGCCGGCAAGGUAGAGUAGGGCAUGGGAUACAAGGCGGCUCACGGGACUCGAGGCGCCACCGUCCCCCAUUCCCAACUCUUCUCAGUCGGAACCCGGACAGUGCCGGUGGACGUCAGAUCGAUGAUGGAUCCUUCCUGGGACGAGCCAGCAACAUCCACCACCACGUGGUUGUGCAGCCCGAACUAGUGCACAAUAUGGGGAGCCGGAAAAUACGACUCCGCCUCCGCAACGCCCACCACCGCGAGGGCUGUCGCUGCCUCCCGCACCCGCUGCAUUGCAUGGCAGGAGCGCCGAACUAUGUUUUGCAUCGGGCGACGCCCAUGGUGCGUCCAUGGCCUCAGUGCGCCAAUGGAGGGGCUGCGCGUCCGCCACCCAUUCAAACGCCAGAUGGACCGCACCACCUUUGUGUUGGAAAUAUGCCCUAGAGGAAAUAAUAAAAGGAUUAUUAUUGUAUUUCCUUGUUCAUGAUAAUUAUCUUUAUUCAUGCUAUAAUUGUAUUAUCCAGAAAUCGUAAUAGACGUGUGAAUACAUAGACCAUAAUAUGUCCCUAGUGAGCCUCUAGUUGACUAGCUCGUUGAUCAACAGAUAGUCAUGGUUUCCUGACUAUGGACAUUAGAUGUCGUUGAUAAUGGGAUCACAUCAUUAAGAUAAUGAUGUGAUGGACAAGACCCAAUCCUAAGCAUAGCACAAGAUCGUGUAGUUCGUUUGCUAGAGCUUUUCCAAUGUCAAGUAUCUUCUCCUUAGACCAUGAGAUCGUGUAACUCCCGGAUACCGUAGGAGUCCUUUGGGUGUACCAAACGUCACAACGUAACUGGGUGACUAUAAAGGUGCACUACAGGUAUCUCCGAAAGUGUUUGUUGGGUUGACACCGAUCGAGACUGGGAUUUGUCACUCCGUAUGACGGAGAGGUAUCGCUGGGCCCACUCGGUAGUGCAUCAUCAUAAUGAGCUCAAAGUGACCAAGUGUCUGGUCACGGGAUCAUGCAUUACGGUACGAGUAAAGUGAAUUGCCGGUAACGAGAUUGAACGAGGUAUUGGGAUACCGACGAUCGAAUCUCGGGCAAUUAAAAUACCGAUUGACAAAGGGAAUUGAAUACGUGGUUGCUUGAAUCCUCGACAUCGUGGUUCAUCCGAUGAGAUCAUCGAGGAGCAUGUGGGAGCCAACAUGGGUAUCCAGAUCCCGCCGUUGGUUAUUGACUGGAGAGCCGUCUCAGUCAUGUCUACGUGUCUCCCGAAUCCGUAGGGUCUACACACUUAAGGUUCGGUGACGCUAGGGUUGUAGAGAUAUGAGUAUGCAGCAAACCGAAAGUUGUUCGGAGUCCCGGAUGAGAUCCCGGACAUCACGAGGAGUUCCGAAUGGUCCGGAGAUAAAGAAUUAUAUAUAGGAAGUGCAUUUUCAGCGAUCGGGAGAGUUUCGGGGGUCACCGGUAUUGUACCGGGACCACCGGAAGGGUCCCGGGGGUCCACUGGGUGGGGCCACCUAUCCCGGAGGGCCCCGUGGGCUGAAGUGGGGAGGGGACCAGCCCAUAGUGGGCUGGUGCGACCCCCUUGCCCCACCUACGCCUAGGGUUGGAAACCCUAGGGUGGGGGGCGCCUCCACUUGCCUUGGGGGGCACUCCACCCCCCUGGCCGCCGCCCCCUUGGGAGAUCCCAUCUCCAGGGCCGGCGCCCCCCCAGGGGGCCUAUAUAAAGGAGGGGGAGGGGAGGGCAGCCGCACCCUGAAGUCUUGGCGCCUCCCUCCCCCCUUGCUACACCUCCUCCUCCCGUAGUCGCUUGGCGAAGCCCUGCCGGAACUCUGCUGUAUCCACCACCACGCCGUCGUGCUGCUGGAUCUUCAUCAACCUCUCCUUCCCCCUUGCUGGAUCAAGAAGGAGGAGACGUCACGCUGACCGUACGUGCGUUGAACGCGGAGGUGCCGUCCGUUCGACGCUAGGAUCUCUGGUGAUUUGGAUCACGACGAGUACGACUCCCUCAACCCCGUUCUCUUGAACGCUUCCGCUCGCGAUCUACAAGGGUAUGUAGAUGCACUCCCCUCUCUCGUUGCUAGAUGAACUCAUAGAUUGAUCUUGGUGAACGUAGGAAAUUUUUUAUUUUAUGCAACGUUCCCCAACAGUGGCAUCAUGAGCUAGGUCUAUGCGUAGUUCUCUAUUGCACGAGUAGAACACAAAUCUGUUGUGGGCGUAGAUGUUGUCAACUUUCUUGCCACUACUAGUCUUAUUUUGCUUCAGCGGUAUUGUGGGAUGAAGUGGCCCGGACCGACCUUACACGUACGCUUACGUGACACAGGUUCCACCGACUGACAUGCACUAGUUGCAUAAGGUGGCUAGCGGGUGUCUGUCUCUCCCACUUUAGUUGGAGCGGAUUCGAUGAAAAGGGUCCUUAUGAAGGGUAAAUAGAAGUUGACAACUCACGUUGUGGCUUUUUUGUUGGUAAGAAAACAUUCUUGCUAGAACCCUAUUGCAGCCACGUAAAAGAUGCAACAACAAUUAGAGGACGUCUAACUUGUUUUUGAAGCAAUUGCCUUGUGAUGUGAUAUGGCCAAAAGUUGUGAUGAAUGAUGAAUGAUAUAUUGUGAUGUAUGAGAUCAUGUUCUUGUAAUAGGAAUCACGACUUGCAUGUCGAUGAGUAUGAAAACCGGCAGGAGCCAUAGGAGUGGUCUUAAUUAUUGUAUGACCUGCGUGUCAAUGAUUUAACGCCAUGUAAUUACUUUACUUUAUUGCUAAACCGUUAGCCAUAGUAGUAGAAGUAAUAGUUGGCGAGCAACUUCAUGGAGGCACGAUGAUGGAGAUCAUGAUGAUGGAGAUCAUGGUGUCAUGCCGGUGACAAAGAUGAUCAUGGAGCCCCGAAGAUGGAGAUCAAAGGAGCUAUAUGAUAUUGGCCAUAUCAUGUCACUACUAUAUAAUUGCAUGUGAUGUUUAUUAUGUUUAUGCAUCUUCUUUACUUAGAACGACUGUAGUAAAUAAGAUGAUCCCUUAUAAUAAUUUCAAGAAAGUGUUCUCCCUAACUGUGCGUCGUUGCUAAAGUUCGUCGUUUCGAAGCACCACGUGAUGAUCGGGUGUGAUAGAUUCCUACGUUCACAUACAACGGGUGUAAGACAGUUUUACACAUGCAAAACACUUAGGUUAAACUUGACGAGCCUAGCAUGUAUAUACAUGGCCUCAGAACACAGAGACCGAAAGGUCGAACAUGAGUCAUAUGGAAGAUACGAUCAACAUGGAGAUGUUCACCAAUGAUGACUAGUCCGUCUCACGUGAUGAUCGGACACGUCCUAGUCGACUCGGAUCGUGUAACACUUAGAUGACUAGAGGGAUGUCAAAUCUGAGUGGGAGUUCACUAAAUUAGAUGAACUUAAUUAUCAUGAACUUAGUCUAAAAUCUUUGCAAAAAUGUCUUGUAGAUCAAAUGGCCAACGCUCAUGUCAACAUGAACUUCAACGAGUUCCUAGAGAAAACCAAGCUGAAAGAUGAUGGCAGCAACUAUAUGGACUGGGUCCAGAACCUGAGGAUCAUCCUCAUAGCUUCCAAGAAAGCAUAUGUCCUAGAAGGACCACUAGGUGAUGCACCCAUCCCAGAGAACCAAGAUGUUAUGAACGCUUGGCAGUCACGUGCUGAUGAUUACUCCCUCGUUCAGUGCGGCAUGCUUUACAGCUUAGAACCGGGUCUCCAAAAGCGUUUUGAGAAACACGGAGCAUAUGAAAUGUUCGAGGAGCUGAAAAUGGUUUUCCAAGCUCAUGCCCGGGUCGAGAGAUAUGAAGUCUCCGACAUGUUCUAUAGUUGUAAGAUGGAGGAAAAUAGUUCUGUCAGUGAGCACAUACUCAAAAUGUCUGGGUUGCACAACUGCCUAACCCAGCUGGACAUCAACCUCCCGGACGAGGCGGUCAUUGACAGAAUCCUUCAGUCGCUCCCACCAAGCUACAAGAGAUUUGUGAUGAACUACAAUAUGCAGGGGAUGGUGAAAACUAUUCCUGAAGUAUUUUCAAUACUGAAGUCUGCAGAGGUAGAAAUCAAGAAAGAACAUCAAGUGUUGAUGGUCAAUAAAACCACCAAGUUCAAGAAGGGCAAGGGUAAGAAAAACUUCAAGACGGACGGCAAGGAUGUUGCCGCACCCGGUAGGCCAGUUGCCGGGAAGAAGUCAAAGAAUGGACCCAAGCCUGAGACUGAGUGCUUUUAUUGCAAAAGGAAGGGUCACUGGAAGCGGAACUGCCCCAAAUAGUUAGCGGACAAGAAGGCCGGCAACACUAAAGGUAUAUGUGAUAUACAUGUAAUUGAUGUGUACCUUACCAGUACUCGUAGUAACUCCUGGGUAUUUGAUACCGGUGCCGUUGCUCAUAUUUGUAACUCACAGUAGGAGCUGCGGAAUAAGCGGAGACUGGCGAAGGACGAGGUGACGAUGCGCGUCGGGAAUGGUUCCAAGGUCGAUGUGAUUGCCGUCGGCACGCUGCCUCUACAUUUACCCACGGGAUUAGUUUUAAACCUCAAUAAUUGUUAUUUAGUGCCAAGUUUGAGCAUGAACAUUGUAUCUGGAUCUCGUUUAAUACGAGAUGGCUACUCAUUUAAAUCCGAGAAUAAUGGUUGUUCUAUUUAUAUGAGAGAUAUGUUUUAUGGUCAUGCCCCGAUGGUCAAUGGUUUAUUCUUAAUGAAUCUCGAACGUAAUGUUACACAUAUUCAUAGUGUGAAUACCAAAAGAUGUAAAGUUGAUAACGAUAGUCCCACAUACUUGUGGCACUGCCGCCUUGGUCAUAUUGGUGUCAAGCGCAUGAAGAAGCUCCAUGAUGAUGGACUUUUAGAGUCUGUCGAUUAUGAAUCAUUUGACACAUGCGAACCAUGCCUCAUGGGCAAAAUGACCAAGACUCCGUUCUCCGGAACAAUGGAGCGAGCAACCAACUUAUUGGAAAUCAUACAUACUGAUGUGUGUGGUCCAAUGAGCGUUGAGGCUCGCGGAGGAUAUCAUUAUGUUCUCACUCUCACUGAUGACUUGAGUAGAUAUGGGUAUGUCUACUUGAUGAAACACAAGUCUGAGACCUUUGAAAAGUUCAAGGAAUUUCAGAAUGAGGUAGAGAAUCAACAUGACCGAAAGAUAAAGUUCCUACGAUCAGAUCGUGGAGGAGAAUAUUUAAGUCACGAAUUUGGUACGCACUUAAGGAAAUGUGGAAUCAUUCCACAACUCACGCCGCCUGGAACACCUCAGCGUAACGGUGUGUCCGAAUGUCGUAAUCGCACUCUAUUGGAUAUGGUGCGAUCUAUGAUGUCUCCUACCGAUUUACUGCUAUCAUUUUGGGGAUACGCUCUAGAGACAGCUACAUUCACUUUAAACAGGGCUCCGUCUAAAUCCGUUGAGACGACACCGUAUGAAUUAUGGUUUGGGAAGAAACCUAAGCUAUCGUCUCUAAAAGUUUGGGGAUGCGAUGCUUAUGUCAAGAAACUUCAACCUGAAAAGCUCGAACCCAAGUCGGAAAAAUGCGUCUUCAUAGGAUACCCUAAGGAAACCAUUGGGUAUACCUUCUACUUAAGAUCCGAGGGCAAGAUCUUUGUAGCCAAGAACGGAUCCUUUCUGGAAAAAGAGUUUCUCUCGAAAGGAGUAAGUGGGAGGAAAGUAGAACUCGAUGAAGUAGUACCUCUUGAACCGGAAAGUAGUGGAGCUCAGGAAAAUGUUCCUGUGGUGCCUACACCGACUAGAGAGGAAAUUAAUGAUGAUGAUCACAGUACUUUGGAUCAAGUUGCUACUGAACUUCGUAGGUCCACAGGGACACAUUCCAAACCAGAGUGGUAUGGCAACCCUGUCCUGGAAAUCAUGUUUUUAGACAACGGUGAACCUUCGAACUAUGAAGAAGCGAUGGCGGGCCCAGAUUCCAACAAAUGGCUUGAAGGCAUGCAAUCCGAGAUAGAAUCCAUGUAUGAAAACAAAGUAUGGACUUUGACAGACUUGCCCGAUGAUCAGCGAGCGAUAGGAAACAAAUGGAUCUUUAAGAAGAAGACAGACGCGGAUGGUAAUGUUACCAUCUAUAAAGCUCGACUUGUCGCUAAGGGUUAUCGGCAAGUUCAAGGGGUUGACUACGAUGAAACUUUCUCUCCCGUAGCAAAGCUGAAGUCCGUCUGAAUCAUGUUAGCAAUUGUCGCAUACUAUGAUUAUGAGUUAUGGAAGAUGGACGACAAAACGGCAUUCCUUAACGGGCAUCUUAAGGAAGAACUGUAUAUGAUGCAGCCGGAGGGUUUUGUCGAUCCUAAGAAUGAUAAUAAGGUAUGCAAGCUCCAGCAAUCCAUUUAUGGGCUGGUGCAAGCAUCUCGGAGUUGGAACAUUCGCUUUGAUGAGAUUUUCAAAGCGUUUGGGUUUAUGAAGACUUAUGGAGAAGCCUGCGUUUACAAGAAAGUGAGUGGGAGCUCUGUAGCAUUUCUCAUAUUAUAUGUAGAUGACAUACUUUUGAUGGGAAAUGAUAUAAAACUUUUGGACAGCAUUAAGGCCUACUUGAAUAAGUGUUUUUCAAUGAAGGACCUUGGAGAAGCUGCUUACAUAUUAGGCAUCAAGAUCUAUAGGGAUAGAUCGAGACGCCUCAUAGGUCUUUCACAAAGCACAUACCUUAAUAAAAUAUUGAAGAAGUUUAAAAUGGAUCAGUCCAAGAAAGGGUUCUUGCCUGUAUUGCAAGGUGUGAAGUUGAGCUUGGCUCAAUGCCCGACCACGGCAGAAGAUAAAGAAGAGAUGAGUGUCAUCCCCUAUGCCUCAACCAUAGGAUCUAUUAUGUAUGCCAUGUUGUGCACCAGACCUGAUGUAAACCUUGCCGUAAGUUUGGUAGGAAGGUACCAAAGUAAUCCCGGCAAGGAACACUGGACAGCGGUCAAGAAUAUCCCGAAGUACCACAAAAGGACAAAGGACAUGUUUCUCGUUUAUGGAGGUGACAAAGAGCUCGUCGUAAAGGGUUACGUCGAUGCUAGCUUCGACACAGAUCUGGAUGACUCUAAGUCACAAACCGGAUACGUGUAUAUGUUGAAUCGUGGAGCAGUAAGCUGGUGCAGUUGCAAGCAGAGCGUCGUGGCGGGAUCUACAUGUGAAGCGGAGUACAUGGCAGCCUCGGAGGUAGCGCAUGAAGCAAUAUGGAUGAAGGAGUUCAUCACCGACCUAGGAGUCAUACCCAAUGCGUCGGGGCCAAUCACUCUCUUCUGUGACAACACUGGAGCUAUUGCCCUUGCCAAGGAGCCCAGGUUUCACAAGAAGACCAGGCACAUCAAGCGUCGUUUCAACUCCAUUCGUGAAAAUGUUCAAGAUGGAUACAUAGAUAUUUGCAAAGUACAUACGGAUCUGAAUAUCGCAGAUCCGUUGACUAAACCUCUUCUGCGAGCAAAACAUGAUCAACACCAGAACUCUAUGGGUGUUCGAUUCAUCACAAUGUAACUAGAUUAUUGACUAUAGUGCAAGUGGGAGACUGUUGGAAAUAUGCCCUAGAGGCAAUAAUAAAAGGAUUAUUAUUAUAUUUCCUUGUUCAUGAUAAUUGUCUUUAUUCAUGCUAUAAUUGUAUUAUCCGGAAAUCGUAAUACACGUGUGAAUACAUAGACCAUAAUAUGUCCCUAGUGAGCCUCUACUUGACUAGCUCGUUGAUCAACAUAUAGUCAUGGUUUCCUGACUAUGGACAUUAGAUGUCGUUGAUAAUGGGAUCACAUCAUUAGGAGAAUGAUGUGAUGGACAAGACCCAAUCCUAAGCAUAGCACAAGAUCGUGUAGUUCGUUUGCUAGAGCUUUUCCAAUGUCAAGUAUCUUCUCCUUAGACCAUGAGAUCGUGUAACUCCCGGAUACCGUAGGAGUGCUUUGGGUGUACCAAACGUCACAACGUAACUGGGUGACUAUAAAGGUGCACUACAGGUAUCUCCGAAAGUGUAUGUUGGGUUGACACGGAUCGAGACUGGGAUUUGUCACUCCGUAUGACGUAGAGGUAUCUCUGGGUCCACUCGGUAGUGCAUCAUCAUAAUGAGCUCAAAGUGACCAAGUGUCUGGUCACGGGAUCAUGCAUUACGGUACGAGUAAAGCGACUUGCCGGUAAAGAGAUUGAACAAGGAAUUGGGAUACCGAUGAUCGAAUCUCGGGCAAGUAAAAUACCGAUUGACAAAGGGAAUUGAAUACGGGGUUGCCUGAAUCCUCGACAUCGUGGUUCAUCCGAUGAGAUCAUCGAGGAGCAUGUGGGAGCCAACAUGGGUAUCUAGAUCCCGCUGUUGGUUAUUGACCGGAGAGCCAUCUCGGUCAUGUCUACGUGUCUCCCGAACCCGUAGGGUCUACACACUUAAGGUUCGGUGACGCUAGGGUUGUAUAGAUAUGAGUAUGCAGCAAACUGAAAGUUGUUCGGAGUCCCGGAUGAGAUCCCGGACGUCACGAGGGGUUCCGGAAUGGUCCGGAGAUAAAGAAUUAUAUAUAGGAAGUGCAGUUUCGGCCAUCGGGAGAGUUUCGGGGGUCACCGGUAUUGUACCGGGACCACCGGAAGGGUCCCUGGGGUCCACCGGGUGGGGCCACCAAUCCCGGAGGGCCCCGUGGGCUGAAGUGGGGAGGGGACCAGCCCCUGGUGGGCUGGUGCGCCCCCCUUGGGCCCCCCCUCCCGCGCCUAGGGUUGGAAACCCUAGGGUGGGGGGGGCGCCUCCACUUGCCUUGGAGGGCACUCCACCCCCUGGCCGCCGUCCCCUUGGGAGAUCCCAUCUCUAGGGCCGGCUCCCCCCCAGGGGUCCUAUAUAAAGGAGGGGGAGGGGAGGGCAGCCGCACCCUGAAGUCUUGGCGCCUCCCUCCCCCCUUGCUACACCUCCUCCUCCCGUAGUCGCUUGGCGAAGCCCUGCCGGAACUCUGCUGCAUCCACCACCACGUCGUCGUGCUGCUGGAUCUUCAUCAACCUCUCCUCCCCCCUUGCUGGAUCAAGAAGGAGGAGACGUCACACUGACCGUACGUGUGUUGAACGCGGAGGUGCCGUCCGUUCGGCGCUAGGAUCUCCGGUGAUUUGGAUCAUGACGAGUACGACUCCCUCAACCCCAUUCUCUUAAACGCUUCCGCUCGCGAUCUACAAGGGUAUGUAGAUGCACUCCCCUCUCUUGUUGCUAGAUGAACUCAUAGAUUGAUCUUGGUGAACGUAGGAAAUUUUUAUUUUAUGCAACGUUCCCCAACACUUUGGUGAGGCGGUGAUGGUACACCUAGCGCCGGAUCCAUGCAUCAUUUGGGCGGACGCAUUGGAUUCCCCGCGGAAGGAGUUCGAGUGUUGCCGUUGCCAUCGGGCAGCCUCCUCCCGGGAGCGGUGGAGCGCAAGCUGGAUGGCCAGCUCCUCCUAGGAGCCGCGUGGGAUGAGUUCGGGGUUGACGGAUCUGGAGGUGUAACACUGGGAUCCGCCUCCUGCCAUGCCGAAGAAGGCCAUAAGAUCGUCGAACGGGAGCUUGGGUGGCGGCAUAGAGUGGAGUAAAGUGGCUAGGGUUUGGUCCGGCAAGCGGAUGGGGAGGAAUAUAUGUGGGGUCGGGUGGGCCAGCGUGGACCGGGACCGACAUGGCGGACGCGCCUGGGCGCCGCAUAUUCUUCCUAGAUUUGGGCUGGAUAUCAGGGGUGCUGGUUAGCUUGGGCGUUUGAGGCCCAUCUGGAUAGUUUUUCUGUGACCUGACCGUUCGUCCGGGCGUUUGAGGUGGGUUUGGGACGCCCAGGUGUAAAUGCUCUUAGACCAUGUAGUACCUUGAGGAGGAUGGUGGGUCCAUGGAACAACUACAGCCUCUCCAUUUUGUUUGGGCGCAGGGCGAUAACGGAGUUAUCUCUACUCCUAAAGAGGGAGUCGUUAGUCUCCCUUCCACGGUUUUUUUGUCUUACCUCCCAUCUUUGUUUCAUUUUUUCCGUCUCUUUUUCCACCACCGUCUGUUUUUUCUCAUCUCCACCUGGCAUGUAACGAAAAAAAAUCUGUUUCAUAGGUCGAUUGUCAAGGUCCGAGAGCCGCCGCCACCUUCAUUGCGGACCUCUAGGUCGCCGUCCGGACACACCGCCGAGGUCCGCAAUCACCGACGUUGAGGUCCGAGAGGAGCUGCCGCCCCCUUCAUUCUGGGCCUGGACGCUUCAUGGUCCUCCUACCUCUCCCUUUCCUCUCCCCUUCUCUCCCGCUUCCAUCCUCACUCGCCGCCCCUGCCUCUCNNNNNNNNNNNNNNNNNNNNNNNNNNNNNNNNNNNNNNNNNNNNNNNNNNNNNNNNNNNNNNNNNNNNNNNNNNNNNNNNNNNNNNNNNNNNNNNNNNNNNNNNNNNNNNNNNNNNNNNNNNNNNNNNNNNNNNNNNNNNNNNNNNNNNNNNNNNNNNNNNNNNNNNNNNNNNNNNNNNNNNNNNNNNNNNNNNNNNNNNNNNNNNNNNNNNNNNNNNNNNNNNNNNNNNNNNNNNNNNNNNNNNNNNNNNNNNNNNNNNNNNNNNNNNNNNNNNNNNNNNNNNNNNNNNNNNNNNNNNNNNNNNNNNNNNNNNNNNNNNNNNNNNNNUCUCUCUCUCUCUCUCUCUCUCUCUUGUUUCCUACCCCACUGGUUCUACAAUGCUGGUCGUCGCCUUGGGUUGGCGAACCUAGCUACUGUGGGUUGGGAUUCAAAUGCCACAUCAUCUUUGGGACGCGGCCGUGACGGCUUGGCCUGAUGCCUGCGAAGUAGGGCGAGCAGAGACAACAUGAGACUGCGCCGCUGUGCUGUUCGCCGUGACGCGCUGUCACGCUGUGUAGAUGGAGGAUGCGUGCCCAAGCCUUGUUGUGCCUGUCUUCCCGUGCGGUAGUCGGGAUCUGGACUGGAUCGGGGUUGAGUUCGACACCACCGAACCCCGGCUUCCAGGAGACCAGGCGCCUCCUCUCCUCAUCACCCGUCUCACCAGAGGCAUGUGCAGAAUUCCGUACACCAUCUGCGCAAACAUGGUGGUCGACGACGCUCUGGAUGUGGUCUACGUGAGGACUAGGUUCCAUCAUUAACAUGUACCCUGGCAAGGUAUGUGCUAUGGGAUGUAAACUCUCGAUUUUAUCUUCAUUUUAGUUGCCUUCAUCUCAUGCUUUGUUCGUUCCAUAGGCAUUUGUCAUGAAUCUAUUUUCAGGAGGGUGAUGUUAACGAUUUCAAAAACUUGAUAGCAGGGUAUGGCUAUAGUUAUUGGUCAUGCAUUAUCGCGAGGCUUGACAAGCAUACCAUAAAAUGGUUUUUAUUUAUGCUCUCGUAGGUUAAACCAAUCUCUGUCAUUAUGAAAUUGGCAUAGCUGAACAUGAUCAGGACUUCAGCAGGGCAGGGUCAUUACUUUGGAGUUUCAGCACUCAUAGUUGGUGAGUGCUUAUGUCCUAAAAUUUUGGAUGUGACUAAACAUAGGCUGGUAUGGCUAAUCUUUUUUGCUUUUCUGUCCUUGCUCUUCACGGAAUCUUCAGGUUUACGGAUUGAUAAUUGUGAUCUAUGUUUCAACCACUUCCCAAUGUUUUACUUGAUGAGAAGGUUCUAAUUUUAUUUUAUUUUAUUUCACUUGAUGAGAAGGGUCCAUGUUUCACCGACUUUGUACAAGUGUGUUUGCUUAGCUAGAUUUCUGCCCUUAUUUUCUAUUUGACAUCCCUCAAUCAUUUUCUGCAGAUUCACUUCGUUCGUAUUCUAUAUUGUUGUAAGUGCACCUAGGGAUAUUAUAGUAGUUCUUAUCUGCAGUUUACUACAACUGGUGACCACAUCUCCAUAUUAUUAUCUUUAAAAUGUACUUUCAAAAAGUAAACUAAUUAACGUUAACCUUCCGCUCUGUAGAAACCACAUAAUUUCAACUCAUUAAUCAUUUUUUAGCGGAAAGGCAGUAAUCAAUGAUGGCGAUUUAAACUGUACUCCUUAUAGUAUUGAUAUUCCCCAUGCACCGGUAUGUUCUCGUACAUCCGUGAAACUUCUGAGUCAAAAUGUUAUAUCCUUAUGUAUACAGUUCAUCAUUGGUUGUUACAGAAUUUCCCAGUGGGCACAACCUCAACCCACACCUCCCACCAGGAUCUUCUCUCUGCCGGAGCCAUCCUACCUGCAGCCAGCUCCCCCUCGUACGCCCUGAUCUCCACCUUGUGUGCUGGUCCAUUCAUCAUAGCUAGAAGGUAAUGACUAAUGAGCAUGUCAUCUCUGCCCCUCUCAAUUUCAUCCUUGUGUUGUUUAUUUUUCAGAGAAUGUGGUAUUAUGUAGCCCCUCUCUGUUGAUGAAUUGAAUGUAUAGAUUAUAUACUAGCAAAAGAGCCCGUGCGUUGCAACGGGAUAAUAAAACCGACGAAUUGUACUCGUGUGACUUGAGCUUUGGUUGGUUUCACACGCUUAUACUUCUUAGUUUUCUUGUAAAAUAAUAUGGCGGUAUUUAUACUAUUCAGGGUUGGUUAUCCAUCCGUCAGGUUAUUCAGGGCGUAAAUUUACGGAAAGAAGCAUAUUGUGACGGUGAAUGCGACGGAGUCAAUCCGUGCUUUAUUAUUUGGAAAAGAGAAAUAUGCCUAUGCAUUGCUACGGCUCUAGAAUAAACCUAUACAUGGUCAAAAUACAGGACAGCAACAUGUCUUCUUUUAGUUUUUUUCAAACCAUUAGAAAUAUGUUAGAUUUUACUUAAGUUUAGUUCCCUUAUUCCACCAUAAAGCAUUCCGGUUGAAAAGGAGAUGGCGUCUGUCAUUUACUUUCUAGAAAAACAUAGAGUCGAUAAACUUUCCUGUAUCUUCAGCCAUAGGUCCUUUACUCAUAUUUAAAAAAUUGUAAUAUUUAAUCCAAGCAAAAUUAUAUGAAUUACAGGAAAAAUUGUACUCAUGUGACUUGAGCUUUGGUUGGUUUCACACGCUCAUACUUCUUAGUUUUUUUGUAAAAUAAUACGGCGGUAUUUAUACUAUUCAGGGUUGGUUAUCCAUCCGUCAGGUUAUUCUUGAAGCUAGCUAGUAAUCACCAUGAGUUCAGUUGGCGUUCCAAGUAAUCACCAAGCCAAUCGACCGUGAGCAUCCGGACGUUAGCUGCGAAUGACAGACGGCUGGAUGGGCUAAUGAAGAUUAAACCUCAAUUUUGUACGCGGUAGUGCUGCAGACCUUCUGCAGUGAGACUUCGAUCAGAAGGACUUACCAGACAGGGGCACGGAGGAUUUAGAUAUCCUACUGCAGCUGCCGCUGCUCACCAAGGAGUUGCUCCCGUGCCGCUCGAAGGUCGCCAGCUCGGGGCAGAGCAGGAGCUUAAAGGCCAUGGACACGCCAGACCUGAAGGACGGCAGUGGCAAGGGUGGCGCAGGUGGGCGACGUUGCUCGCGCUCGGGGCGGACGCCGGCGGCGCUCGAUCUUGCCUAGAGCACGGAGGGGACAGGGGAGCAGGGGAAGAGGUAGGCAGUAAACCAGAUAGGAAUGGCACAUGUAUCGCAUCUGCCCUCGGCGGAGCUCCGCUCUGUCGUCAACAUCCGCGACGGACCCCACGAAGCCCAUCAUGUCGGCGUCCUUGAGGAACCGCCCCUGCUUGCCGCGGCCGACCGCAAUUUCGGAGAAAUUGGAGAUGGGGGAUCGUCCGCGGUUCGGCAACGGGUACGGGGAGGAGUCCGGGGCAAAGACUGUUCCGCUCGACCGGCCGGAGGAGCGCAGCCGCUCCGGUGGCCAGAGAUCGAGGGGGUGGCGGCGGUGUCCAACCCCCAACAGGCUGUGUUCUUUUUCUGACGGGACGAAAAAGGGGAAUCCCUUCUCUGGAACCGCUGUCGUUGCUCGACUGUGCUCCAAGCCGCCGCCGCCACCGCCGUCGCCUGAUUGCUCUCUCCCCGUCAACCCCCCCUCUCUCUCGAUCCAGCGACGCGUGUUUAGAUCGAAGCCCCCUGAAUUCCACGACCGAUCUGAUUCUAUCGAUCGAGGCAGCUCUGUUUCGAUUUGUAUAUGUACUUUUUAGGAGGAGUGUCCCGUGUUUGUUUCUGAUAGCCAUCUAUUUGUUUUAUGCUCAACAGGCCCAUUAGCCCUUGAUCUGGCCCAGGGAGUCUAGCGACCCAGGGAGUCUAGCGGGGAAGAGAGCGGGUGCGACCGAUUGGAUGCACACGACGUGGUUGGCCAUCUGAAUUAGUACCACCUUGAAUAUAUUUUAAAAUUAAAAUUGAAAACGUAAAAUCACGGAAAGAAGCGCAUUGUGACGGUGAAUCCGGAGACCCAAUCCAUGCUUUAUUAUUAGGGAGAGAUUACUAAAGAAAUCCGCCUUAAAAGGCGUUCCACUAAAAACGCAGUAGGAUCCUAUUUCAAGUUCCUUGCACUUAAACCGCAAAAGGGAAAGGCAAUUUUCCUAACUUUUCCCGUUAACGCAGAGCAGUCAGAUGAAUAACAGUAGGAUUGUUCAGUUUGUAUGCUCGUCCACUACUUCGGUUUAUUCAGGUUGCAUGAUACAGUAAUUUUGCAAAUGUGUCAGACUAUCUAUUUAGAUUAGCUAAUAGAAUUUAUUUCCACUAUGUGUUGUGCGGAGGAUAGAUCAGCAGGACUAAACAAUAUGUGUCUAACACCAUUUGCACAAUUCCCUUAAACUGCCCGCAGUAGCUGACCAAGUACCACCAAUGUUGUCAUCAGUCUUGAAGGGGAUUCAAAACCCGGUAGGAUCGCACACCGUAUGGCUUGGACAUCGGAAGAAGAUGCAAGAUUGGUAAUGAGAUUACUUGCCUCAGUGCUCAAUUUAUGAUCCUAUUCAUUUGAACUGAUUUACUUGUUUGUCUCAGCUAAUCUAUCCUCAAACGCAGACAACCAUUUGGUCGAAAACCUCAAAUGUUUCCAUCGAGAUAAUAACAAGAAGAACAUCAAGUACUGGGAUGACAUUGUUGUUACAACAAUAGUAAUAGGCCAAGUCACCGGAAGGGAGAUGCUCGUCGUGUAUGAUGGACAUGGUGGCUCGGAGGUGAGGUUAUCUUCUCUUGAAAAUCUUGACCUAGACAAAAGAAAUUAACCUUGAGGCCAUGGGAAGCAGGAAAGCGAAGGUCACGAAUGGCCGCACAAUUUGGUGGUGUUUGUGUGUUGUGCGGUCAAGCCUUUCUACGGGCUCCAUGGUGAUGCAGCAGCAUCACCUUCUUACGGAGAUGAGAUGAUGGGAUGAGGCCGCAUGGUGUUACCUAUUGUUGUUGUGUUAGCUUUGCUGUGUAUGUGUGCGUGUGAGAGAGAUCAGCGGCUGAUUGGGGAUGGUUAUGUUGUUGCUAGAUUAUAAAACAUGUCGUUUAAGUGAAUAUCAACUGUCGGAAAGAAAGCAAUGGUACUGUGAUUCUACUGUUUUAUGCUAGACGUUAAAGAAUACUACUUGCAAGCAGUUAGCGACGAACUGAGGGUUUGCAAGUAGUACUUUUUCCCAGUUGUGCUUCUACUUGCCUGAAUUUAAGUAGGAGAAAUUACCAGUUGUGUUUUUUUGAAAUAAUCUUGAUUUAACUAUGAUUUUCAGAAACUGGUACAGCUUUAACACGGUUCCUUGCUCACUGUGGUACAUUAAAACAAUAAAUUGAGGAGUUUAGAGCCUGCCUAGAGACCUCACAUAGCACCGCCUCAUUUGGCAGCGACAUCAUGAUGAUCUUGUCUGGUCUACUCCAAGUCUCCGCUUGUGGUUUGUGUUGGAAAUAUGAGCAAUUUACCGAAUGAUUUUAUUAACAAAAAUACUAGAUAAAGCAUGACUAAAAUAGGAAAUAUAAAGAAAGUCAUGCAGUCUGACAGAGAGAAGGUAAACAUCGUCUGCAUAAAUGAACUUGAGCUAAACACAUCUAGAACAGACAAUAGAUGAAGUUGCUCAUACGAAACAGAACCUAACAUACGUAGGGCAGAAACUAGAGCCAAGAACUGUAGCAGGACUUCUAACAGAAAGGAGAAGAACACGUACGGCAUAGCAGCAGCAGAAGAGCUGGACUUGGGGUCAGUGUCCUCGCCUGCCAUGUCGUCGAGGAGGUCGUGGACGUCGGGGAAGAAGUCGUCGUCGGGGAAGUAGUCGUCGGCGACCGGAUCGUCUGUGAUGAAGCAGCCAGUAGUCGCGCUGAGCGCUUCCCAAAAACCUUAUCACCCUUCUCCCGUACAUGACUCAAAAGGUGCGGUCUCUGAGGCCUACUGUCCCAACAUGCGGUGCACGCCGCAAGUCGGGAUGAGGAAGACAGCAGCAGCUCAGAGAUGGAACCGAUGGCGAGGGAAGGAGCAGUUCUGGUGCGUAUCUCUGAAAGGAGCGACCUCCCUUUUAUAGGCGCAAGAGAAGGAGGCGAGAGGCUGCGCCGGGAGCUGAAGGGAAUGUGGGAGACGAAACGAACAAGCAGCAGCUGAAGGGGCGCGCCGUUCGGAUUCAGUGUCCAGGCACAGAAAAAAACUGUUUCAGCUUCCGAGUGACCUUUCGUAUACACGUAGUGCGUGGCAAAACUUUAGACAUCGGCUCAUUCCCGCAACCCGCGGCGUGACGAGGCGGGCGGCGGAGGAGGAGCGCGCGUGGAUGUCCCUCUUGUUCUCAUGCUCAUACAAGUGGGGAAGGAGUCUCCCUUAUAAAGAGGUCCAACUCCCUCUAAACUAGCAAGGUGGGACUAAACUUUAGUUCCACCUCUUACCUUGCAUGAAUGGGCUGCGUGGGCCUCUAGGAUUUAUUAGGAAUUUCUGAAACUGCUAUUGGGCUAGGCCCAAAUAGACAAAAAUUCCAGCAGUUUGUGUUCUUUAGGUCUAUGGAAAACACCACGGUGCAUGCCAUUGUCCGUCAUUUCGGGAAAAAUGACCUAGAACAUGCAGAUAACUAAAUUUGGUGAAAGAACUGAAGAAAUCUACUACAUCACAAUAUGAAUUAAAAACAAACAAAAAAUUGGGCAGGACCUCUACAUAAAAAUGGACAGUUAUAGAAAUUUAGCGAAACGGAAAUAAAUCAACGGUUUGCCAAAAAUUUAACGCUUAUAGUAUGAAUCCCAAUAAGGAAAUGAAGACAUCUACUACAUCACAAUAUGAAUAAAACAUAAACAAAGAAAUUUGGCAUGACCUCUGCAUAAAAAUGGACAUAUUAAGUGAUUGAGAUCUGGCGAAACAGAAAUAAAUCAACGUAUCGCCAAAACUUUAGCACUUAUAGUAAGUAUACCUAUAAUGAAUUGAAGACAUCUACUACAACAUAUUAUUUAACUCAGUAUGAACAGAAAUAAUGUACGGAAUAAUACAAUAUAUAUGUGAGACUAUAUAAUUACCUCUAAUAUGAACAAAUUGGUAUUCCUUGUUCAUGGUUACGUAUGUGGCUGCUGCAACUAUAAUUGUUUUGAUGUGUGUGCCUUAAAAACUAUAGAACAAGAAACUACAACUAUAAAUGAACUCUAGUAUGAACAAAUCGAACUCAUUAACGAAUAUGAACACAUUAAUAGCAAUAACCCUAACCCUAGUCGAACGUACGUGUGCGUGUGCGUGGCGGCCGUGGCCGUGGGUGACAAGGAGGAAAGCCGGAGAGGGAGGCGCGGACGACAAUGUAUUACUGGAUGGAGCGGAGGGUGACGGGGCGGAUCGUCGGUGAGGGCGACGGGGCGGCGAAUCGAGGGCGAGGGAGACGCGCGGUGAACGGCUAGGGCGGCGACGAGUAAGCGGUGCUGAUGGCGGCAGCGGACAGGGACGACGACUUGGGUAGCAUGGAUGAGCCAACGGCGUCCGCGACGAGAUGGGGAAGAGUGGGAGUGAGAGAGUAAAUUGGGGUAGGAGGAGAGGGGGCACGUGCGUGUACGUAGGUCGAUUGAGUUUGUCGUAUGCGACCGGUGUGCCAAGCCUCCCAACACGGCUUCUUUGGGGUGGUGGGCGGAAAACCGAUUCGAUUUGGGGCAGAAUAGACAGCUAACUUAGUUGUGGCGGGUAGGGGCCCAUACCCGCCAGAGCUAAUAUCUGUAUAAAAUUUAUUUUUCUGGCGUGCAUUGCUGGCACUAAACUGUGGCCGGCCCAAUCGAGCGUCCGCCACUUUUGCAUUCAAGAACAAUGGCGGCCGAGGCUAACACCCGCCACUGAUCGCAUUCAUCAGGUGGCCAUACUCAGUGGUGCUUACUUGUGGCGGGUGGUGUUCUCCACCCGCCACUGCUACGCAUGUAACUCUGGAGGUCAUGUUGUGGCACCUGCCACUGGUACUUUUGCUAACUAGCAGUGGCAGGUGCUAUGUCCCGCCCGCCAAUCUUUCGAAUUCACCUAUAAGCCCUUUCCCAGUAGAGUAAUAAAGGACUUCUUGACAAGUCCGUGUAGAUUAAAGGUAUGUUAGUAGAUGGUGUAAUAAAUACAUGCUUUAGUGAUCUAAGGAUACAAAUAUGCCACUAUUUAUUUUGUAAAAGGUCGAAAUCAUUCUUAGAAAUCUUAGUAACAACAGUUCUCAUGAACAACUUUGACAAAAUGCAUCAAAUGUUACAAAUAAUACAUACAAACUUAGUUCAAUAAAUUAAUCAAUUGAAGUGAGAACAAACCUAAAUGUACUUAGAGUAAAUCAAUUAAUACGUGUAAAGCCAAUACUAAUCCAAUAUUUAUUAAUAAAUUUGCAUAGAAUUACAACCCUUUGACAUAGAAAGGGAAUAUGAUGAGUCAUGUAUAGAUAACUUGCACAACAUUCCUACCCUUGGCAUAAAAGGAGAAAUUGAUGAGUCAUGUAUUGAUAAUGUGCACAACAUCACUACCCUUGACAUAAAAGGAGAAUUUGAUGAGUCAUGUGUUGAUAACGUGUACAACAUUACUAUCAGUAUGUUCAACUUACCAUCAUAUUAUACAACACUACAAGUUAGUUUUAAAAAGAACAAGAGUCCAGAACGAAGAUCAGAAUACUUGCUUGAUCUAUCUUAACAACAUGCACUAGGACAAAAAUUUAGUCCCACGCAAGCUAUGAAGAUUUGUUUUAUGUAUAACUAUUUGUACAACAUGACAAACUUAGAUCCAAAAGGAAUGCAAUCCAGAUAAUUGUUUGACAUGUAAAGUGAAUAAGAUGAGUCAAUGCCAAUUAUCAAGUUUUCCUCACUCUUAGAUGAUAUGUACAAUAAAAAGACAACUUUGAUGAUCACUCUGAAAUUACGUUUGUAUGUAGUGCCACCAAACACAACAUCCCAAAUAUUAGUUUGAUAAGCAUCAAAUCACUUUUGAAAAAAGAAAGCAAUAAUGAAAAGAAACCUAACCAAGAUAGCUAUAAAAAGGCCUGCAAUAUGUAGACUCCAUACCAUCAUCCAUCCUUCACACACCUAGAGCACAAAUCAGCAAAUCCAAGUACGUAGUAGUUAACGCAAAUCGACCAUGAAGACCUUACUCAUCCUGACGAUCCUUGCGAUGGCAAUAACCAUCAGCACCGCCAAUAUGCAGGUCGACCCUAGUGGCCAAGUACAAUGGCCACAACAACAACUAGUCCCCCAACCCCAACAGCCAUUAUCCCAGCAACCGCAACAAGCAUUUCCCCAACCCCAACAAACAUUUCCCCAUCAACCACAACAACAAGUUCCCCAGCCUCAGCAACCACAACAACCAUUUCUCCAGCCCCAACAAGCAUUCCCCCAACAACCACAACAACCAUUCCCUCAGACUCAACAACCACAACAACCAUUUCCCCAGCAACCACAACAACCAUUUCCCCAGCAAUCACAACAACCAUUCCCCCAGACUCAACAACCACAACAACCAUUUCCCCAGCAACCACAACAACCAUUCCCCCAGACUCAACAACCACAACAACCAUUUCCCCAGUUCCAGCAACCACACCAACCUUUUCCCCAGCCCCAACAACAAUUCCCGCAGCCCCAACAACCGCAACAAUCAUUCCCCCAGCAACAACGACCGUUCAUUCAGCCAUCUCUACAACAACGUUUGAACCCAUGCAAGAAUAUCCUCUUGCAACAAUGCAAACCUGCGUCAUUGGUGUCAUCCCUCUGGUCGAUAAUCUGGCCACAAAGCGAUUGCCAAGUGAUGCAGCAACAAUGCUGCCAAGAACUAGCACAGAUUCCUCAGCAGCUCCAGUGCGCAGCCAUCCAUAGCGUCGUGCAUUCCAUCAUCGUGCAGCAGCAGCAACAACAACAACAACAACAACAACAACAACAAGGCAUGCAUAUCCUGCUGCCACUAUCUCAACAACAACAGUUGGGUCAAGGUACUCUCGUCCAAGGCCAGGGCAUCAUCCAACCUCAGCAACUAGCUCAAUUGGAGGCGAUCAGGUCAUUGGUGUUGCAAACUCUUCCAACCAUGUGCAACGUGUAUGUCCCACCUGAGUGCUCCAUCAUCAGGGCACCAUUUGCCAGCAUCAGGGCAUCAUCAGGGCACCAUUUGCCAGCAUAGUCGCGGGGAUUGGUGGCCAAUGAAAAAAGCAAGAUCUAUACUAAUAGAUAGAUGGAUCAUCGUUACUUAGCAGAUGCACCAAUCGAUGUAACGAUGACAAAUAAAGUGGCGUGCACCAUCAUGUGUGACCCCGACCAGUGCUAGUUCAAGCUUGGGAAUAAAAGACAAACAGAGUUCUUGUUUGCCAGCAUUGCUUGUCAUUGUUCCAUUCACCAUGUAUUUAGAUGUUCAUCCCUAACCGCAGUUCUAGGCUUACACAUCAACAGCUAGUUGCUUGUGCCGGCAGGUUCCUAUGUAAUCUACCGAUUAAUGGUUGACCUAUUAAUCCAGUUUAUAGGCCGAUUGAUCUAUUAAUUGCUGCUCCCAAACUGACCGACCAGCUAUCAGUUACCAUUUUGCUGAACAUUGCACACAGUAAUAACUCAACGUAUUUUAAUGUCUAGAAGUAAAAGGGCCAUUUUAGCAGCAAAACAAGCGCCUGAUUAGGAACCAUCCAUCACUUUAAAUGUUCACCAAGAUAUUUUUGCGUUGGUGCAAUUUUGAGAUUGGUGGCACCGAAACAUUCCUCAAAGCAAUUCUUUAUGGGACUCCAAAGAGGUGAAAAUAAAGUAAAGUUGCCACAUGGUAAAAUAUAAAUCAUGCGGCGAGCAAGAGAAAAUAUUGAGUUACGAUAGCAAGCGCCAAACAUGCCAUUAAACUCUUCAUAUGGUUUCGUGCAGAGAGGGGGGAUUUAGAGAUGACAAACAAAGCUUAAGUAGCAUCGGUUCUGAUUGUAGAAAUUUCUUUUACCUAUAGAAUAACUCGGUUGUUAUUUCUUUAACAAUGUAGUGUGAUAUUAACUUAUCUCAAUCUAGGAACACAAAGCAAAUAUUACAUGUGCUUCUAUGGAUUCCAAGCAGAUGAGAAAUCAUAUUGUGUAGAAGUUCAUUAGAAGGAUAUAAUAGUUUUGACCUAAACAAAUUUACUAUUGUACUCGUGUCUUAGAAAAUUAAAGCUGAAAAUCAACAUAACCAUUGGACACUUCGAAAGACAAGUGUGGGAAAUAAAUAGUAGGAUGUAAAUUUGAGUAGAGUGUUUGAUCAAAUAUUGAACAAAUAACCCACAAACUACUAAAACUCAUCUAUUAAUUCUACCAUAUAUGAACUGUCACAAUGAUAAAGCUAUGAUUUUUUUGACAAAUAUGUAUCCUAGAACUAAUACAAGUUCAAACAAAUCAGCCACAGAUCCCCGAGCCCAUCCAACCAGAUAGCUGAAACUGAAAGAAGCAUUAGCUUGAUUAGAGCACCUACAGCCUAACUUGACAAAUUUGACCCCAGAAACGCUCGCGGACGCGCCCGGUAGUAACCGGUCACGCCUAAAAUAUUUCAUUCUACAACCAGAUACCUCAAAUUAGAAACCUCAAAUCCAUAUUAUUACAUGCAACAUAAAUCGAUCUUUAAGCAGAGCACGUCCGGUGAUCGAAUGCUCUCCGGAGUGUUGGUCCAGUCACCGGCAAGUUAGAGUAGGGCAUGGGAUACGAGGCGGGUCACGGGACUCGAGGCGCCACCGUCCCCCAUUCCCAACUCUUCUCCAUCGGAACCAGGACGGUGCCGGUGGACGUCAGAUCGAUGAUGGAUCCUUCCUGGGAUGAGCCAUCAACAUCGACCACCACGUGGUUGCGGUGCCCGGACUAGUGCACAAUAUGGGGAGCCGAAAAAUACGACUUUGCCUUCGCAACGACCACCACCGCGAGGGCUGUCGCCGCCUCCCGCACCCGCUGCCUUGCAUGGCAGGAGCGCCGAACUAUGUUUUGCGUCGGGCGGUGCCCAUGGUGUGUCCAUGGCCUCAGCACGCCAAUGGAGGGGCUGUGCGUCUGCCACCCAUUUGAACGCUAGAUGGACCGCACCACCUCUGGUGAGGCAGUGAUGGUACACCUAGCGCCGGAUCCAUGCAUCAUUUGGGCGGACGCAUUGGAUUCCCCGCGGAAGGAGUUCGAGCAUUGCCGUUGCCAUCGGGCAGCCUCCUCCUGAGACCGGCGGAGCGCAAGCUCGAUUGCCAUCUCCUCCUAGGAGCCGCGUGGGAUGAGUUCGGGGUCGACGGAUCUGGAGGUAUAACACUGGGAUCCGCCGCCUGCCAUGCCGAAGAAGGCCAUAAGAUCGUCGGACGGGGGCGGCAGGGAGUGAAGUGAAGUGGCUAGGGUUUGGUCCGGCAAGCGGAUGGGGAGGAAUAUAUGUGGGGUCGGGUGGGCCAGCGUGGAUCGGGACCGACAUGGCGGACGCGCGUGGGCGCCCCAUAUUCUUCCCAGAUUUCGGCUGGAUAUGAGGGGUGUUGGUCAGCUUGGGCGUUGAGGCCCGUCUAGGUCAUUUUUCUGUGACCUGGCCGUCCGCCGGGGUGUUUGAAGUGGGUUUGGGACACCCGGGUGUAAAUGCUCUUAGACCAUGUAGUACCUUGAGGAGGAUGGUGUGGGUCCAUGAAAGAACUACAGCCUUUCCAUUAUGUUCGGGCGCAGGGCGAUAACGAAGUUAUCUUUACUCCUACAAGGGGAGUUGUUAGUCUCCGUUCCAUGGGUUUUUUUGUCUCACCUCCCAUCUUCGUUUCAUUUUUUCCGUCUCUCUUUCACACCGUCGGGUGGAGCUUAUGUGUCAUACUCCGUGACCUUUCAUUAGUUUUCUAGAGAGAAUCCUACUCUCAUAGAUUGCGACGUUUAACAAUCAGACUCAUAUAGGUGUGUUCUUCAAAAGAUGUUCUGCAGGACAACAUCUCUCCUUCAAAAAGCCACUUAGAACACAUUAAGAUAUACAUCAACCUACCAUGCAGAUUAGGAGAGUAUUGCAUCUUCAUGGAGUGGUAUUUUAACAAUAAGGAUACACUACUAGGGAAAAGGCUAGCAGCAGCGCGGGUUUUUGGUGUAUCAGUAGCGCGGGGUGGGGCGCUACUAAUAAGGCGCUACAGCUAACAUAUAGCAGUAGCGCGUGGUCACCGGCGCUACUGCUACACAAGUGUAGCAGCAGCGCGGUUACUGGGAGCACGCUACUGCUAGUAGCUCUAGCGCCCUUUGCAGCAACGCGCUACUGCUAUAGAGGCGCUGCUGCUAACUUCUAUACACUCGCUACUGCUAAUUUAACAGGUUUUUUGUUUUUUUGGGCAUAUUUGUUUUGUAUUUGAACAGGCUUUAUAGAAGAAUCUUUAGCACAUAGAAAUGUCAUCAUGAUACACAUACAAAUGCCUGCGAGACCACGAAUAUAAUCAUAGCAUAUACAUACAAAUAGUCUCAUCAUAAUCAUCAUCCAACACAAAGUGGUCUCUCGUCAUCAUCUCGAAAAUAGCGAUACAAGUCCUUGAUUACUUGCAAAUACAUUGUCAUCCAUCUAAACAAUGGUAUACGCGAGAAGAGCUAUCACUUUGAGAACAUGAGUUCGUAUCCCUCUCUCGCAUUAGCGUGAACCUAAACUAACUACUGCCUGUCGCUCGGAAACCGGAAACCGGCAACACCUGGGUCUGACACUCCGGUCACUCAUCGUAUAUAUACUCCUGGCGUAGCACUUCUUCGCCAUCGAUGAUCUAUGCACCUGCAUCAUCACAUGAGUAGAUGAUAUGCAACAUAUAUAGUUGAGCAACAGAAAGAGACAGACUUGACAAAAAUAGAAACAACGUAUCAUAAGCAUAAAUAACAAAGUUCAUCAUAACCAAAAUGCCCUAACUAGAGUGAUCUUCGCUAGUCGAGGAGGAGGACGGUUUAAUUACAUCACAAAUAAAGUUUUACUGCGCAUAACUCAAAGUUUUGUCAUACAGAAAGUAUGGAGUAAACAGACACAUUGUCAUAUAUUGACAAUCACUCCAACAUGCCGUGCCAUCCAUCGAGGUCAGGGAGAUAGUCCCCGAGCUUAGUGAAAGGCUUCAUGUCGAGACGCUGAGAGGCUAUCCAUGUUCGGACGUCUUCCCACAACAUUUUUCCUCCGUAGAACAUCCCUGUUUUUCCGACGACCUCUUUCAUGAUGAUUUGGGCAAGUUCGCGUUGGAUGUUAUAGAACUCAGCUCGAAGUCGAUGAUCCUCGAUAUCUCCUAUGUCCUUUGCCCAUUGCAGAAUAUGGGCAUCGCCAGAUCUAGGUGACAUGUGAAGGUUCUGGUGAUCCCGUUUGUACUCCCGCAUGUGGUGUAGGACAUAGAAUCCACCAUUAAGAGAAUCGUUCGGUUGUUGGAUGCAGCAGAAGUCGGUCUUAUGGCUGAAGGCGGCCCUGCCGCCCCUUCUCUUCUUGUCCCUAACCUCUCCACCCCUUGCUUGGUAGUAAAACAUAGCACUGUCGAGAACAUCUUUGAUGUGGGUGUAAUCCUUUUUGUGAAUGUUAUUCGAUGAGUCCAAGUAAAGAGCAUGGGAGAAUCGGGGGUAGAGGAUGAUGAGGACGGCGCGCCCGCCGCUGCGCAAAAUAAGUACACCUCAAAUUAAUUAGCCUUCACCGUGCAAAUGAAUUAUUGAAAUCGAAGGAAGGAUAGCAGCGCGGAUGACUUACACGGGAUGAUAAGGCACGAGAAUCGCCUCCUUGUCCUUAUUGGCGAGCAUGAAACUAACGAUGUAAUUCCUCGCGUAUUCACGCUGCUCUGCACAGACUCCCAAGAAGCUCUCGUGCAUGUAGUACGGGUCAGUGACACAGAUAUGACGUAUCUGCUCAACCCCAAUGAUGUAGUUCAUGUGCAAGGCAUAAAGGCGGACAAAUGUAAAAUCCAGCUUCUUCACGUGAAACAUGUCGAAUAUGUAAUCGAAUCGGAGGAAGAACUUAUCCGCAGCGAAGCUGUCGACGUAUGACAUUUUCCGCGGAACGUUAUCCACGUAGAGUGGGUAUCCUGGAUCUUUCGAGGCAAUGAGGCAUUUCUCUACCCGUAGCACAUCAUCAUGAAGUCUCCUUAGAUCGCCGAAUCUGGCCCGUAGCGCUGUUGCAGGUAGGAUUGGUUGACCGGGGAUAUGCCAUUUAUCCGCAUCGGGGAUAUCUAGACGGUCCUGAAGCUGAGGCUGCUGAGGCGGCUGGAUCAUAGAAUCAACUUUUUUUCCUUUCCUCGCUCUCUUCCUAGACUUCUUUACUACCGGAAAGUCGUCAAUAACACAUUGAGACGGUAAUUCAGGCACCGACUCAUGAUGCUCAAACCCUGAGGAGGCGCCAGUAUAGACAUACUGUUCAGCGCCAUCGUCAUCCUCAUCCUCAUCCAUGGCGACGUCAUCAGCGACUAAUGGAGCCUCCUCCUUACCCCGUCCGCUAUCACCCAACCCGACACCCAACGCUAAUUGGGUAGGUGGGGUGUUGAUGUUCAUACCUUGCUGAGACUGCGUGCUCGUGGGUGUGCUCCCGGCCGCCUCCAGACGAAGCAGACUCUUUGGCCACAACAGGACCUACCCAUUGCAACAAUCACCAAGCCGCUGCGGUGUCUCCUCGUCAUCCACCAAUAGUGUUGGAGGAGGCAAAUUCUCGUGGCCCGGUUCGACACUGGCCAUGGAAACCUUGAAGACGUUUGGGGGAAUCGGCCGGCUGUGGAACAAUGGUUCCUUCGGCUUCAUUAUCGUCGCCUUCCCCAUGGCCACCUUCUGGUCCCCGAUGGUGUACAAUAUGGUGCGCGGGGUUUCGUCGGCCUGCAAAGAGAAGUCUGCGACGUGAGACAUUCGAAAGGCAACGAAAACGGGAGAUUAUACAUUUAUAUUGAAGGGGGCCGGUGUGACAGAUACCGUGAGGGCGUCGAGCUCAGCCAAAGACAAAGCACCGCCGAGCACGUCCGGUGCGGGAGCCGGUGCGGGAGCAGGUGCUCCCAAGAAGUCAGCAAGGGGAAAGUCCUCUGCAUUUUUUUCUGGAUUUUUCCUUGUCCAAGUGAUAACGCCCGUCACCAAGGAAGUAGACAAAUCUGCAACCGCCUGUUUUGCGGCAGCUACCGCUGUUGCGACUGUCUGAGAUGAUUUCUUCUCAACCGCAAUCUCAACCUUCUUGUCGAUGUUUUUUUCAGUUAACCUCCGUCUUUCCUUUCUCUCCUCUGUGGUCUCCCGGUAGUACUUCUUCCACGUGGCGCCGUCUCCGACACCGUGCACGCGUCCAUACGAUGGUCGAGUAUCCAUCGGUUGUCGUUUCAAUAUGUUCAACGUCCGGUUGAAUGGAGUGUCCCACUUGGGCCUCGCCAAUGCCUCAGACGGCGAGUCGUUUUCGACCGCAAUCCGGUGCUGCUCUCUCUGCAAAAGGCACAAGGAUCGUUUACAAAUAUGACUAACGUGUGCAGUCGAAUUGAUCAGAAACUAAAAUUACCAGCAGUCUCAUGAACUCCGUAAUGACCGGUGUUGUCUCAUAAACCUUCUUCACUGGGUCCCAACGGUGCCGAGCCCUCAGGACGUCACGCUCCUGCGGGACAGUGAAAUCCGCCAAGGGGUCUGGGAUGCCCAGACUCGCGGCUUCCGCGUCCUCCUUGGCCCAUUUGGACCUCUUUCCGCCGUAACCACGCUUCCGAGGUGGUGGCUCCCAAUGUUCCUCUUUUGAAGCCCCUUCAUGUACUUAGACUUUUUUUGGCAGCUUCGGCCUCGCAAGCCUCCUUGAAUAUUUGAAACUGCUCUUCCGUGAUUGUCAGAUUAUCCUUUACAAUCUCGGAGUAGGGUUCCCCGUCGUUGAUCUUUGCUUUCACUCAAUUUUUCCAGGCGGCCAACGCGUCGCUAAACUUGGUCAUGGCGUGUUUGUUUAUCUUCUUCAUUGCGGGGUCCUCGUCUGGAUCUUCAUAAUCCUUCUCAUUCCGGCCCGGGAACAAGAAUAUCUGGUGAAACUUCUUUAGAAGGGAGCUCCUCAUAUUUUCUAUCUUCUAUAGUUUCUCAUCAUUGAUGGUGGCGGUUGUCCGUAUGAUGCAGCCUAUUUGAUUGCCGUAGCACGCGCGCGCUUCCUCGGGCGCCUUUGGCUCAAAAUUGCCGUCGUCCACCUCUGUGACCACCAGUCUAGUAGUCCUGAGUUUGUUAGGAACCCGUUGCUUCUUUGCGUUCGGUUCUACACCAGCUCCGCUCCCCGAGACAGCACCGGUCUCAGCGCCGCUCUCGAUGCCGGUCUGAAUCUCAGCGCCGGUCUCAGUCUCAGCACCGGUCUGCGUGUCGGUCUCAGUCCCCGAUGCCACUGGUGGGCCCAGCAACAACAUCGGUUGAUCGUCGGUAAGGCUAAAAUAUUCAUCUGCCACCAGGUAGACGUCGUCGCAAUCACCAGAACCCUGUCCUUCAUCGUUGCUAGCCAUGUUUCCUAUCAUUAAAUCUAGUCAAUUAAUUCUAGACCUAAUAAAAUGAAUAAUGACAUAAAAAAGGACUAUUGUUUUGCAGGAAUGUUGACUCCUUCCUGGUGCGGAAAAUCCCGGCACUCGAUAUGUCCUAGUUUGUAGCACAAGUCAUGCCGAAAUUCACGGAAAAUUUUGGCAUGGCCUUUGCUAAAAAGUGGACAAAUCGAGAACCUGAAAUUUGUCGGAACAGAAAUGAAUCAACAUUCCGGCAAAACAUAGGCCACUCAGCAUCAUUCCCUGGAAACAACAAAGCCACUUGGGCACAAUCGAACAACUUCAAUGAAAAGAUAUAACAUGAGCAAACACUAUUGAGGAAUUUGCAUAUAACAUGGCCACUUCAAUGAAAAGAUAUAAUCAACAAUAACGGAAUAUGCAAAUGAACAUCAAUGACAUAUAGCUACUGUUCUGUUUGACCAAGUUUUUGAAAAGAAAAACAAUUCUGUUUUUUGUUUAUAGCUAAAUGCCAUAGCUACUAUUUUUUAUUUAUAGCUAAAUACUUUUGUUUUUUGUCUAAAGCUAAAAGUCUAGGAACUACAUUUUCUCUAACCCUUUUGACCUCACCAGAAUUUUCACAGCAAGACCUUAGUACCUACACCCAAUUUCUUCAAAAAUAUUCAGGUCCAUAGUCCAAAUAAUUCAAAUUUCAUUUGAAUGAAAUUUGGAACAAAUUCAGGUCCGUAGUCAAAAUAUUUUUUUAUAGCUAAGUGUUUUUUGUUUAUACCCUCUGUUAAUUUAAAUCUAAAUGCUACUAUUAUUUAUAUACCCUCUAUUAGUUUAAAGCUAAAUGGAAUUACUGUUUAGGAAUUUUCAUAAAAAUUGCCCUAGCUAAUUUCCUAAAAAAAUUGCAAAUCAUUUUUCCUAAAUGCUAUAAAAUGCCUACUGCCCUAAAAAAAUCUAGGGUUCAUAUGAACACCUAGGGUUCAUAUGAACAUCAACACAGUAUCAACAUAUAUAUAUAUAAUUGCCCUAGCAGAGAGAAAUAGGAGGGUAGGGACAGGAGAGGCAUAGCCUUACGGUCGGCGUUGAGGGCAGGCUCUGGCUCGGGCAGCGGCGGUGAGGUCAAGGGCGGCGGCGGCGAGCUCGAGGGAGGCGACAGUGAGGUCGACGGUGACAGCCUCGGGUGGCGGCUGUGAGGUCGAGGGGGCGGCCUCGGGCGGCGGCCUCGGGCGGCGGCAGUGUGGUCAAAGGCGGCGGGCGGCGGCGGUGUGGUCGAAGGCGGCCUCCGGCGGUGGCGGUGUGGUCGAAGGCGCGCGGCAGGGCAACGGCGGCGAUGAAGCAGUUGGGGGACAGGGGGGAGUAGAGAGGGGGGAAAGGACUUAGCAAAAUUUUGAGCCAGGGCCGCCGGGAUUUGAGUCAAACUAGCAGCAGCGCGUUUUGACGAAACGCGCUAUAGCUAAGAUAGCUAUAGCGUGUUCCAGAGAAAUGCGCUACAGCUAACCCUUUCUGUUUUCUUUCUCUUUUUAUUUUGUUUUCUUUACAUUUUCUUUUUUUCAUUUCUCCUUUUUCUAUUUCUUUCAUUUUCAUUUACUUUUCUACUUAAUUUUCUAUUUAUUUUCCUUUACAUAGCAGUAGCGCUGUAAAGAAGAAACGCGCUGCUACAAUGUUUUUAACAGUAGCGUGCUUCUGGGAGAAGCGCUGCUACUAUUCCUAGCCUACCGGCACCAGUGAGAGAAUUUUAGUAGUAGCGCUUUUUUGUGGAGAAGCGCUACUACUAAAAUAAUGAUUGUAGCGUGGUUUUGCAACAAGCGCUACUACUAAGUAGCGCUAGCGCCGAGUUUUGACCAACGCUACUGCUAUACCUCUGUGUAUAGCAUUUUCCCUAGUAGUGAUACUCUCCUCUCAGUUGACCAACAGCUUGUCUUCCACAUCUAAUUCACGGGAUCUCCGAUCACAAAGAAUGGGUUACCACUGUGGACACCUCAUAUUGUGGGUCUCAUUCCCAUCUCCAUCGAUGCAUUAUCUAUCACAUUACGUGAUAGACCCUUAGUAAAAGGAUCUGCCAGAUUUUUAGACGUUUGGAUAUAAUCCAAUGCAAUAACUCUCGAGUUUUUCAUUUUUCUGACAGACUUUAACCUUCUCUGAACGUGUCUUGAUGACUUCAUGUUAUCCUUUGAGCUGCUCACUUUAGUGAUCACAGUUUGAUUGUCACAGUUCAUCCGGAUACCCGGUACAGGUUUCUCAACUACCGGUAAGUCAUUCAAGAGCCGACGAAGCCAAUCUGCUUCGACCGUAGUUGUAUCUAGUGCUGUGAGUUCUGCUUCCAUUGUUGACCUCGUUAAAAUGGUCUGCUUGCAAGACUUCCAAGAAACAGCGCCACCUCCAUGAGUGAAUACAUAACCGCUCGUGGCCUUUAUCUCAUCAACAUCUGAGAUCCAGUCUGAGUCAAUAUACCCUUCAAGCACCUUUGGAUGCCUAGUGUAGUGAAUUCCAUAAUUUGCAGUGCUUUCAAAUAACGCAAAACUCUCUCUAGAGCUUUCCAAUGCACAUCUCCUGGUUUUGAGACAAACCGGCUCAGUUAGCUAACAGCAAAAGAGAUGUCAGGUCUCGUAGCACUGGCUAAGUACAUAAGCGAGCCAAUAAUGUGUGAAUAUUCCAAUUGGUCUCUAGCAAUUCUUCGAUUCUUUCGAAGCAACACACUAGCAUCAUAUGGUCUUGGAGAGGGCUUGCAGUCACUGUAGCCAAAGCGACUCAAGAUCUUUUCCCCAUAGUGAGACGGAAGCAAUGUAAUCCCACCAUCAUCAUCUCUCAACAACUUGAUGUUCAGAAUGACGUCAGCCACUCCUAAAUCCUUCUUCUCAAAACAGCGAGAUAGGAAAUCCUUGACCUCCUUAAGAACAUUUAGAUUUGUUCCGAAAAUCAGUAUGUCAUCAACAUACAAGCAAAGCAUAACUCCCUCGCCCCCACCAUGGCGAUAGUACACACAUUUGUUAGCUUCGUUCACAACAAAGCCUGCAGCUGUUAAAGUUCUUUCGAACUUCUCAUGCCACUGUUUGGGUGCUUGCUUGAGUCCAUACAAAGACUUCAGCAACUUGCACACUUUCCCUUCCUAACCAUCUAUUACAAACCCAUCUGGUUGUUCCAUAUAAAUUUCCUCAUCCAACUCUCCAUUUAGGAAAGCAGUCUUAACAUCCAUUUGAUGAACGAGAAGACCAUGUGAGGCAGCUAGUGAAAGUUUAACUCGAAUAGUGGUCAGUCGAGCCACAGGUGAGUAAGUAUCAAAGAAGUCUUCACCUUCCUUUUAGGUAUAACCCUUUGCCACGAGCUGAGCCUUGUACUUUUCAAUAGUACCAUCAGGCCUAAGUUUCUUCUUGAAUACCCAUUUGCAUCCUAUAGGUUUGCACCAUAAGGACGAUCAGUUAUCUCCCAAGUUUCAUCCGCCAAGAUGGAAUCCAUCUCGCUACGAACCGCUUCCUUCCAGUAGUCAGCAUCUUCCGAUGCAUAGGCCUCCAAAAUAGAACUGGGAGUGUCAUCUAUGAGAUACACAAGAAAAUCAUCACCCAAGGACUUUGCUGUCCUCUGUCUCUUACUCCUAGUAGGAACUUCAUUGUUCUCCUCCACAGGCCUUUCAAAGUGUUCCAUCGAAAUGGCAGGUUCAGUAAUUGUAACUGGUUCCUGAUUCGAUGAACUAGGCAUCUCCUGAUUAGAUGAGGUAGCCAUAUCCUUCAUGGGAAAGAUAUCUUCAAAGAAAGUCGCAUCAUUCGACUCCAUGAUCGUACUGACAUGCAUGUCAGAUACCUCAGAUUUUACAACCAAGAAUAUAUAGCCAAUGCUAUGAAAAGCAUAUCCCAGGAAAACACAAUCCACAGUCUUUGGUCCAAGCUUCCGCUUCUUUGGAAUUGGAACAUUGACUUUCGCCAAGCAACCCCAUGUUCGCAGAUAAGAGAGUCUUAACCUUUUCUUCUCCCAUUCCUCGAAUGGAGUUAUCUCUUUGUUCUUUGUGGGAACUCGAUUUAGGACAUGACAUGCUGUCAAUAUCGUCUCCCCCCACCAUGCCUUGGAGAGACCCGAUGUGCAUAACAUGGCGUUAACGAAAUCAGUUAGAGUACGGUUCUUUCUUUCGGCCACCCCAUUUGACUGAGGUGAGUAGGGAGGCGUCCUCUCAUGGAUUAUACCAUGUUCCGCACAAAAAGCAUCAAAUUCAUUGGAAAAAUACUCUCCACCACGGUCAGACCUAAGCCUCUUGAUUUUUCGAUCAAGUUGGUUUUCCACUUCAGCUUUAUAGAUCUUGAAAAAGUUCAAAGCCUCAUCCUUAGAUUUCAGAAGAUACACAUGGCAGUAUCUAGUGGAGUCGUCAAUUAACGUCAUGAAAUAUUUCUUUCCACCUUUUGUCAAAACACCAUUCAUUUCACAUAGAUCUGAAUGUAUAAGUUCUAGUGGUGCAAGAUUUCUCGUCUCCGCAGUCACGUGAGACUUACGAGGUUGCUUAGCUUGCACACACACUUGACACUUAGAUCCUUGACAGUGGUGAAACUAGGGAUUAAGUUCAACUUCGCUAGUCGCGACAUGCAACCAAAGUUAACAUGACAAAGACGUGAAUGCCACACAUUUGAUUCACUAUUGUUGCAAAUAUGAUUAACAACUUUAUUGCAAAUGUCUGAUAAGGAUAAACGAAACAGGCCUCCUGACUCAUAGCCUUUACCAACAAAGGUCCCAUACUUGGAUAUUACAAAUUUAUUCGACUCAAAGACAAGCUUAUAGCCAUCUCUACACAGAAGAGAUCCGCUAACAAGAUUUUUAUUGACGGAGGGGACAUAAUGCACGUUCUUCAGCCGCACGAUCUUCCCUGAAGUAAACUUCAGAUCAACCAUGCCAACACCACGAACAGAAGCACUUGAACUGUUGCCCAUCAGCACGGUUGAAGUCCCUGCGGUCUGAUAAGAUGAAAACAUGGAAAUAUCACCGUAUACAUGCACAUUAGCACCCAUGUCAAUCAACCAACCAGGAGAAUGACAUACUGAAAGAAUAGUGGGAAAUAUACCAUACCCAACAUCUUUCAUGUCAAUGUCUCCGAUGACAACAUUAGCGGUCUUGCCGCCUUUCCCAGGAUGACGCUUGUCAUAGCGAUUAGGACAACUAGGAGCCCAAUGAUCAGGAUCUCCAAACACAUGACAAGCACCUUUCUUAUUGUCAUUCUUCUUCUUGAAGUUCAUGUGCUGCACAGCCUUGUUCUUCCCAUCGAACUUUGCUUUACCAUCAAACUUGCCCUUGUUCUUGAACUUGUGGGACUGGAAGUUCUUCUUCUGUACCAGAUUGGCACUAGAUCCUCCCUCAAUACCUCGAGCACAUGUGUCCUUUGCUCUCGCCUUUUCUUCCACAUAAGAGUACCAAUGAGAUCCGGGAUGGAAAACUCCUGUCUCUUAUGCUUCAGUGAGGUAGCAAAGUUCCUCCAUGAAGGAGGAAGCUUAGUGAUGAUACCCCCGGCAACAAACUUGUCCGGUAAGAUACAAUUGAAGUGCUCAAGUUCUCUAGCAAAAGACUGUAUCUCAUGAGCCUGCUCAACCACGGAGCGCUCUUCAGUCAUCCUGUAAUCAUAGAAUUAUUCCAUGAUGUACAGCUCAGUGCCGGCAUCCGAGACCCCAAACUUGGCCUCGAGUGUGUCCCACAUAUCUUUUCAUUGUCAAUUGACGCAUAAGCAUCAACUAUGUUCUCACCAAGAACACUCAAAAGAGCAGCCUUAAACAAGGUAUCCAUUUUCUGGAAAGCUUGUGCCUGUUGGGCAUCUUGCUCUCCUUCGGGUUUGCCAAGAGUGGCAUCAUAGAAACUCAUGGUUUGAAACCAUAAGACUGCUCUCACACGCCACUUCUUAUAGUGGAUACCCUCAAACAUAGGAGGUCUCAUGGAAGCAGCAAAAUCACUCGGGGUAAAUUGCCUAUAAUAAGGUUUUUGGAUUGUUGGAAAUAUGAGCAAUUUACCGAAUGAUUUUAUUAACAAAAAUACUAGAUAAAGCAUGACUAAAAUAGCAAAUAUAAAGCAAGUCAUGCAGUCUGACAGAGAGAAGGUAAACAUCGUCUGCAUAUAUGAACUUGAGCUAAACACAGCUAGAACAGACACUAGAUGAAGUUGCUUAUACGAAACAGAACCUAACAUACGUAGGGCAGAAACUAGAGCCAAGAACUAUAGCAGGACUUCUAACAGAAAGGAGAAGAACACGUACGGCACAGCAGCAGCAGAAGCGCUGGACUUGGGGUUGGUGUCCUUGCCUGCCAUGUCAUCGAGGAGGUCAUGGACGUCAGGGAAGAAGUCGUCGUCGGGGAAGUAGUCGUUGGCGACCGGAUCGUCUGUGAUGAAGCAGCCAGUAGUCGCACUAAGUGCUCCCCAAAAACCUUAUCACCCUUCUCCCGUACAGGACUCAAAAGGUGCGGUCGCGAAAGCCUACUGUCCCGACGUGCGGUGCACGCCACAAGUCGGGAUGAGGAAGACAGCAGCAGCUCAGAGAUGGAACCGAUGGCGAGGGAAGGAGCAGUUCUGGUGCGUCUCUCUGAGAGGAGCGACCUCCCUUUUAUAGGCGCAAGAGAAGGAGGCGAGAGGCUGCGCCGGGAGCUGAAGGGAAUGCGGGAGACGAAACAAACAGGCAGCAGCCGAAGGGGCGCGCCGUUCGGAUUCAGUGUCCAGGCACAGAAAAAAAAUGUUUCAGCUUCCGAGUGACCUUUCGUAUACCCGUAGUGCGUGGCAAAAAUUUAGACAUCGGCUCGGCUCAUUCCCGCAACCCGCGGCGCGGCGCAUCGUGAUGAGGCGUGGUGAGGCGGGCGGCGGAGGAGGAGCACGCGUGGAUGUCCCUCUUGUUCUCAUGCUCAUACAAGUGGGGAAGGAGCCUCCCUUAUAAAGAGGUCCAACUCCCUCUAAACUAGCAAGGUGGGACUAAACUUUAGUUCCACCUCUUGCCUUGCACGAAUGGGCUGCGUGGGCCUCUAGGAUUUAUUAGGAAUUUCUAAAAUUGCUAUUGGGCUAGGCCCAAAUAGACAAAAAUUCCAGCAAUCCCCCACCAGAUCCCAGAGGCACACAAAAUUUGCCUUUGGUUCCAAAACACUGUUUUAUAUACUGGUACAGCAGUGGAGACUGUUAAGUUGAACUUCCACCUAGAACCCUAUGCUACACUAGUAAGCAACUUGAACAGUGGACUGGGCCUUGAACUGCAAGUUUUCUGCAAAUCUAGCUUCACAUAAGGCCUUGACCGAUACGUGGCUACCGUGGGUCUUCCCCGUGGGUGGAGCUUAUGCGUCAUACUCCGUGACCUUUCAUUAGUUUACUAGAGAGAACCCUACUCUCAUAGAUUGCGACGUUUAACAAUCAGACUCAUAUAGGUGCGUUCUUCAAAAGAUGUUCUGCAGGACAACAUCUCUGCUUCAAAAAGCCACUUAGAACACAUUAAGAUAUAAAUCAACCUGCCAUGCAGAUUAGGAGAGUAUUGCAUCUUCAUGGAGUGGUAUUUUAACAGUAUGGAUACUCUCCUCUCAGUUGACCAACAACUUGUCUUCCACAUCUAAUUCACGGGAUCUCCGAUCAUAAAGAAUAGGUUACCACUAUGAACAACUCAUAUUGUGGGUCUCAUUCCCAUCUCCCUCGAUGCAUUAUCUAUCACAUUACGUGAUAGACCGUUAGUAAAAGGAUCUGCCAGAUUUUUAGACGUUUGGAUAGAAUCCAAUGCAAUAACUCUGGAGUUUUUCAUUUUUCUGACAGACUUUAACCUUCUCUGAACGUGUCUUGAUGACUUCAUGUUAUCCUUUGAGUUGCUCACUUUAGUGAUCACAGUUUGAUUGUCACAGUUCAUCCGGAUACCCGGUAUAGGUUUCUCAACUACCGGUAAGUCAUUCAAGAGCCGACGAAGCCAAUCUGCUUCGACCGUACCUGUAUCUAGUGUUGUGAGUUCUGCUUCCAUUGUUGACCUCGUUAAGAUGGUCUGCUUGCAAGACUUCCAAGAAACAGCGCCACCUCCAUGAGUGAAUACAUAACCGCUCGUGGCCUUUAUCUCAUCAGCAUCUGAGAUCCAGUUUGAGUCACUAUACCCUUCAAGCACCUUUGGAUGCCAAGUGUAGUGAAUUCCAUAAUUUGCAGUGCCUUUUAAAUAACGCAAAACUCUCUCUAGAGCUUUCCAAUGCACAUCUCCUGGUUUUGAGACAAACCGGCUUAGUUAGCUAACAGCAAAAGAGAUGUCAGGUCUCGUAGCACUGGCUAAGUACAUAAGCGAGCCAAUAAUCUGUGAAUAUUUCAAUUGGUCUCUAGUGAUUCUUCGAUUCUUUCGAAGCAACACACUAGCAUCAUAUGGUGUUGGAGAGGGCUUGCAGUCACUGUAGCCAAAGCGGCUCAAGAUCUUUUCCACAUAGUGAGAUUGAAGCAAUGUAAUCCCACAAUCAUCAUCUCUCAAAAACUUGAUGUUCAGAAUGACAUCAGCCACUCCUAAAUCCUUCAUCUCAAAACAGCAAGAUAGGAAAUCCUUGACCUCCUUAAGAACAUUCAGAUCUGUUCCGAAAAUCAGUAUGUCAUCAACAUACAAGCAAAGCAUAACUCCCUUGCCCCCACCAUGGCGAUAGUACACACAUUUGUCAGCUUCGUUCACAACAAAGCCUGCAGCUAUUAAAGUUCUUUCGAACUUCUCAUGCCACUGUUUGGGUGCUUGCUUGAGUCCAUACAAAGACUUCAGCAACUUGCACACUUUCCCUUCCUGGCCAUCUAUUACAAACCCCUCUGGUUGUUCCAUAUAAAUUUCCUCAUCCAAAUCUCCAUUUAGGAAAGCAGUCUUAACAUCCAUUUGAUGAACGAGAAGACCAUGUGAGGCAGCUAGUGAAAGUAGACCUCGAAUAGUGGUCAGUCGAGCCACAGGUGAGUAAGUAUCAAAGAAGUCUUCACCUUCCUUUUGGUUAUAACCCUUUGCCACGAGCCGAGCCUUGUACUUUUCAUUAGUACCAUCAGGCCUAAGUUUCUUCUUGAAUACCCAUUUGCAUCCUAUAGGUUUGCACCCAUAAGGACGAUCAGUUAUCUCCCAAGUUUCAUUCGCCAAGAUGGAAUCCAUCUCGCUACGAAUCGCUUCCUUCCAGUAGUCAGCAUCUUCCGAUGCAUAGGCAUCCGAAAUAGAACUGGGAGUGUCAUCUAUGAGAUACACAAGAAAAUCAUCACCAAAGGACUUUGCUGUCCUCUGUCUCUUGCUCCUAGUAGGAACUUCAUUGUUCUCCUCCGCAGGACUUUCAAAGUGUUCCAUCGAAAUGGCAGGUUCAGUAAUUGUAACUGGUUCCUGAUUCGAUGAACUAGGCAUCUCCUAAUUAGAUGAGGUAGCCAUAUCCUUCAUGGGAAUGAUAUCUUCAAAGAAAGUCGCAUCAUUCGACUCCAUGAUCGUACCGACAUGCAUGUCAGAUACCUCAGAUUUUACAACCAAGAAUCUAUAGCCAAUGCUGUGAAAAGCAUAUCCCAGGAAAACACAAUCCACAGUCUUUGGUCCAAGCUUCCGCUUCUUUGGAAUUGGAACAUUGACUUUCGCCAAGCAACCGCAUGUUCGCAGAUAAGAGAGUUUUAACCUUUUCUUCUCCCAUUCCUCGAAUGGAGUUAUCUCUUUGUUCUUUGUGGGGACUCGAUUUAGGACAUGACAUGCUGUCAAUAUCGCCUCCCCCCACCAUGCCUUGGAGAGACCCGAUGUGGCGUUAACCAAAUCAGUUAGAGUACGGUUCUUUCUUUCGGCCACCCCAUUUGACUGAGGUGAGUAGGGAGGCGUCCCCUCAUGGAUUAUACCAUGUUCUGCACAAAAAGCAUCAAAUUCAUUGGAAAAAUACUCUCCACCACGGUCAGACCUAAGCCUCUUGAUUUUUCGAUCAAGUUGGUUUUCCACUUCAGCUUUAUAGAUCUUGAAAAAGUUCAAAGCCUCAUCCUUACAUUUCAGAAGAUACACAUGGCAGUAUCUAGUGGAGUCAUUAAUUAACGUCAUGCAAUAUUUCUUUCCACCUUUUGUCAAAACACCAUUCAUUUCACAUAGAUCUGAAUGUAUAAGUUCUAGUGGUGCAAGAUUUCUCGUCUCCGUAGUCACGUGAGACUUACGAGGUUGCUUAGCUUGCACACACACUUGACACUUAGAUCCUUGACAGUGGUGAAACUAGGGAUUAAGUUCAACUUCGCUAGUCGCGACAUGCAACCAAAGUUAACAUGACAAAGACGUGAAUGCCACACAUUUGAUUCACUAUUGUUGCAAAUAUGAUUAACAACUUUAUUGCAAACGUCUGAUAAGGAUAAACGAAACAGGCCUCCUGACUCAUAGCCUUUACCAACAAAGGUCCCAUACUUGGAUAUUACAAAUUUAUUCGACUCAAAGACAAGCUUAUAGCCAUCUCUACACAGAAGAGAUCCGCUAACAAGAUUUUUAUUGACGGAGGGGACAUAAUGCACGUUCUUCAGCCGCACGAUCUUCCCUGAAGUAAACUUCAGAUCAACCAUGCCAACACCACGAACAGAAGCACUUGAACUGUUGCCCAUCAGCACGGUUGAAGUCCCUGCGGUCUGAUAAGAUGAAAACAUGGAAAUAUCACCGCAUACAUGCACAUUAGCACCCAUGUCAAUCAACCAACCAGGAGAAUGACAUACUGAAAGAAUAGUGGGAAAUAUACCAUACCCAGCAUCUUUCAUGUCAAUGUCUCCGAUGACAACAUUAGCGGUCUUGCCGCCUUUCCCAGGAUGACGCUUGUCAUAGCGAUUAGGACAACUAGGAGCCCAAUGAUCAGGAUCUCCAAACACAUGACAAGCACCUUUCUUAUUGUCAUUCUUCUUCUUGAAGUUCAUGUGCUGCACAGCCUUGUUCUUCCCAUCGAACUUUGCUUUACCAUCAAACUUGCCCUUGUUCUUGAACUUGUGGGACUGGAAGUUCUUCUUCUGUACCAGAUUGGCACUAGAUCCUCCCUCAAUACCUCGAGCACGUGUGUCCUUUGCUCUCGCCUUUUCUUCCACAUAAGAGUACCAAUGAGAUCCGGGAUGGAAAACUCCUGUCUCUUAUGCUUCAGUAAGGUAGCAAAGUUCCUCCAUGAAGGAGGAAGCUUAGUGAUGAUACCCCCGGCAACAAACUUGUCCGGUAAGAUACAAUUGAAGUGCUCAAGUUCUCUAGCAAAAGACUGUAUCUCAUGAGCCUGCUCAACCACGGAGCGCUCUUCAGUCAUCCUGUAAUCAUAGAAUUAUUCCAUGAUGUACAGCUCAGUGCCGGCAUCCGAGACCCCAAACUUGGCCUCGAGUGUGUCCCACAUAUCUUUUCAUUGUCAAUUGAAGCAUAAGCAUCAACUAUGUUCUCACCAAGAACACUCAAAAGAGCAGCCUUAAACAAGGUAUCCAUUUUCUGGAAAGCUUGUGCCUGUUGGGCAUCUUGCUCUCCUUCAGGUUUGCCAAGAGUGGCAUCAUAGAAACUCAUGGUUUGAAACCAUAAGACUGCUCUCACACGCCACUUCUUAUAGUGGAUACCCUCAAACAUAGGAGGUCUCAUGGAAGCAGCAAAAUCACUCGGGGUAAAUUGCCUAUAAUAAGGUUUUUGGAUUGUUGGAAAUAUGAGCAAUUUACCGAAUGAUUUUAUUAACAAAAAUACUAGAUAAAGCAUGACUAAAAUAGCAAAUAUAAAGCAAGUCAUGUAGUCUGACAGAGAGAAGGUAAACAUCGUCUGCAUAUAUGAACUUGAGCUAAACACAGCUAGAACAGACACUAGAUGAAGUUGCUUAUACGAAACAGAACCUAACAUACGUAGGGCAGAAACUAGAGCCAAGAACUAUAGCAGGACUUCUAACAGAAAGGAGAAGAACACGUACGGCACAGCAGCAGCAGAAGCGCUGGACUUGGGGUUGGUGUCCUCGCCUGCCAUGUCAUCGAGGAGGUCAUGGACGUCAGGGAAGAAGUCGUCGUCGGGGAAGUAGUCGUCGGCGACCGGAUCGUCUGUGAUGAAGCAGCCAGUAGUCGCACUAAGCGCUCCCCAAAAACCUUAUCACCCUUCUCCCGUACAGGACUCAAAAGGGGCGGUCGCGAAAGCCUACUGUCCCGACGUGCGGUGCACGCCACAAGUCGGGAUGAGGAAGACAGCAGCAGCUCAGAGAUGGAACCGAUGGCGAGGGAAGGAGCAGUUCUGGUGCGUCUCUCUGAGAGGAGCGACCUCCCUUUUAUAGGCGCAAGAGAAGGAGGCGAGAGGCUGCGCCGGGAGCUGAAGGGAAUGCGGGAGACGAAACGAACAGGCAGCAGCCGAAGGGGCGCGCCGUUCGGAUUCAGUGUCCAGGCACAGAAAAAAAAUGUUUCAGCUUCCGAGUGACCUUUCGUAUACCCGUAGUGCGUGGCAAAAAUUUAGACAUCGGCUCGGCUCAUUCCCGCAACCCGCGGCGCGGCGCAUCGUGAUGAGGCGUGGUGAGGCGGGCGGCGGAGGAGGAGCACGCGUGGAUGUCCCUCUUGUUCUCAUGCUCAUACAAGUGGGGAAGGAGCCUCCCUUAUAAAGAGGUCCAACUCCCUCUAAACUAGCAAGGUGGGACUAAACUUUAGUUCCACCUCUUGCCUUGCACGAAUGGGCUGCGUGGGCCUCUAGGAUUUAUUAGGAAUUUCUAAAAUUGCUAUUGGGCUAGGCCCAAAUAGACAAAAAUUCCAGCAAUCCCCCACCAGAUCCCAGAGGCACACAAAAUUUGCCUUUGGUUCCAAAACACUGUUUUAUAUACUGGUACAGCAGUGGAGACUGUUAAGUUGAACUUCCACCUAGAACCCUAUGCUACACUAGUAAGCAACUUGAACAGUGGACUGGGCCUUGAACUGCAAGUUUUCUGCAAAUCUAGCUUCACAUAAGGCCUUGACCGAUACGUGGCUACCGUGGGUCUUCCCCGUGGGUGGAGCUUAUGCGUCAUACUCCGUGACCUUUCAUUAGUUUACUAGAGAGAACCCUACUCUCAUAGAUUGCGACGUUUAACAAUCAGACUCAUAUAGGUGCGUUCUUCAAAAGAUGUUCUGCAGGACAACAUCUCUGCUUCAAAAAGCCACUUAGAACACAUUAAGAUAUAAAUCAACCUGCCAUGCAGAUUAGGAGAGUAUUGCAUCUUCAUGGAGUGGUAUUUUAACAGUAUGGAUACUCUCCUCUCAGUUGACCAACAACUUGUCUUCCACAUCUAAUUCACGGGAUCUCCGAUCAUAAAGAAUAGGUUACCACUAUGAACAACUCAUAUUGUGGGUCUCAUUCCCAUCUCCCUCGAUGCAUUAUCUAUCACAUUACGUGAUAGACCCUUAGUAAAAGGAUCUGCCAGAUUUUUAGACGUUUGGAUAUAAUCCAAUGCAAUAACUCUGGAGUUUUUCAUUUUUCUGACAGACUUUAACCUUCUCUGAACGUGUCUUGAUGACUUCAUGUUAUCCUUUGAGUUGCUCACUUUAGUGAUCACAGUUUGAUUGUCACAGUUCAUCCGGAUACCCGGUACAGGUUUCUCAACUACCGGUAAGUCAUUCAAGAGCCGACGAAGCCAAUCUGCUUCGACCGUACCUGUAUCUAGUGUUGUGAGUUCUGCUUCCAUUGUUGACCUCAUUAAGAUGGUCUGCUUGCAAGACUUCCAAGAAACAGCGCCACCUCCAUGAGUGAAUACAUAACCGCUCGUGGCCUUUAUCUCAUCAGCAUCUGAGAUCCAGUUUGAGUCACUAUACCCUUCAAGCACCUUUGGAUGCCAAGUGUAGUGAAUUCCAUAAUUUGCAGUGCCUUUUAAAUAACGCAAAACUCUCUCUAGAGCUUUCCAAUGCACAUCUCCUGGUUUUGAGACAAACCGGCUUAGUUAGCUAAUAGCAAAAGAGAUGUCAGGUCUCGUAGCACUGGCUAAGUACAUAAGCGAGCCAAUAAUCUGUGAAUAUUUCAAUUGGUCUCUAGUGAUUCUUCGAUUCUUUCGAAGCAACACACUAGCAUCAUAUGGUCUUGGAGAGGGCUUGCAGUCACUGUAGCCAAAGCGGCUCAAGAUCUUUUCCACAUAGUGAGAUUGAAGCAAUGUAAUCCCACCAUCAUCAUCUCUCAACAACUUGAUGUUCAGAAUGACAUCAGCCACUCCUAAAUCCUUCAUCUCAAAACAGCAAGAUAGGAAAUCCUUGACCUCCUUAAGAACAUUCAGAUUUGUUCCGAAAAUCAGUAUGUCAUCAACAUACAAGCAAAGCAUAACUCCCUUGCCCCCACCAUGGCGAUAGUACACACAUUUGUCAGCUUCGUUCACAACAAAGCCUGCAGCUAUUAAAGUUCUUUCGAACUUCUCAUGCCACUGUUUGGGUGCUUGCUUGAGUCCAUACAAAGACUUCAGCAACUUGCACACUUUCCCUUCCUGGCCAUCUAUUACAAACCCCUCUGGUUGUUCCAUAUAAAUUUCCUCAUCCAAAUCUCCAUUUAGGAAAGCAGUCUUAACAUCCAUUUGAUGAACGAGAAGACCAUGUGAGGCAGCUAGUGAAAGUAGACCUCGAAUAGUGGUCAGUCGAGCCACAGGUGAGUAAGUAUCAAAGAAAUCUUCACCUUCCUUUUGGUUAUAACCCUUUGCCACGAGCCGAGCCUUGUACUUUUCAUUAGUACCAUCAGGCCUAAGUUUCUUCUUGAAUACCCAUUUGCAUCCUAUAGGUUUGCACCCAUAAGGACGAUCAGUUAUCUCCCAAGUUUCAUUCGCCAAGAUGGAAUCCAUCUCGCUACGAAUCGCUUCCUUCCAGUAGUCAGCAUCUUCCGAUGCAUAGGCAUCCGAAAUAGAACUGGGAGUGUCAUCUAUGAGAUACACAAGAAAAUCAUCACCAAAGGACUUUGCUGUCCUCUGUCUCUUGCUCCUAGUAGGAACUUCAUUGUUCUCCUCCGCAGGACUUUCAAAGUGUUCCAUCGAAAUGGCAGGUUCAGUAAUUGUAACUGGUUCCUGAUUCGAUGAACUAGGCAUCUCCUAAUUAGAUGAGGUAGCCAUAUCCUUCAUGGGAAUGAUAUCUUCAAAGAAAGUCGCAUCAUUCGACUCCAUGAUCGUACCGACAUGCAUGUCAGAUACCUCAGAUUUUACAACCAAGAAUCUAUAGCCAAUGCUGUGAAAAGCAUAUCCCAGGAAAACACAAUCCACAGUCUUUGGUCCAAGCUUCCGCUUCUUUGGAAUUGGAACAUUGACUUUCGCCAAGCAACCCCAUGUUCGCAGAUAAGAGAGUUUUAACCUUUUCUUCUCCCAUUCCUCGAAUGGAGUUAUCUCUUUGUUCUUUGUGGGGACUCGAUUUAGGACAUGACAUGCUGUCAAUAUCGCCUCCCCCCACCAUGCCUUGGAGAGACCCGAUGUGGCGUUAACCAAAUCAGUUAGAGUACGGUUCUUUCUUUCGGCCACCCCAUUUGACUGAGGUGAGUAGGGAGGCGUCCUCUCAUGGAUUAUACCAUGUUCUGCACAAAAAGCAUCAAAUUCAUUGGAAAAAUACUCUCCACCACAGUCAGACCUAAGCCUCUUGAUUUUUCGAUCAAGUUGGUUUUCCACUUCAGCUUUAUAGAUCUUGAAAAAGUUCAAAGCCUCAUCCUUACAUUUCAGAAGAUACACAUGGCAGUAUCUAGUGGAGUCAUUAAUUAACGUCAUGCAAUAUUUCUUUCCACCUUUUGUCAAAACACCAUUCAUUUCACAUAGAUCUGAAUGUAUAAGUUCUAGUGGUGCAAGAUUUCUCGUCUCCGCAGUCACGUGAGACUUACGAGGUUGCUUAGCUUGCACACACACUUGACACUUAGAUCCUUGACAGUGGUGAAACCAGGGAUUAAGUUCAACUUCGCUAGUCGCGACAUGCAACCAAAGUUAACAUGACAAAGACGUGAAUGCCACACAUUUGAUUCACUAUUGUUGCAAAUAUGAUUAACAACUUUAUUGCAAACGUCUGAUAAGGAUAAACGAAACAGGCCUCCUGACUCAUAGCCUUUACCAACAAAGGUCCCAUACUUGGAUAUUACAAAUUUAUUCGACUCAAAGACAAGCUUAUAGCCAUCUCUACACAGAAGAGAUCCGCUAACAAGAUUUUUAUUGACGGAGGGGACAUAAUGCAUGUUCUUCAGCCGCACGAUCUUCCCUGAAGUAAACUUCAGAUCAACCAUGCCAACACCACGAACAGAAGCACUUGAACUGUUGCCCAUCAGCACGGUUGAAGUCCCUGCGGUCUGAUAAGAUGAAAACAUGGAAAUAUCACCGCAUACAUGCACAUUAGCACCCAUGUCAAUCAACCAACCAGGAGAAUGACAUACUGAAAGAAUAGUGGGAAAUAUACCAUACCCAGCAUCUUUCAUGUCAAUGUGUCCGAUGACAACAUUAGCGGUCUUGCCGCCUUUCCCAGGAUGACGCUUGUCAUAGCGAUUAGGACAACUAGGAGCCCAAUGAUCAGGAUCUCCAAACACAUGACAAGCACCUUUCUUCUUGUCAUUCUUCUUCUUGAAGUUCAUGUGCUGCACAGCCUUGUUCUUCCCAUCGAACUUUGCUUUACCAUCAAACUUGCCCUUGUUCUUGAACUUGUGGGACUGAAAGUUCUUCUUCUGUACCAGAUUGGCACUAGAUCCUCCCUCAAUACCUCGGGCACGUGUGUCCUUUGCUCUCGCCUUUUCUUCCACAUAAGAGUACCAAUGAGAUCCGGGACGGAAAACUCCUGUCUCUUAUGCUUCAGUAAGGUAGCAAAGUUCCUCCAUGAAGGAGGAAGCUUAGUGAUGAUACCCCCGGCAACAAACUUGUCCGGUAAGAUACAAUUGAAGUUCUCAAGUUCUCUAGCAAAAGACUGUAUCUCAUGAGCCUGCUCAACCAUGGAGCGCUCUUCAGUCAUCCUGUAAUCAUAGAAUUAUUCCAUGAUGUACAGCUCAGUGCCGGCAUCCGAGACCCCAAACUUGGCCUCGAGUGUGUCCCACAUAUCUUUUCAUUGUCAAUUGACGCAUAAGCAUCAACUAUGUUCUCACCAAGAACACUCAAAAGAGCAGCCUUAAACAAGGUAUCCAUUUUCUGGAAAUCUUGUGCCUGUUGGGCAUCUUGCUCUCCUUCAGGUUUGCCAAGAGUGGCGUCAUAGAAACUCAUGGUUUGAAACCAUAAGACUGCUCUCACACGCCACCUCUUAUAGUGAAUACCCUCAAACAUAGGAGGUCUCAUGGAAGCAGCAAAAUCACUCAGGGUAAAUUGCCUAUAAUAAGGUUUUUGGAUUGUUGGAAAUAUGAGCAAUUUACCGAAUGAUUUUAUUAACAAAAAUACUAGAUAAAGCAUGACUAAAAUAGCAAAUAUAAAGCAAGUCAUGCAGUCUGAGAGAUAGAAGGUAAACAUCGUCUGCAUAUAUGAACUUGAGCUAAACACAUCUAGAACAGACACUAGAUGAAGUUGCUUAUACGAAACAGAACCUAACAUACGUAGGGCAAAAUCUAGAGCCAAGAACUGUAGCAGGACUUCUAACAGAAAGGAGAAGAACACGUACGGCACAGCAGCAGCAGAAGCGCUGGACUUGGGUUGCUGUCCUCGCCUGCCAUGUCAUCGAGGAGGUCAUGGACGUCAGGGAAGAAGUCGUCGUCGGCGGGGAAGUAGUCGUCGGCGACCGGAUCGUCUGUGAUGAAGCAGCCAGUAGUCGCACUGAGCACUCCCCAAAAACCUUAUCACCCUUCUCUCGUACAAGACUCAAAAGGUGCGGUCGCGAAAGCCUACUGUCCCGACGUGCGGUGCACGCCGCAAGUCGGGAUGAGGAAGACAGCAGCAGCUCAGAGAUGGAACCGAUGGCGAGGGAAGGAGCAGUUCUGGUGCGUCUCUCUGAGAGGAGCGACCUCCCUUUUAUAGGCGCAAGAGAAGGAGGCGAGAGGCUGCGCCGAGAGCUGAAGGGAAUGCGGGAGACGAAACGAACAGGCAGCAGCCGAAGGGGCGCACCAUUCGGAUUCAGUGUCCAGGCACAGAAAAAAAAUGUUUCAGCUUUCGAGUGACCUUUCGUAUACCCGUAGUGCGUGGCAAAAAUUUAGACAUCGGCUCGGCUCAUUCCCGCAACCCGCGGCGCGGCGCAUCGUGACGAGGCGUGGUGAGGCAGGCGGCGGAGGAGGAGCGCACGUGGAUGUCCCUCUUGUUCUCAUGCUCAUACAAGUGGGGAAGGAGCCUCCCUUAUAAAGAGGUCCAACUCCCUCUAAACUAGCAAGGUGGGACUAAACUUUAGUUCCACCUCUUGCCUUGCACGAAUGGGCUGCAUGGGCCUCUAGGAUUUAUUAGGAAUUUCUAAAAUUGCUAUUGGGCUAGGCCCAAAUAGACAAAAAUUCCAGCAAUCCCCCACCAGAUCCCAGAGGCACAAAAAAUUUGCCUUUGGUUCCAAAACACUGUUUUAUAUACUGGUACAGCAGUGGAGACUGUUAAGUUGAACUUCCACCUAGAACCCUAUGCUACACUAGUAAGCAACUUGAACAGUGGACUGGGCCUUGAACUGCAAGUUUUCUGCAAAUCUAGCUUCACAUAAAGCCUUGACCGAUACGUGGCUACCGUGGGUCUUCCCCGCGGGUGGAGCUUAUGCGUCAUACUCCAUGACCUUUCAUUAGUUUACUAGAGAGAACCCUACUCUCAUAGAUUGCGACGUUUAACAAUCAGACUCAUAUAGGUGCGUUCUUCAAAAGAUGUUCUGCAGGACAACAUCUCUGCUUCAAAAAGCCACUUAGAACACAUUAAGAUAUAAAUCAACCUGCCAUGCAGAUUAGGAGAGUAUUGCAUCUUCAUGGAGUGGUAUUUUAACAGUAUGGAUACUCUCCUCUCAGUUGACUAACAGCUUGUCUUCCACAUCUAAUUCACGGGAUCUCCGAUCAUAAAGAAUAGAUUACCACUGUGAACAACUCAUAUUGUGGGUCUCAUUCCCAUCUCCCUCGAUGCAUUAUCUAUCACAUUACGUGAUAGACCCUUAGUAAAAGGAUCUGCCAGAUUUUUAGACGUUUGGAUAUGAUCCAAUGCAAUAACUCUGGAGUUUUUCAUUUUUCUGACAGACUAACCUUCUCUGAACGUGUCUUGAUGACUUCAUGUUAUCCUUUGAGUUGCUCACUUUAGUGAUCACAGUUUGAUUGUCACAGUUCAUCCGGAUACCCGAUACAGGUUUCUCAACUACCGGUAAGUCAUUCAAGAGCAGACGAAGCCAAUCCGCUUCAACCGUACAUGUAUCUAGUGUUGUGAGUUCUACUUCCAUUGUUGACCUCGUUAGAUGGUCUGCUUGCAAGACUUCCAAGAAACAGCGCCACCUCCAUGAGUGAAUACAUAACCGCUCGUGGCCUUUAUCUCAUCAACAUCUGAGAUCCAGUUUGAGUUACUAUACCCUUCAAGCACCUUUGGAUGCCCAGUGUAGUGAAUUCCAUAAUUUGCAGUGCCUUUCAAAUAACGCAAAACUCUCUCUAGAGCUUUCCAAUGCACAUCUCCUGGUUUUGAGACAAACCGGCUUAGUUAGCUAACAGCAAAAGAGAUGUCAGGUCUCAUAGCACUGGCUAAGUACAUAAGCGAGCCAAUAAUCUGUGAAUAUUUCAAUUGGUCUCUAGCGAUUCUUCGAUUCUUUCGAAGCAACACACUAGCAUCAUAUGGUGUUGGAGAGGGCUUGCAGUCACUAUAGCCAAAGCGGCUCAAGAUCUUUUCCACAUAGUGAGAUUGAAGCAAUGUAAUCCCACCAUCAUCAUCUCUCAACAACUUGAUGUUCAGAAUGAGAUCAGCCACUCCUAAAUCCUUCAUCUCAAAACAGCAAGAUAGGAAAUCCUUGACCUCCUUAAGAACAUUCAGAUUUGUUCCGAAAAUCAGUAUGUCAUCAACAUACAAGCAAAGCAUAACUCCCUCGCCCCCACCAUGGCGAUAGUACACACAUUUGUCAGCUUCGUUCACAACAAAGCCUGCAGCUAUUAAAGUUCUUUCGAACUUCUCAUGCCACUGUUUGGGUGCUUGCUUGAGUCCAUACAAAGACUUCAGCAACUUGCACACUUUCCCUUCCUGGCCAUCUAUUACAAACCCCUCUGGUUGUUCCAUAUAAAUUUCCUCAUCCAAAUCUCCAUUUAGGAAAGCAGUCUUAACAUCCAUUUGAUGAACGAGAAGACCAUGUGAGGUAGCUAGUGAAAGUAGACCUCGAAUAGUGGUCAGUCGAGCCACAGGUGAGUAAGUAUCAAAGAAGUCUUCACCUUCCUUUUGGGUAUAACCCUUUUCCAUGAGCCAAGCCUUGUACUUUUCAUUAGUACCAUCAGGCCUAAGUUUCUUCUUGAAUACCCAUUUGCAUCCUAUAGGUUUGCACCCAUAAGGACGAUCAGUUAUCUCCCAAGUUUCAUUCGCCAAGAUGGAGUCCAUCUCGCUACGAAUCGCUUCCUUCCAGUAGUCAGCAUCUUCCGAUGCAUAGGCAUCCGAAAUAGAACUGGGAGUGUCAUCUAUGAGAUACACAAGAAAAUCAUCAGCAAAGGACUUUGCUGUCCUCUGUCUCUUGCUCCUAGUAGGAACUUCAUUGUUCUCCUCCGCAGGACUUUCAAAGUGUUCCAUCGAAAUGGCAGGUUCAGUAAUUGUAACUGGUUCCUGAUUCGAUGAACUAGGCAUCUCCUAAUUAGAUGAGGUAGCCAUAUCCUUCAUGGGAAUGAUAUCUUCAAAGAAAGUCGCAUCAUUCGACUCCAUGAUCGUACCGACAUGCAUGUCAGAUACCUCAGAUUUUACAACCAAGAAUCUAUAGCCAAUGCUGUGAAAAGCAUAUCCCAGGAAAACACAAUCAACAGUCUUUGGUCCAAGCUUCCGCUUCUUUGGAAUUGGAACAUUGACUUUCGCCAAGCAACCCCAUGUUCGCAGAUAAGAGAGUUUUAACCUUUUCUUCUCCCAUUCCUCGAAUGGAGUUAUCUCUUUGUUCUUUGUGGGGACUCGAUUUAGGACAUGACAUGCUGUCAAUAUCGCCUCCCCCCACCAUGCCUUGGAGAGACCCGAUGUGGCGUUAACCAAAUCAGUUAGAGUACGGUUCUUUCUUUCGGCCACCCCAUUUGACUGAGGUGAGUAGGGAUGCGUCCUCUCAUGGAUUAUACCUUGUUCUGCACAAAAAGCAUCAAAUUCAUUGGAAAAAUACUCUCCACCACGGUCAGACCUAAGCCUCUUGAUUUUUCGAUCAAGUUGGUUUUCCACUUCAGCUUUAUAGAUCUUGAAAAAGUUCAAAUCCUCAUCCUUACAUUUCAGAAGAUACACAUGGCAGUAUCUAGUGGAGUCGUUAAUUAACGUCAUGAAAUAUUUCUUUCCACGUUUUGUCAAAACACCAUUCAUUUCACAUAGAUCUGAAUGUAUAAGUUCUAGUGGUGCAAGAUUUCUCGUCUCCGCAGUCAUGUGAGACUUACGAGGUUGCUUAGCUUGCACACACACUUGACACUUAGAUCCCUUGACAGUGGUGAAACUAGGGAUUAAGUUCAACUUCGCUAGCCGCGACAUGCAACCAAAGUUAACAUGACAAAGACGUGAAUGCCACACAUUUGAUUCACUAUUGUUGCAAAUAUGAUUAACAACUUUAUUGCAAAUGUCUGAUAAGGAUAAACGAAACAGGCUUCCUGACUCAUAGCCUUUGCCAACAAAAGUUCCAUACUGGGAUAUUACAAAUUUAUUCGACUCAAAUACAAGCUUAUAGCCAUCUCUACACAGAAGAGAUCCGCUAACAAGAUUGUUAUUGACGGAGGGGACAUAAUGCACGUUCUUCAGCCGCACGAUCUUCCCCGAAGUAAACUUCAGAUCGACCAUGCCAACACCACGAACAGAAGCACUUGAACCGUUGCCCAUCAGCACGGUUGAAGUCCCUGCGGUCUGAUCAGAUGAAAACAUGGAAAUAUCACUGCAUACAUGCACAUUAGCACCCAUGUCAAUCAACCAAUCAGGAGAAUGACAUACUGAAAGAAUAGUGGGAAAUAUACCAUACCCAGCAUCUUUCAUGUCAAUGUCUCCGAUGACAACAUUAGCGGUCUUGCCGCCUUUCCCAGGAUGACGCUUGUCAUAGAGAUUAGGACAAAUAGGAGCCCAAUGAUCAGGCUCUCCACACACAUGACAAGCACCUUUCUUCUUGUCAUUCUUCUUCUUGAAGUUCGUGUGCUGCACAGCCUUGUUCUUCCCAUCGAACUUUGCUUUACCAUCAAACUUGCCCUUGUUCUAGAACUUGUGGGACUGGAAGUUCUUCUUCUGUACUAGAUUGGCACUAGAUCCUCCCUCAAUACCUCGAGCACGUGUGUCCUUUGCUCUCGCCUUUUCUUCCACAUCAAGAGUACCAAUGAGUUCCGGGACGGAAAACUCCUGUCUCUUAUGCUUCAGUAAGGUAGCAAAGUUCCUCCACGAAGGAGGAAGCUUAGUGAUGAUACCCCCGGCAACAAACUUGUCCGGUAAGAUACAAUUGAAGUGCUCAAGUUCUCUAGCAAAGGACUGUAUCUCAUGAUCCUGCUCAACCACGGAGCGCUCUUCAGUCAUCAUGUAAUCAUAGAAUUGCUCCAUGAUGUACAAUUCAGUGCCGGCAUCCGAGACCCCAAACUUGGCCUCAAGUGCGUCCCACAUAUCUUUUCUAUUGUCAAUUGACGCAUAAGCAUCAACUAUGUUCUCACCAAGAACACUCAAAAGAGCAGCCUUAAACAAGGUAUCCAUUUUCAGAAAAGCUUGUGCCUGUUGGGCAUCUUGCUCUCCUUCAGGUUUGCCAAGAGUGGCGUCAUAGCAACUCAUGGUUUGAAACCAUAAGACUGCUCUCACGCGCCACCUCUUAUAGUGGAUACCCUCAAACAUACGAGCUCUCAUGGAAGCAGCAAAACCACUCGGGGUAAAUUGCCUAUAAUAAGGUUUUUGGAUUGUUGGAAAUAUGAGCAAUUUACCGAAUGAUUUUAUUAACAAAAAUACUAGAUAAAGCAUGACUAAAAUAGCAAAUAUAAAACAAGUCAUGCAGUCUGACAGAGAGAAGGUAAACAUCGUCUGCAUAUAUGAACUUGAGCUAAACACAUCUAGAACAUACACUAGAUGAAGUUGCUUAUACGAAACAGAACCUAACAUACGUAGGGCAGAAACUAGAGCCAAGAACUGUAGCAGGACUUCUAACAGAAAGGAGAAGAACACGUACGGCAUAGCAGCAGCAGAAGCGCUGGACUUCGGGUCGGUGUCCUCGCCUGCCAUGUCGUCGAGGAGGUCGUGGACGUCGGGGAAGAAGUCGUCGUCGGGGAAGUAGUCGUCGGCGACCGGAUCGUCCGUGAUGAAGCAGCCAGUAGUCGCGCUGAGCGCUCCCCAAAAACCUUAUCACCCUUCUCCCGUACAGGACUCAAAAGGUGCGGUCUCGGAGGCCUACUAUCCCGACGUGCGGUGCACGCCGCAAGUCGGGAUGAGGAAGACAGCAGCAGCUCAGAGAUGGAACCGAUGGCGAGGGAAGGAGCAGUUCUGGUGCGUCUCUCUGAGAGGAGCGACCUCCCUUUUAUAGGCGCAAGAGAAGGAGGCGAGAGGCUGCGCCGGGAGCUGAAGGGAAUGCGGGAGACGAAACGAACAUGCAGCAGCCGAAGGGGCGCGCCUUCGGAUUCAGUGUCCAGGCACAGAAAAAAAUGUUUCAGCUUCCGAGUGACCUUUCGUAUACCCGUAGUGCGUGGCAAAAAUUUAGACAUCGGCUCGGCUCAUUCCCGCAACCCGCGGCGCGGCAUGACGAGGCGUGGUGAGGCGGGCGGCGGAGGAGGAGCGCGCGUGGAUGUCCCUCUUGUUCUCAUGCUCAUACAAGUGGAGAAGGAGCCUCCCUUAUAAAGAGGUCCAACUCCCUCUAAACUAGCAAGGUGGGACUAAACUUUAGUUCCACCUCUUGCCUUGCACGAAUGGGCUGCGUGGUCCUCUAGGAUUUAUUAGGAAUUUCUGAAACUGCUAUUGUGCUAGGCCCAAAUAGACAAAAAUUCCAGCAGUUUGUGUUCUUCAGGUCUCCACUUGCCAUGAUAUUGCGGCUGGGCUUCGGGUAUGUGUUACCACUGAUACAUCAUUCCAAACUACUAAUGAAUUGGUCUCUGAUGUCUUCUUCUCAAUUUUAACUAGGGCCUGCUUCUGUUUGCACCAAUUCGAGAUAGUGGUUGUGGAAUGCAGCAGCCAAGACAACAAGGUCAGGCUCGGCUUAGGUAUGAUGACAAACAAAAUUAGAUUCGGAUGGUUCCUUACAUCUUCCUCUCAGAAUCAAGAGUGAUAAUACUUUUUUGGUGCUCCGGCUUCUGCAGUUUCUGAAGAACUGAUUCGUUGUUCAGGCAUUUCAUGCAUUUGGAGUUCACAGGUAUCUAAGUUUCUCUGACUGUGUUUUCAAAUAAUUGAUACUUGACAUUAGGAUUUUUGGCUGAACAAAUCAUCUUAGACAUAAGUAGAACCCGGCAAAUUGUGAGACAGAGCUAAUUGAUACACAGUUUAGAAAAUAGAACUGAACAAUUCUUGGUAGUCACUAUUGAUUAGCUAUGUGCGUACCUUAAGUUCCUUACUACUUAUUUUAAUUGUUAGUACUUGAAGGUUUGAAUAAUUAUUAUUACCAAGUUACAUGUUGAUCACUACUUAUUAUGAAAAUGUAUGUCCAUGGUUUAAAGGAGCUUUAUUGUUUCAGUCUAUACUAAGUUAUUUGUCGGUUAUACUGGAGCUUAUAUUGUUCCCUCUUUGAUCUAGACAUCAAAUAUUCUAAGCUUCAUUUUUGUGAGCAAACGGUUCUAUGCUUCCUUUUUGUGAACAUUGCUCCAUAAAUAGUAGUGGCAUUUACUAUGCAGAUGAUACUGACAAAUUAUCAUACAAGUCCGCAUUAAUAUUCAGUCAGUAGGUUAUUGAAGAAGGCCGGAGAUCGCGUGGAGCACCAACAAUAACCUCAAGUAGAUGCAGCAGAGACAUGUGAUGAACUAUCAUAUGUUUCCUAAUCUGAAUGUUUGCUCCAAUCGCUUGAUUGUUUGAUCUGGUUUGUUGUGACAAUACAAUGAUUUUCUAUGUUCUUUUUGUGGUGCAAUCUCCGUUGAUUUGGAAAGAUGGGGACUUUCUGUUGAGCUAUUUCGAUCGGCCAUUGGCCAUAACAUUCCAAAUUCCUUAUUUUGUUUCCUCUUUUUCGCGGCUUCAUUUUACGUGUCUCACUAAAGGUGGGCAUGACUUGAAAAGGGAGGCAAACAAAACUGCCAAGAUGCAUCUCUUUUGCAGCAGAAGAAGAGGCACUGAUGAGAGGUGGAAAAGGAGGGGCAAAGAAGGAAGCCAUGGGCAUGUGCCGCCUACCGACCAUGAAUAUCAACAAUGACAAUGACGACUAGCUUGUGUGCGUGUGAGAGAGGGAGGGAGAGGGAGUCAAAACAAAAUGAUGUAUAUCUUUACUACAUUAUAAAAUGGGAUUUGGUGAGCUAUUUGUCCUUUAUGAUUCAUGAGAUUUUAAUUCUAUAGUGUUUUUUGCUCUUAAUAUAUUAUUGUGGUUAUAGAUUUAUCAUUGACACAAUAUAUGUAGAAACUUUUUUGAUCUAAAUAAGAAGAACAAAAGUUUACGGGAUGCUUUUUGAUCGUUCCCUUUACCUAGCUUCCAAUUUCUAUUGUCAGAAACACAUUUUUUUUGUUCCUAUAGGAAACAUAUGCAAAUAAAAGAUUUGCCGAAGCUUUUUGAGUCCCUGAUGCAUACUAAAUACAGUCCUAGAACAAUAUGCUUAUGCAUAAUAACAAGCUGGAAAAUUGCUCCAAAAUAACACUUAAAACAUAUAAAAGAACAAAAAAAUCCAUUCUGAAUUCUAAAAUGAUCUUUCAAUGUAUGCAGCAAACUGCUUCCUUUAUAAUCUGACAAAACUCGCAGGACUUAUCAUGACGCAUGAAAGGAUAUAGUAAACCAUCACACCGAAGCCGAGGUUGGCUUUGUUUCCUUAUUUUUGCGAGAAGGUGUCAUAGUUCUACUAUUUUGAUUAGCCAUCUAGAGGGAUGACAGUGCAUGCAAUCAUUUAAAUAAAAUAAUACAAAGAUGCUGCAUGAGUCAUCAAUUCAAACAAGAACUUGUUUCAUGUGAUUUUUUGUGUAAAGUGGAAACAAAUUAUUUUUAUAACAACUAAUUCGACAACACAAGUGCUACACCGUGAUCAGUAUAUGCAUAUGAUACGAUCUAGCUAUUUUCCUUUGCACGGGUGGUUUUUAUCAUGAGGUAGGAGGGUUCGUACAAGUCGACUAUCAGCUCUCAUGCAAUGCUUUAAAAAGAAAAACGAGAGGAAUUUGUGAAUUUUUGUAUAACAUUGCAAAUUAUAUGAAAAAACUUUUUAAUUUGUCAGAACUUUUAGGAGGGAGUGAGUGGCAAAUGUUGGAAGACAUUCAAAGUUAGGAUGAUGGGAAUGCCUAUGGCAAUUUGGAGAACUUGGAGAAAACAUAUGCGAACUUGAGCUAGGUAGCAAUGUAGAGCUUAAUUAAGCUAAAUGGUUCAUAUUCAUUUGUUAGUCCAUGAGUUCGAGAUGAUGGACUCAACAAUUGGAUAGAUUUGGAGGGAACACGAAUUUGGAGUAGUGUGACAACAUAGCGAAGUAAUGACACAAUGGUCGAAGGGCUGAAGUUGAGGGGCUUGUGAUAGAUCCAUUUGUUGGCCCGUGGCUGCGCACGGGCGUUCUACUAGUAAUCAUUGGUGGCUUCUUUGACCACCAGACGGCUUAUUGACUUCUUCCACUCGAGGAUCACCGUGGAGCAAUCCUUCUUCCCCUUCCUACAGAAGCACGCCAACCACAAACAAAUGCUCAAAAAGACCUUAGCAAAUGCCAUUGAACUAGAUUGUAGGCAAGAGGAAUCUUAUUAGUUGGUAGAUGUAGAUGUCGAGGCCUCAUCAUUGCUUGCCAGAGGCCUCAUGUGUAUGUCGUGCGUCCCACCAGAGGCCUCUUUUAAUUAGAGGAAGGGCGGUGCGGAGAAGACAUCAUUAGUCACCCUGGGAGAAGAAAGUUCGGUGGCGGUGCGUGUAAAGAGGAGACUUUGGUAGUUUCUGGUGGAGUUGUGGUAGCCGUAGGGACGACGAGAGUGAGAGAGGACUGGGGACGGAGGAGAGGUGAUGGAUGGAAAAAAAUUGGGUGAUUGAGGACGAAAACCAAGAUGAAAANNNNNNNNNNNNNNNNNNNNNNNNNNNNNNNNNNNNNNNNNNNNNNNNNNNNNNNNNNNNNNNNNNNNNNNNNNNNNNNNNNNNNNNNNNNNNNNNNNNNNNNNNNNNNNNNNNNNNNNNNNNNNNNNNNNNNNNNNNNNNNNNNNNNNNNNNNNNNNNNNNNNNNNNNNNNNNNNNNNNNNNNNNNNNNNNNNNNNNNNNNNNNNNNNNNNNNNNNNACUAGAUGUCUCUGUAGUGAAGUAAUAUGAGCAUAACUUAAUUGAUCAGUGUAAAACUUUGAAUUGGUUAAGUAUACUACACUAAAGUAAGUUGUAAAGCCUAAUUGCAAUUAUAUCUUUGAGGGCAAUGCUUAUGAGUUGCGUGACAAUCUUGUCUGUUCUGGAUCUUGCAUCUGAUUCUAAUUAAACAGUACAUGUUAGAUGUUUUUAAUGAGGUCCACGUUAGAUUUGAUUGUUAAUUUAUAGUGCGGGUGAAAGCGGAUUCUAUCCUUUUCGUCUGCCAUUUUUCCUUUCAUAAAAUGUGUCCAUGGAGUAAUUCUCCACAAAAACAAACUUAACUGGACAAAAUAUCCACGGCAAGUCGCAUAUCUUGUGCAACUGUUCACUGUUGAAAGCUUAUUGUGCCACUACCCAUCAUUGCAAGGAAAAAAUACAGAAGAUUUAUGUUCUACCAAAUACAUUCUUUUGUUCAGAUUUAGCCAGGUAUGAUCCUGGUUGCGUCAGCCAUUAGAGUACAUUGCGAUCGACUAGACAGUUUCAGUGCUCAUCUUGCCUACUUUUGCAGCACUAGAUUUGCGAUCAGGUAGAUAAACACAACAACAAAGGAGACGACAGAUGCCAGCGGCCCAUAUUUCCCAAGAAUUCUCUGUGGGUUAAUUCCAUAAUACGGAUUGAAUUCUCUACUGGCACGGAAUCCAGCAACAAGGGCCACACCAUGCUGACACUAGCAGCUAUGUGUUGCUCCCGUGGGCAAGACCUGCCCAAGGAGGAUAGGUAAGAGAAAUGGCUGAAGACACACCAACACCUGGCAACAUGUAGGUUCAUAUUUCACCCCCACCCUUGGAUAAAACCGUGAAUCAUUUGAAACAUAUUAAAACUUGAGUGCAUUUUUUAUUUUGGAGAAAUAUAUAUGCUCACAAGAGCUUAGGAGUCACACGUCGGUUCUAGGUAAUUAAACAAACAAGAACAUUCACUUGUUGAGAAAUUUUACCACCUCUUCUUGCUUCUUUUAUGACACUAGAACUUGACGGGCUUUGGGUCACCUCCUUUUCGGUUUAUAAGGCUUGCGCGUAUCUCUAGGUUGACAAAUAGACCAACUUAAUACAAGUUGUAUAUCACAAAAAAUAUAUAAUUAGGAACUUCAAAUCGUAUACUUUCUAAUGGUAUAAUUUUUAGACUAUACAACUCAUGUUAUGUUGGUCAAGUUAUAGAUCCAGGGAUAUGUACAAGCCUUAUAAACCGGAAAGGAGGUAUGUUAGUAGAUAAACAUGCCAAUUAAGGACUUCUUGACAAGUCUAUGCAGAUUAAAGGUAUGUUAGUAGAUGGUGUAAUAAAUACAUGCUUUUAGCUAUCUAAGGAUACAAAUAUGCCACUAUUUACUUUGUAAAUGCUCGAAAUCAUUCUCAGAAAUUUUAGUAACAACAGUUGUCAUGAACAACUUGGACUAAAUGCAUCAAAUGUUACAAAUAAUACAUAAAAACAUUCAAAUGUACUUAGAGUGAAUCAAUUAAGACGUGUAAAGCUAGUACUAAUCCAAUAUUUCUUAAUGACUUGCAUAUACUUACAACACUUGACGUAAAGAGUGAAUCAAUUAAGACGUGCAAAGCCAGUACUAAUCCAAUUUUAUUAAUAGCUUCCACAAAAUUACAACACGUGGCGUAAAAAGGGAAUAUGAUGAGUCAUGUAUUGAUAACGUGUACAACAUUACUACCCUUGACAUAAAAAGAGAAGUUGAUGAGUCAUGUCUUAAUAACGUGUACAACAUUACUAUCAGCUUGUUCAUCUUACCAUCAUACUAUACAACACUAUAAGUUAGUUUAAAAAAGAAUAAGAGUCCAGAACAAACAUCACAAUACUAGCCUGAUCUAUAUUAACAACAUGCACAAGGACACAAAUUUAGUUCCCCGCAAGCUAUGAAGAUUUGGUUUAUGUCUAACAACUUGUACAAUAUGACAAACUUAGAUCCAAAAGGAAUGCAAACCAGAUAAUUGUAAUGCAAUCCAGAUAAUUAUUUGACAUGCAAAGUGAAUAAGAUGAGUCACUACCAAUUAUCAAGUUUUCCUCACUCUUAGAUGAUAUGAACCAUAAAAAGGCAACUUUGAUGAUCACUCCAUAAUUACGUUUGUAUGUAGUGCCACCAAACACAACACACAAAAUAAUUAGUUCGAUAAGCAUCGAAUCACUUUAAAAAGGAAAGCAAAAAUGGAAAGAAACCUAACCAUGGGAGCUAUAAAAAGGCCUGCAAUAUGUAGACUCCAUACCAUCAUCCAUCCUUCACACAACUAGAGCACAAGUAUCAAAUCCAAGUACGUAGUGGUUAACGCAAAUUAACCAUGAAGACCUUACUCAUCCUAACAAUCCUUGUGAUGGCAGUAACCAUCGGCACCGCCAAUAUGCAGGUCGACCCUAGCGGCCAAGUACAAUGGCCACAACAACAACCAGUCCUGCUGCCUCAGCAACCAUUCUCCCAGCAACCACAACAAACAUUUCCCCAACCCCAACAAACAUUCCCCCAUCAACCACAACAACAAUUUCCCCAGCCUCAACAACCACAACAACAAUUUCUCCAGCCACAACAACCAUUCCCCCAACAACCACAACAACCAUAUCCCCAGCAACCACAACAACCAUUCCCCCAGACUCAACAACCCCAACAACUAUUUCCCCAGUCCCAGCAACCACAACAACCAUAUCCCCAGCAACCACAACAACCAUUCCCCCAGACUCAACAACCCCAACAACAAUUUCCCCAAUCCCAGCAACCACAAUAACCAUUUCCCCAACCCCAACAACCGCAACAAUCAUUCCCCCAGCAACAACCAUCGUUCAUUCAGCCAUCUCUACAACAACAGCUGAACCCAUGCAAGAAUUUACUCUUGCAGCAAUGCAGACCUGUGUCAUUGGUCUCAUCCCUCUGGUCAAUGAUCUGGCCACAAAGCGCUUGCCAAGUGAUGAGGCAACAAUGCUGCCAACAACUAGCACAGAUUCCUCAGCAGCUCCAGUGUGCAGCCAUCCAUAGCGUCGUGCAUUCCAUCAGCAUGUAGCAAGAACAACAACAACAACAACAACAACAACAACAACAACAACAACAACAACAACAACAACAACAACAACAACAACAACAACAACAACAACAACAACAAGGCAUGCGUAUCCUGCUGCCACUAUAUCAGCAACAACAGGUGGGUCAAGGUACUCUCGUCCAGGGCCAGGGCAUCAUCCAACCCCAACAACCAGCUCAAUUGGAGGCGAUCAGGUCAUUGGUGUUGCAAACUCUUCCAACCAUGUGCAACGUGUAUGUCCCACCUGAGUGCUCUAUCAUCAAGGCACCAUUUGCCAGCAUAGUCACCGGAAUUGGUGGCCAAUGAAAAACGCAAGAGCCAUACUAAUAGGUAGAUGGAUCAUCGUUGCUUAGCUGAUUUACCAAUCGAUGUAACGAUGCCAAAUAAACUGGUGUGCACCAUCAUGUGUCAUCCUGACCAGUGCUAGUUCAAGAUUGGGAAUAAAAGAGAAGAACGUUCAUGUUUGCCAACAUUGCUUGUCAUUGUUCCAUUCACUGUGUAUUUAUAUUUUCAUCCUGAACUGCAAUUCUAGUCUUACACAUCAAUAGCUAGUUGCUCAUGUCGGCAGGUUCCUAUGUAAUCUAAUGAUUAAUGGUCGACCUAUUAAUCUAGUUUAUCGGCCGAUUGAUCUAUUAAUUGGUGCUCCCAAGCCGACCGAGCAGCCAUCAGUUACCGAUUUCCUGAACAUUGCACACAAUAAUAAUUCAACGUAUUUCAAUGUCUAGAAGUAAAAGGGCCAUAUAAGCAGUAAAACAAGCGCCUGAUUAGAAACCAUCCAUCACUUUAAAUUAAUCUAGAUAUUUUUGUGUUGGUGCAAUUUUGAGUUGAUGGCACCGACACAUUCUUGAAAGAAAUUCUACAGGGAACUCCAAAGAGGUGAAAAUCAAACUAAAGUUGCCACAUGGUAAAAGAUAAAUCAUGCGGCAAGCAAGAGGAAAUAUUGAGUCACAAUAGCUAGCGCCAAACAUGUAAUUAAACUAUUCUUAUGGUUUCUUGCAAAGAGGGAAGUAAUUUACAGAUGACAAACAAAACGUAAUUAGCAUUAGUUCUAAUUGAUUGUAGAAAUUUCUUUUAUCGGUAGAAUAACUCAGUUGUUAUUUAUUUAAACAUGCACUGUGAUAUUGACUUAUCUCAAUCUAGGAACACAAAGCAAAUACUACAUUUGCUGCUAUGGACUCCAAACAGAUGAGAAAUCAUUAUGUGUAGAAGUUCCUUAGAAGGAUAUUUUGGCCUAAACAAAUUUAACAUUGUACUCGUGUCUUACAUAGUUAAAGCUGAAAAAUCAACAUAACCAGUGGACACUUUGUAAGACAAGUGUGGGAAACAAAUAGUAGGAUAUAAAUUUGAGUAGAAUGUUUGCUCAAAUGUUGAAAAAAUAACCCAGCAAACUAAAACUCAGCAAAACAGUCUAUUCUACCUUAUACGGACUGUCACAAUGAUAAUGCUAUGUUUUUUUGGAAUACAAAUUCAAAAAAAAUCAGCCACAGAUCCCUGAGCCCAUCCAACAGGAGAGCUUCAAUUGAAAGAAGUAUUAGUUCGAUUAGACCAUGUAGUACCUAAAGGAGGAUGGUGGCCCCAUGGAACAACUCCAGCCUUUCCAUUGUGUCCGGGCGCAAUGCGAUAAUGGAGUUAUGGUCAUUGGUGGCUUCGCUGGCCAUAGACGGCUUAUUGACUUCUUCCACUUGAGGAUCACCGUGAACCAGUCCUUCUUCCCCAUCCUACAUAAGCAUGCCAACCACAAAUAAAUGCUCAAAAAGACCAUCUUAAAUGUCAUUGAACCGGAUUAUGGGAGGCAGAAUCUUAUGACUCGGUGGAUGCAGAUAUCGAGGCCUCAUUUGUAUGUUGUGCCUCCCACCAGAGGUGUCUUCUAAUUAGAGUGGUGCGAGAAGACAAUAUAAGCCACCGUGCAAGCGAAACAAUUAGGAGGCACUGCUUGUAAAGCGGAGAAUUUGGCACUGUCUGGUGGCAUUGCGGUAGCCGCAGGGUGGAAGAGAGAGAGGGAGGGAGGGAGGGAGGAUGAAUCGGAAAACCAGGAGCAGGGGUGAUCAACGAUGAAAACCAAGAUGAAAAAACAAUGUGCAAGAGAGGAAGAGGAAUAGGCUAGCUAUUUCUGUAGUGAAGUAAUAUGAGCAUAACUUAACCCAUAGGUGUGGAACUUGGAUUCGGUUGAAGUAUAUACUAUACUAAAGUAAGCUGACUAAUUGCAAUUUAAAUCUUUGGUGGCAAUGCUUAUGAGUUGUGAGGCCAUCUUGACUAUUCUGGAUCUUGCAUAUGAUUCUAAUUAAACAGUAUAUGUCAGAUGUUUUUAAAGAGGCACACAUUAUAUUUGAUUGUUGAUUUACACAUUCUAAUUAAACAUUAUAUGUCAGAUGUUUCUAAUGAGGCCCACGUUAGAUUUGUAUGUUGAUUUACAAAGGGAUUGAUAAGUUGAUUCUAUCCUUUUUCCUCUGCCAUUCUUCCUUUCAUAAAAUGUGUCCAUCGAGUAAUUAUCCACAAUAACAAACAUGACUAGACAAAAUAUCCACGACAAGUUGCAUAUCUUGUGCAACUGUUCACUGGUGAAAGGCUAUUGUGCCACUAUCCAUCAUUGCAAGGAAAAAACACAAAAGAUUUAUGUUCUAUCAAAUAUAUUAUUUUGUUUGGAUUUAGCCAGGUAAGAUCCUGGUUGCGUCGGCCAUUAGAGUACCUUGCGAUCGACUAGACAGUUUCAGCAUAUCUUCUUGCCUCCUUUUGCAUCACUAGAUUUCGAUGGGCUUGCGAACAGGAAGAUAAACACGGCAACAAAGGAGACGAGAGAUGCCAGUGAUCCAUAUUUCCAAAUAAUUCUCUGCAAGUGAAUUCCAAAGAAUGCAUUGAAUUUUGUGCUGGCGUAGAAUCCAGCAGCAAGGGAAACACCAUGCUGACGCUAGGAGCUACGUGCUGCUACCGCGAGCUCCCAUGGCAAGACCUGCCCAGGGAGGACCGGCAAGAGAAACGGCUGAAGACACACCAAGACCCGGCAACAUGUAGGUUCAUAUUUCACCCCCACCCUCAGAUAAAAAUGUGAAUCAUUUCAAACAUAUUAAAACUUGAGUGGAUUUUUUUAUUUCGGAAAAAUAUGCCCACAAGAGCUCAGGAGUCAACGUCAGUUCUAGGUAAUUAAACAAACAAGAAGAUUGACUUGUUGAGCAAUUUUACUACAUUUUCUUGCUUCCUUUUACGACACUAGAACUUGAUGGACUUCCGGUCAGCUAGAUAAACAUGCCAAUAAAGGACUUCUUGACAAGUCUGUGCAGAUUAAAGGUAUGUUAGUAGGUGGUGUAAUAACACAUGAUUUUAGCUAUCUAAGGAUACAAAUAUGCCACUAUUUAUUUUGUAAAUGCUGGAAAUCAUUGUCGGAAAUCUUAGUAACAACAGUUGUCAUGAACAACUUCGACUAAAUGCAUCAAAUGUUAGGAAUAAUACAUACUAACUUAGUUCAAUAAAUUAACCUAUUGAAGCAAGAAAAGAAACCUUGAAAUGUACUUAGAGUGAAUCAAUUAAGACAUGCAAAGCCAGUACUAAUCCAGUUUUAUUAAUAACUUCCACAAAAUUACAACACGUGACGUAAAAAGGGAAUAUGAUAGGUCAUGUAUUGAUAACGUGUACAACAUUACUACCCUUGACAUAAAAAGAGAAGUUGAUGAGUCAUGUCUCAAUAACGUGUACAACAUUACUAUCAGCUUGUUCAUCUUACCAUCAUACUAUACAACACUACGAGUUAGUUUAAAAAGGAAUAAGAGUUCAGAAUGAACAUGACAGUACUAGCCUAAUCUAUCUUAACAACAUGCACAAGGACACAAAGUUUGUCUGCCACAAGAUAUGAAGAUUUGGUUUAUGUCUAACAACUUGUAUAACAUGACAAACUUAGAUCCAAAGGGAACACAAUCCAUAUAAUUGUUUGACAUGUAAAGUGAAUAAGAUGAGUCAGUGCCAAUUAUCAAGUUUUCCUCACUCUUAGAUAAUAUGAGUAGCAAAAAGGCAACUUUGAUGAUCACUCCAAAAUUACGAUUGUAUGCCGUGCCACCAAACACAACACACCAAAAAAUUAGUUCGAUAAGCAUUGAAUCACUUUAAAAAAGGAAAGCAGUGAUGAAAAGAAACCUAGCCAUGGUGGCUAUAAAAAGGCCUGCAAUAUGUGAGCUCCAUACCAUCAUCCAUCCUUCACACAACUAGAGCACAAGCAUCAAAUCCAAGUAGGUAGUAGUUAACGCAAAUCCACCAUGAAGACCUUACUCAUCCUGACAAUCCUUGCGAUGGCAAUAACCAUCGCCACCGCCAAUAUGCAGGCCGACCCUAGCGGCCAAGUACAAUGGCCGCAACAACAACCAUUCCUGCAGCCUCACCAACCAUUCUCCCAGCAACCACAACAAAUAUUUCCCCAACCCCAACAAACAUUCCCCCAUCAACCACAACAACAAUUUCCCCAGCCUCAGCAACCACAACAACAAUUUCUCCAGCCCCGACAACCAUUCCCCCAACAACCACAACAACCAUAUCCCCAGCAACCACAACAACCGUUCCCCCAGACUCAACAACCCCAACAACCAUUUCCCCAGUCCAAGCAACCACAACAACCUUUUCCCCAGCCCCAACAACCGCAACAAUCAUUCCCCCAACAACAACCAUCGUUGAUUCAACAAUCUCUACAACAACAGUUGAACCCAUGCAAGAAUUUCCUCUUGCAGCAAUGCAAACCUGUGUCCUUGGUGUCAUCCCUCUGGUCAAUCAUCUUGCCACCAAGCGAUUGCCAGGUGAUGCGGCAACAAUGUUGUCAACAACUAGCACAAAUUCCUCAGCAACUCCAGUGUGCAGCCAUCCAUAGCGUCGUGCAUUCCAUCAUCAUGCAGCAAGAACAACAAGAACAACUACAGGGUGUGCAAAUCCUGGUGCCACUGUCUCAACAGCAACAGGUGGGUCAAGGUAUUCUCGUCCAGGGUCAAGGCAUCAUCCAACCUCAACAACCAGCUCAAUUGGAGGUGAUCAGGUCAUUGGUGUUGCAAACUCUUCCAACCAUGUGCAACGUGUAUGUCCCACCUUACUGCUCCACCAUCAGGGCACCAUUUGCUAGCAUAGUCGCCAGCAUUGGUGGCCAAUGAAAAAAAACAAGAGCUAUUCUAAAAGUUAGAUGGCCAUCGUUGCUUAGCUUAUGCACCAAUCGAUGUAACGAUGACAAAUAAAGUGGCGUGCACCAUCAUGUGUGAUCCUGACCAAGUGCUAGUUCAAGAUUGGAAAUAAAAGACAAACUCAGUCCUUGUUUGCCAGCAUUGCCUGUCAUUGUUCCAUUCCAUGUGUAUUUAGAUGUCUGUCCCUAAUCAUAAUUCUAGCCUUGCACAUCAUUAGCUAGUUGCUCGUGUGGUUGUUGACAUGUUAAUCUAGUUAAUAGGCUGAUUGAUCUAUUAGUUGUUGCUCGCAAGUUGAUCGAGCAGCUAUCAGUUGGCAAUUUCCUGAACAAUGCAUACAAUAAUAUUUCAACGUAUUUCAAUUUCUAGAAGUAAAGGGUCAUUUCAGCAGAAAAACAAGUGCG